This 164034-nucleotide long non-coding RNA is filed under the name Malus domestica (apple). RNAcentral's name for it is "long non-coding RNA (MDOM_LNC001067)". Lineage: Eukaryota; Viridiplantae; Streptophyta; Magnoliopsida; Rosales; Rosaceae. The record is from RNAcentral.
UUCUGCAUUCCGAAGGCUUCUCCAUAGCCAUCCUCCACACCAACUUCAACUCCCUCAAUCCUUCAACCCUAAACCCACACUUCACCUACCAUUCAAUCCCUGUUGGCUUGACAGAAAACGAAGCCUCCAUCAAGGAUCCCACCCUUCGUCUUUCUAUUCUAAAUGCUAAAUGUGUUGAGCCUUUCAGAGAAUGCUUGGCCGGGUUGUUAUCCGACGAUGUUAAUUCGGAGGACCCCAUUGCAUGCUUGAUCUUGGAUCCUAUCUUCGACUUCACUCGAUCGGUUGCAGAGAGCUUUAAGCUGCUGAGGAUCGUGUUAAGGACCGGGGGUGCCGCUUCCUUCACUGUUUAUGCUGCAUUUCCACUUCUCAAGGAAAAGGGUUACCUGAUAAACCUAGUUCGGAAACCCUAAUGAACAACCGGUCCACGUCAGCACCACCAAACCUUCCCGCUGCAAUCUGCAACUGAAAGGAUCAUAACUGUUAAACCACUAGCUGUACACCCUGGACAAAAGGAAUGGUGCACAAGGACACAACAUUCCUUUACAGCUUGUCUACCACAUGGGUUCUGCACUUGUGUUCUGAUUGCUGCAUCGUGGGCAGCAAGGACAUCACUUGCAUUGCAUUUGUUUAUUGCAUGCGUGUCUGUAACAGUGUAUAUAAAUAUAAACUCUGCUGUCCAUUGUAGUUAGUGCAGUGAAAUAAUAAAACAGUUUCGAAUACAAAGUUUUUCAUUACCUACCAAUACCAGGUACAAUCUCAAGCCAACAAAACCCUAUUAUCAAAUGUCUUUUUAUCUCAUCGUUGUUACUAAUAAAUGCAAUAUAAGUAGAUUGAAAACUCACACCGAGACUAAUAACGCGUUUCAAAUUCUUUUUAUACGUAGCACUUUUGUUCUUUGUUCAUAAGAGAUUGUGCAAUAUGUGCGUUUAUUAUAAACAUGUCAUUAUUAAAAACUCAGGUGCUUCUUAGGAAAAAAAACUUCAAAGUGAUUCUUCUUCUUCUUCAUAAAUUACUGUAUAAAUCCAAAAAUGUUUUCUGUUACUAGAAAUCACUUUUAGCACUUCUAGAAGCGAUACUAGAUUGGCACUUAGACAACUCAGAUUUGAGUUAGGCUAGUUAUCCCGGUUAGCAUUUUUAUUCCUUGCUCUACCUCCUCAUAAAUUAGCAUUUGAGGACAUGCAUUAAAAGGCAAAAUAUAUAUACUUACUAGGAACCUUAUAUUUGGCUUUUUAUUUUGACAAUUAGAUUCUCGAUUAGAAGAGCCGGUAACAGAACUUUCACGUAUCAAAGUUAAAGAUCUACCAGUGAUGCCCAAUUGCGACCCUGAAGAUUUCUAUCAACUGAUAACCAACAUGGCAAAUGAACCCAAGGCUUCUCAUGGACUUAUCUUCAAUACUUUUGAAGAUCUUGAAGGACAAGCACUUGCCACACUUCUCCAAGAAUAUUACCCCAAUAUUCCAAUUUUCUCACUAGGUCCAUUUCACAAGUGUGGCCAUACAACCUCUUCUUCUUCAACUAGUUUGUUAGCACAAAAUCAAAGUUGCAUUUCAUGGCUAAACACUCAAGCGCCAAAAUCUGUUGCUUGUGUUAGCUUUGGGAGCAUUGCCAAGAUAGAUCAAGUUCAAUUUUUGGAGGUUGCUUGGGGGUUGGCCAACAGUGGCCAACCUUUUUUGUGGGUGGUUCGACUUGGAUUAGUUCAAGAGUUGGAUUGGUUUGAAGCAUUGCCUAAUGAGUUCCUAGAAGCGUUGAACGAGAGGGCCCAUGUCGUGAAAUGGGCUCCACAAAAAGAAGUGUUGGCCCAUCCAGCAAUCGGAGCCUUUUGGACUCACUGUGGUUGGAAUUCUACGUUGGAGAGCAUUUGUGAUGGUGUGCUUGUACGCCAUGCUUCCGUGAUUAAAUGGUGGAUGCAAGAUUUGUGAAUGAUGUUUGGAAGGUAGGGUUGCAGUUGGAGCAUGGGAUUGAGAGAGGUGAGGUUGAAAGAACAAUUAGAAGACUGAUGGUUGAGAAAGAAGAAGGGCAAGAGAUCAAAGAGAGAGCCUUGAAGUUGAUGGAAAAGGCAAAUCUUUCCCUCAAAGAAGAUGGCUCUUCGUACCAAUCAUUAGAUGGCUUGGUUAAUUAUAUUUUAUCCUUAUAAAUCGUUUGUUUGAAAAUGGUAAUUCAUCAUCUUUAUCAUAUCCUUCGAAUUCUUCCAUUUUUUUCUCUUGCCCGCUUACAAUGGUUCAUUAUCUUUUUCUUUAUACAAAGUACCAUUGAUUAAAAGAUUUAUCUACACUAAUUAAUAAGAGAGUUUUAACGAAACACUCCCGGUACUGUUCACUUUUAACAAAAAAAGACAUUUUACCUUUCCUGUUACUAUUCACUUACAUAUUUAUUUGUCAUUUUUCAUUAAAACUAAAUAGUACAGAGGACUUUUCAUUAGUUUUCCUUACUAAUAAACAUGCUCAAGAGUAAUGUACAUACUAAUAAACAGUAAACCACUGGGCUUAGCAAUCCAAUCCGCCUCCUUUGUAAACAAUCCAAAUCAUAUUGACAUAUGUCAUCUUGUAUUUGAGAUAUAGAUGGAAAUACUUUGUAAUCCAAUGUAUUUAUACGUCGUCAAUGAAUGAAUAUGAGCUAUGCAUGCAUGAAUCACAUUCUGGCAAUAUCUUUCAUAGUUCGAUUUAGAUCUCGAUCUCUUAUUAUUUUUAAUUAUAUAAAUGUUUAAAUCUAUGAUCUAAAUCUCCAAUUAUGUCAUAAAAUAAUGAAUGUCUAUGAUUUUUAAGUAAGCUGACAUAUAGCAAUAUAAAUCAUAAUCUUGAGACGUAGUUGUCAGUAUUAAUAUUGGAUAAUCAAACAUUCCUAUUCGAAAUAAAAAACCAUAGGGUUUUAGUCGGUCCCCUGAGAGCAGAGUGACGGAGUGAGAAUCGGACAAGGUGAUUACGAUGGCUUUCUUAAGUAAAAUUGGGAGCAUACUUAGACUGCAAACAAGCAGAUCAGGUCUGAAGUAUCUCCUUUCAAACUGUCCAUCCAUCAAGCUAUAAGAUGCAUGUCAUCCAUGGGAAGCUCAAAGCUCUUCAUCGGAGGUGUUUCGUACCAGACAGAUGACCAGAGUCUGAGGGAGGCUUUUCAAAAAUACGGUGAAGUUGUAGACGCAAGAAUCAUCAUGGACCGUGAAAGUGGUAGAUCAAGAGGAUUUGGAUUCGUUACUUUCACUUCUAAUGAGGAGGCAGCUAGUGCUCUCGAGGCCUUGGAUGGGCAGGAGCUUCAUGGCCGACGAGUAAGGGUGAAUUAUGCUACCGAAAGGCCUCGCCCCAGCUAUAAUAAUUACGGUGAUGGUCAAAAUAGUUAUGCACCUGGUGGUGGAUUUAGUAACUAUGGACCCGGUGGAGGUGACAGCUAUGGAAGAGGAAACACUGGAUAUGGUCCAGGAAGCUACAACAGUCCUAGCAAUUAUCCAAGUGCAAACACUUACGAUGCUCCCAGUGGAAGUAGCAACAAUUUUGGUGUUGGUAGUGGUGAUAACUUCGGUGUUGGUGGUGACAACAGCUUUGGCACUCCUGAUGCUCCAUUUGGAGAGAACAAACCUGGCUUUGGCCUGGAUGAUUCAUUGGAAGCAAACGAUAAGGACGAUGAUGACGCGGGUGACUUCGCCAAGAGGGCCUGAUUAUAAUUAUUAGAUUUCAGGGGCCAAACUUAGUUUGCUUCUCCGGCAGUGCUACAAGUAGAUUGUUUUCUGCUUAUGUUACAGCCAUCUAAUCUUCCCUUCCUCCUCUCUCUGAACUAUUUUAUUUCAUUUUAUGUCGUAUUUGCCUGUCACAAUCUUCAUGCACUUUUUGUGUGCGCUUUGUUAAAAAAAAAAAAAAAAAAAAAAAGGUUUUUUAAUCAAAGUGGUACUAGAUAUUGGCAUCUCCUCUCAGAUUUAAAAUCUAUAAAACUGAUUCCUGAGUUUGUCUACCGUCAAUCAUUUUGGUCAUUCUGUGACAAAUCUCCGUUAAAUAAGAUAAAAUAACAAAAGUAUCCUCAAAUUUUGUCAAAUCACUUUGGUCCAUUGUUUAUUAAAUUGAGAGUAAUUUUGUCAUUUUCAUCUUUAUUUAACAAAUUUUUCUUCCAAAAUGAUCAGAAUGAUGGACGGUGGACAAAGCCAAGAACAUGUUCUAUCAAUUUUAAAUUUCAAAGAACAAAGUAAAAAAGAUAUGUAAAUCUCAAAACUACUUUAGCUAAAAUGCCUAAAUUAAAUUGCAGUCCUUGUUACAAAGUCAACAACACGAGUCUUUUUUUCUUUUUCUUACUUUUCGUGAAACAUGUGGCCUGGUGUAAAAUAAUAAUAGGAAUUUCAUUAGCUGACAAGUCAUACAAAACUAAGCAGACUUUUCCAAAAAAAAAAAAAAAAAAAAAAACUAAGCAGACACGAACAUUCCCGCUUCAACUCCCUCAACCCUCAACCCUAAACCCAAACUUUACACACCAUUCAAUCCCUGUUGACUUAUCCGAAACCGAGGUGACCAUGAAGGAUGCCAACGUUAUUCUUUCUUGUCUCAAUGCUAGAUGUGUCGAGCCUUUCAAAGAAUGUCUGGCCAGAUUGUUGUCAGAUGACUGUAAUUCAGAGCACCCGGUUGCUUGCUUGAUCUCCGACACUUACUUUCACUUCACUCGAUCCCUUGCGGAAAGCUUUAAGCUUCCAAGGAUCAUGUUAGAGACCGUAUGUUUCACUACCUUGGUUGUUUAAGCUGCGUUUCCUAUUCUCAAAGAAAAAGGAUACUUUCCAAUACAAGGUACAUCAGAUAUAUGCUUAUUUCUUUCUAUGUUGGUUACAGGAAAAUAGCUCUACACUGUUAUCAGUGGCACAUGAUAAGGUUGGUAGAAGUUUAAGGCAUUGAUACUUGUUCCUACUGAUUAUUCCACACAGAUAGUGCUUUUAGUUUUACCGGAAUAAUUAAUCCGACAAAGCCUAAUAUUACAAAGUGCCUUUUUACUCAUCAUUGUUUCAUAAUGUUACUUAUUCACAUGUUAUAAGCAUAAGCGAAUGUACAAAUACUUGAACAACUUACAUUUUCUAUUAUCUUGGCAAUUAUUGGAUUCUCGACUAGAAGAGCUAGUGACAUAAUUGUCACCUAUCAAAGUUAAAAGACCUGCCAACGAGUCCCAAUUGCGAUCCUGUGGCGAUCUCCAACUGAAGGGUCCCAGAGGGCUAGAGGGCUCGUGGGCCCCACAUAAUCUUAAAGGGCCAAAGGGCUGGCCACAUGCAGCCAGCCCGGGGCUGGCCAAGAUUUUUGUUAUUUCUGUCGGAUUUAACCGACAAGAAUAAAAGAAAUAGUGCCGGUUAUAACCGACACAAAUAGAAUGGAAAAUUUUGAAUCCAACAACUAGUUACCAUUGAAUUCAAUUUUUUUUUUUGUUUUUUUGGGCCAAAUUUUUUUUUUAAUGAAUUUAAAAAAUUCCCCUUUUUUUCCUAUACAUACCUAAGUAAUUCCUACACUAUUUCUAACAUAAUUUUCACCCUAUUUAAAUUUAAGUUGUUGUAGUUUUUAAAUUUAAAUAAUAAAUUAUGUUUGGCCCUCGGUUGGAGAUGGUUUUUUGUGAUAGGGCUAAAAUGAGCCCUAUGGCCCUUUGACCUUCGGUUGGAGAUAGAGGCAAAUAUGACAUUGUACUGUUCAUUAAAAUAUUAAUAUCUUGGAGGGCCAGAGGGCUAAAAUGAGUCAUCUGGCCAUCCCUCGGUUGGAGAUGGCCUGAGAAACUUUAUCAACUAGUCGUCGACGUGGCAAAUGAACCAAAGUCUUCUUAUGGACUCAUCUUAAAUACAUUUGAAGAUCUUGAAGGACAUGCUCUAGCCACGAUCCGCCAAGAACACCUGCCCAAUGUUCCCAUUUUCCCAAUAGGUCCAUUUCACAAGUGUUGCCGUACAGUAUCCUCUUCAAGUAGUUUAUUGACACAAGACUAAAGUUGCAUUUCAUGGCUGAACACUCAAGCGCCAAAAUGUGUUGCUUAUGUUAGCUUUGGGAGUGUUGCCCAGAUAGAUCAAGUUCAAUUUUUGGAGAUUGCUUGGGGGUUGGCCAACAGUGGCUAACCCUUUUUGUUGGUGGUUCGACCCGGAUUAAUUCAAGAGUCGGAUUGGCUUAAAGUGUUGCCUAACAAGUUUUUAGAAGAAUUCAACGAGAGAGCUUACAUUGUGAAAUGGGCCCCACAAAAAGAAGUGCUGGCUCACCCGUCAGUCGGAGCCUUUUGGACUCACAGUGGUUGGAAUUCUACAUUGGAGAGCAUUAGUGAGGGGAUCCCUAUGAUUUGCACGCCAUUUUUUAGUGAACAAAUGGUGAAUGCAAGAAAUGUGAGGGAUGUUUGGAAGGUAGGGCUGCAGUUGGAGCAUGGGAUUGAGAGAGGUGAGGUUGAAAGAACAAUUAGAAUACUGAUGGUUGAGAAAGAAGGGGAAGAGAUCAAAGAGAGAGCCUUAAAGUUAAUGGAAAAGGCAAAUCUUUGCCUCAAAGAAGGUGGCUCUUCGUGCCAAUCUUUGGCUGGCUUGGUUAAUCACAUUUUAUCAUUAUAAAUCGUUUGUUUUAUAAACUAAAACCCAUAUGUUGUUUUUAAACUCCUUUCAUGGAUCAUGUAUUAUAUCAUGAACUGUCAUGAUGCAUCUGUCUCAUUGUAUUUAAAGAAAGUGGUGGUCCAUCAUCUGUGAUGUAGGACAUAUAUGAAUAAUUGGCUUCUAUAUCCUCUAUGUUCCCUGGAAUUAAUUUGGCUCAUUAAUGAAUGAGGAGGAGUAUCUCUUCAAUUCGUUACGGGACUGGUUUACGGAAAUUCAUGCUUAUAAUUAAAAUGAUUCAUAUUAUAAUGCACUUUGUAAAACUAUCUCUGCAAUUCAUCAAAAUAUGAGUUUGUUAAGUCAUCGAACUGUGUGAAAAUAAAUGGACGAAUUCGGUUGAAAUAUUAAGAACUAUCUAUCUAUUUAAUACAAUUAAUUGACUAAUUUUUUUUAAUUUUAAUUGACUUUUUUACAAAUAGCAUUUAUAGAGAGAUUUAUAGUAUAACAAUUUUGACUAUAAACAUAAAUUUUAUAAAUCGGCUAUUAAGUGAAUUUGAGGACGAGUUCCUCCUCAACCUUGAAAGAGCCAAGCAUUCCUCAUAUUUCUAGAGGAGUGUUUAUCAUAUAAGUUGCUGAGUUGUACUUUUGCAAUUAAAUGUUCUCAGAAGUUCGGCCACUUUCGUGAGAGAUUUUUCAGUGUGACCGGUACACGGGAUGGUAUAUCACAUGUCACUAUACAAAUGGUGAGAUAUGUGUGUUAAAAAGUUAAUAACUUAAAAAAUAAAAUUUCCCACUACUUAUAUAAAAACAUGUGGUGUACCCUCGUGUUCCGGUCACAAAAAAAAAAUUCUCCACUUUCGUCAUCCAUUUUCAGCUUGCCAUUAGGUGUAUAUCUGCCCACCAUUAUCAAGUGCGGGUAAUACUCAUUGUUUCAUUUAUUUUCAUUAAAUGAGUUUAAAUUUUAAGAUUUGUGUGUAUUUAUAAUACAAAAAUCAAAAUUUUGAAUUCUUCUAAAAGUGAUAAAUAAGGUGAUGAAUAUCAUCAGUACUUAAGGGCUUUGAGCAAAAUAUUUCGUUACAGGCAUAAUUGGUAAUUGAAAAUGACAAACAUUCAUACAAAAAUAGGUUGACUCAUCAACUAGAAAUGGAAAUAAGCUGAGCUGGAAAUAUGAUCAAUAGACCUAAACUGAUAAGAAAAAUACCUUGGAUAAUCCUAAUAACCGAUAAGAAAAACACCUUGGAUUAAUCUUAUUAUCUCUUAACUAAAUUCGGAUUUUGUGAGUGUUCAAAUCCUUGGUAAUUGCUUGCCAUGACUGCUAAUUGAUUCUGAUUUUGGUGCGGUGGGUAUAUUGAGAAUAAGGUGGCAGUUCUGUAAUUGUGGUGGUGUUUUGUGGUUCCGGAUGUUAUAGGAGGAGGACGGAGGAGAAAGAAGUGUUCAACUAAUUAUAUUAUAACACUUAGUAAUCUUGAUAAUCUUAGUUCGAUGAGAAGAUUUUCAAAGAGAAGAAGAGUAGAGACCAUUGUGGAAUCUGACACGUGGCGGAAGAAGAGUAGAGACCAUGCUCGUUGUGGUUGUACGUUUGGGGUAGUUGAAUCAUUUUAGUUAUUGGACUGCGAAGGAAUACGAGGAGGACAUGCCCAUAGACAAAGUGAAAGGCUCUAUAGAAAAUAGGGAACUUUAAUGAAAAACACCCGGUACUGUUCACUUUAAUGAAAAACAUAUUUUUACACUAAAAAGUCAAUCCUGUUACUAUUCAUUUUACCCUUUAUUUUGUCCUUAUCAUUAAAACUCAAAGUUUUCAAACCCUUUUCAUUAGUUUUUCUUAAAAAAUAAGCCUAAAACCCAAUUUGUAAAUAUUGACAGUGAUAUUCCUGGUGUAUCUCUGUAAGCAACCACAUAAAAGAAGUCACGACAAAAGGAGCUGGUGGUGGAAAAAAACCAAAUUCGACAGAGCCACUGGCUCUGAGCCAGCAAUAUUGACUAAAAAAAAAAAAAAACAGCCAUCAAUAAGAUAAGAUUCCAGGGUUGCGUCAUGCGUGAGCGAAUUUUCCAAGCUCAGCUGCCUCAGUAUUCACCAAUAAGUUCACAAGUCACAUAAAGCUAAGCAAACGUAAACAUUGUCGAUUAAAAAUGGAGCAAAGCAAAGGCAGGAGAGUGAUCCUCUUCCCGAUGCCCUUCCAAGGGCACAUAAACCCUAUGCUGGAACUAGCCAACAUUCUGCAUUCCAAAGGCUUCUCCAUAGCCAUCAUCUACACCAACUUCAACUCCCUCAAUCCUUCAACCCUAAACCCAAACUUCACCUACCAUUCAAUCCCUGUUGACUUGACAGAAAACGAGGCCUCCAUCAAGGAUCCCACCCUUCGUCUUUCUAUUCUAAAUGCUAAAUGUGUUGAGCCUUUCAGAGAAUGCUUGUCCGGGUUGUUAUCCGACGACGUUAAUUCGGAGGACCCCGUUGCAUGCUUGAUCUCGGAUCCUCUCUUCGACUUCACUCGAUCGGUUGCGGAGAGCUUUAAGCUGCCGAGGAUCGUGUUAAGAACAGGGGGUGCCGCUUCCUUCGCUGUUUAUGCUGCAUUUCCACUUCUCAAGGAAAAAGGUUACCUACCAAUACCAGGUACAAUCUCAAGCCAACAAAACCCUAUUAUCAAAUGUCUUUUCAUCUCAUCAUUGACCCACGUAGACUGAAAACACCACACCAAGACUAAUGACUCUUUUGGAAUUCUUUUUAUAUGUAGCACUUUUGUUCUUUGUUCGUAAGAGAUUAUGCAAUAUGUGCUUUUAUUAUAAACAUGUAAACUUUCUUAUUAAAAACUCGAGCACAUGGAAAAAAGCUUCAGAGUGAUUCUUCUUCUUCUUCUGAAAUCACUUCAUUGAUCCAAAAAUGUUUUUGGUUACAAAAAACACUUUAGCACUUCUAGUAGCAAUCCCAAAUUAGCAUUUUGACAAUUUGUGCGGAUUUGAGUUAGGUUAGCAUUUUUAUUCCUUGCUCUGCCUCCUCAUAAAUUAGCAUUUUAUAAUAUGCAUUAAUUAAAAGGAAAAAUAUAAAUACUUAUGAGGAACCUUAAAUUUGGUUUUCCAUUUUGACAAUAAUUAGAUUCUCGACUAGAAGAGCUGGUGACGGAGCUUUCACCUAUCAAAGUUAAAGACCUACCUGCAGCGAUGCCCAAUUGCGACCCUGAAGAUUUCUAUCAAGUGAUAACCAACAUGGCAAAUGAACCCAAGGCUUCUCAUGGACUCAUCUUCAAUACUUUUGAUGAUCUUGAAGGACAAGCACUUGCCACAAUUCGCCAAGAAUAUUACCCCAAUAUUCCAAUUUUCUCACUAGGUCCAUUUCACAAGUGCGGCCCAACAACCUCUUCUUCUUCAACUAGCUUACUAUCACCUGACCAAAGUUGCAUUUCAUGGCUAAACACUCAAGCGCAAAAAUCUGUUGCUUAUGUUAGCUUUGGGAGCAUUGCCAAGAUAGAUCACGCUCAAUUUUUGGAGAUUGCUUGGGGGUUGGCCAAUAGUGGCCAACCCUUUUUGUGGGUGGUUCGACCUGGAUUAGUUCAAGAGUUGGACUGGCAUGAAGCGUUGCCUAACGGAUUUCUAGAAGCGUUGUAUGAAAGAGCCCAUGUCGUGAAAUGGGCUCCGCAAAAAGAAGUGUUGGCCCACCCUUCAGUUGGAGUCUUUUGGACUCACUGUGGUUGGAAUUCUACAUUGGAGAGCAUUUGUGAAGGGGUCCCUAUGAUUUGCACGCCAUGUUUCAGUGAUCAAAUGGUGAAUGCAAGAUUUGUGACUGAUGUUUGGAAGGUAGGGCUGCAAUUGGAGCAUGGGAUUGAGAGAGGUGAGGUUGAAAGAACAAUUAGAAGACUAAUGGUUGAGAAAGAAGGGGUAGAGAUCAAAGAGAGAGCCUUAAAUUUGAUGGAAAAGGCAAAUCAUUGCCUGAAAGAAGGUGGCUCUUCGUACCUAUCUUUGGAUGGCUUGGUUAAGCACAUUUUAUCGUUAUAAAUCGUUUGUUUAAGAGAGUCAGUAUUAGCUAUUCAAUAAAAUAAAAAAUAAGGGCUUUAAGUAAUAUAUUAACUACAUAUUUUAGAGAGUUUUAAUGACAAGGGUCUUAUAGAAUAAAAUCUUAACUAAAACACUCUUUAUUGGUUACUUUAAUAUAAUUCCUAAUUUCAGUUUUUGUUGGAAAUCAAAACUGAUGCAUUAUAACGUUGGUUUUAUACUAAGUCUAAUAUUAUUAGUUAGCCAUUUGAUCAUGUGCAGCACACCAUGUCCUAAUAUCAGUUUUCCUUCUUAAACAAAAACUGAUAUAUUUUCUUUGUAUCCUAACGUUGGGGGUAAUAAUGAUUCUGCUACCCGAUUUGCAAAGCUUUGUUCCUGCUACCCGAUUCGCACAUUUCAACUUAAUCUUCAAUCCAUUCAACCAUUUGAUAUACCUCAGAAAACCAACAAAACAAAACAAUAAUGGGUUAAUAAGAUGGGAGCAAGUUGUCUUGGAGCCUCAUAUACCGCAUCCAAUCAAUCUACAUAACAGCCAAAAAAAUUAGGGGUCCUUCGUCACAACGAAUGCAUUCAAUCAAUAUACAUACAUAAGAGUCAUCGUAUUUACAUUGUCUACUUUUAACUGAUCCAAAAUACUGGCAUAUUGUUCCUUUGGAUGCUUCUACUUGCUAUCAAAUGCUUUUCCAAUAGCUUUACCCCAGCUCUCUAUCAGCAGAUACUCCUCUGUUUCUGAUGCCCUAUGAUGCAUGAACAUGGUGGUAUCCCCUCGUAUCCUCGUAUCGUAUUGUGUGGUAUUUAUGUGUCGUGUCAUGUGGUAUCCUCGUGUCUAUGUCCAUACAUCUUGAUAGGUUGCCUUGUAGAAAGAUAUGACAUAAACAAAAAGACAUUUGUAGUUAGAAGAUGUUGUUAGAAUAAUUGGGUUGUCAGUGGUUGGCUAACCAUCCAUAGAUGAUUUGUGUCUUAAUCUUUUAGGGAAACGCCCUGAGGGGAACAAGAGUUUCAUCAUCGUGAAUGGCUGAAGCCAGUAUUUAUUUGACAUGUUAAUCUUGAAAGAGAAAUAAUCAAGCAUAAGAUUGUAAAGGGCUAAAAGAGUUAUUGAUGCUUAACUCAGUUAAAUCUGAGAGAGAUAGUAAGUUUGUAUUUAUAGAGAUGAUUUACAUCAAUAAGUUACAAGUAGUGUUUGACACAAAUAACAAUACUAUAAAUCCCAAAGAUAGGAGAUAAUACAAGAGAGCAUAUCAGAUAACUCUCAGCAGAGGUAACUUGAGUGAAGGAGUCAUAUGGAUUGGAGACUUAUAGUUUAUCACGCCCCCGCAAGCUGAUUGGACGACCAAGAACGGGAAGCUUGGAAAGAAGAACCAAAACCGAUUGGAAGACAAACCCUUUGUGAGAAAGUCAGCCACCUGAUCUUGAGAAGCAACAUAGCCCACAACAAUUUCCUUUCGAGUAACCUUUUCACAAACAUAAUGAUAAUCAACUUCUACAUGUCGCAUUCGUGCUUGAAAAACAGAAUUGGAAGCCACAGCAGGAGCACUUAUAUUAUCACACCAUAAUUGAGGUGGUGUAAGAUAAAGAUGAAGAUCAUGAAAUAAGUUUCGAAACCAGGACAAAGUAACGGCAGUAUAUGCUAGUUGAUUAUACUCGGCUUCAGUGCUUGAGCAAGAAACACCACGUUGCUUCUUCGAGCACCAGGAAAUCAAAUUAGAACAGAGAAAAAUACAGUAACCUUUUAUGGACCGACGAUCAUUAGGAUCACCGGCAUAAUCGGCGUCGGCAUAAGCAGUGAUAGAGAGAGAACUCGGACGAUAGAGCAUGCCAUGAUCAUGAGUGCCCUUAAGAUAACGCAAAAUGCAUUUAACAGUAGCCGAGUGUACUGUUGUGGGAGAGUGCAUAAACUGGCAGACCUGGUUGACGGAGAAGGCAAUGUCAGGAUAGGUGAAGAGUAAAUAUUGAAGAGCACCUACAACACUGCGAAACUCCGUGGCAUCAGAGACUGGUUCCCCGUCGUGCAAAAAAAGGCGACGGCCAGAUGAAGAUGGCGUGUAAAUGGGUUUACAAUCUGCCAUGUUUAUGCGUGUGAGAAGGUCCUUAAUGUAUUUAGCCUGAGCUAAAUGAAAACCAGAAGCUGUUCGAGUGACCUCCAUACCCAGAAAAUAAUGGAGGGGCCCAAGAUUUUUCAUGGAAAACAUUAAACUAAGCUGAGCAAUGAGUUUUGUAAUCUAUGAAUUGCUAUUGCCAAUAACCAAAAUGUCAUCAACACAAAUCAACAAAUAUAUAAUUGUGGUGUUAUCAAAGUAGGUGAAUAAAGAAGAGUCAGCUUAAGAGGCAACAAACCCGAGUUCCUCGAGAUAAUUGGAAAAACACUGAAACCAUGCUCGUGGAGCUUGUUUGAGACCAUAAAGAGAACGUUGUAGCUUGCAAACAUGAGUGGGAAAUUGCGGAUCAACAAAGCCCUGGGGUUGGCACAUAUAAACAUCUUCAAAGAGGGAACCAUGUAAGAACGCAUUAUGUACGUCCAACUGGCGAAUGGACCAAUUAUAGUGAAUAGCAACAGAGAGAAUUAAUCUGAUGGUGACGUGCGUAACCACGGGACUAAACGUUUCUGCAUAGUCGAUGCCUUCCUGUUGGUGGAAGCUGUUAGCAACAAGACGGGUUUUGAACCGUUCGAUGGACCCAUCGGAGUUGCAUUUGAUCUUGUAGACCCAUUUAUUUGGAAGAACAUUGAGAUGUGGUUGAAAUGGCACAAGUGUCCAGGUACCAGUUCGUUGUAAUGCCGUGAACUCCUCAGCCAUUGCCCGACGCCACUGUGGACAUUUGUUAGCCUGUGUAAAUCUUGUAGGCUCAACUAAAGUAUUUAUGUCAGCAAGUAAGGCAUAUCGAGGAUUUGAUUUUCGAAUGCCAUAUUUGGCCCAUGUAGUCAUGGGAUGAGAUGGAGGAAUAGUCAUCACAGGUGAGGUAGUUGAGGUCCCAAUAGUCGUAGGAGAAGAAAAGGGAUGGGUCGUAUAGGGAAGAUGAGAGUCUCUAGUAUUAGGUAUGUGGAGGGCCGGGAUAGGAGGAGUAGGUAGGGAUUGAGGUGAUGUGUCUUUAGGUUGAGCAGGUGGGGUAUUGGUGAUCGAGAUAGGGAGAGUAGGUAGAGGUGGAGAUGGGGUAGGGUUAUGGGAUAAGGUGGCAGGAUUGCGGGUGACUAGGUAGAGUCGGAGGUCGGGUAGGGUUAUAGGAUAGGUGGCAAGAUUAUGGUGCAGGGGAGUAGAAUAGGGGAUAAAGUUAGGAGGUGUCACGAUAGUGUCAAAAUGUAACAUGUCUGUGGAUAUGGAAGUCUGAGCUGGAGUAAGAAGCAUAUCCUUGUAGGGAAAACAUUUUUCAUCAAAAAUAACAUGACGAGACAUGAAAACUUUGCCCAUGGAGGGAUCAAAACAACGAUAACCUUGCUGAUUUAAAGAAUAUCCUAGGAAAAUACAUUUUUUAGACGAAACUGAAGUUUAUUUUGAUUAUAUGGGCGAAGAUAUGGAAAACAUGCACAGCCAAAAACCUUUAAAAAGUCAUAUUGUGGAGGACUAGAGAAUAAUUUUUGAAAUGACGAUUCAUUGUGCAAAACUUUGAUGGGUAAGCGAUUAAUCAAAUAAUUGGCAGUGUGAAAAGCCUCUACCCAAAACGUGAUUGGGAUUGAUGCAUGAGCAAGUAGAGUAAGGCCAGUUUCAACCAAAUGACGAUGUUUACGUUCUGCAAGUUCAUUUUGUUCAGGGUGAUGAGGGCAUGUAAAGCGAUGAUGUAUGCCUUUAGAUGUUAAAUAAUUUUUAAAAAUGUGACUCAUAUAUUCUCCACCUCCAUCAGUUUGAAACGAUUUUAUUUUCCUACUAAACAUAUUUUCAACUAGUUUCUAAAAAGAAACAAAAAUAUUAUACACGUCGGAUUUAAGUUUUAGAAGAUAUAUCCAAGAGUAACAUGAAUAAUCAUCAAUAAAAACCAAAUAAUAUUUAUAACCAUCAAUCGAGUAAGACGGGAAAGUCCAUAUAUCGGAAUGAAGUAAUUCUAAAGGAAAUUUUGAAAUUGAACUAGAAAGUGAAAAUGGAAGUUUGUGACUUUUGCCUAGAGGACAAGAAUGACAGAGCAGAAGUCACUGGGCCAUGAAUAGGCAAUUUAUUCUUAGCAACUAAAAACUUUAAAUAGAACCAGAUGGAUGGCCCAGUCUAGAAAGCCACACUGUAUCAAACACGCGACCACCAAAAAAAUGCAAAAAUGCCAUGUUGUUAUUUGGAUGAAAUACUGGAAAAAUGAUAGAACCCAUACUUACUCCGGCCUUGCAAAAGGAUCCUCCAUGUGGUGAGAUCUUGAACACGAUAAGAAUGGGGAUAUAAGGUUAGUGAAUAGUUGUUGUCCAUGAUAAAACGAUUUAUAGAAAUGACAUUGGUUGAGGCAUUGGGACAAUAUAAAGUAUUGGAAAGAUUAAAGGUUUUUGUGGGAGUGCGAAUACUGGAGUGACCAAUUUUAGAAAUAAGCAAACAUGUGCCUCCAACUACACCAUUCACAUGAUUAUUGCCAUUGUAUUCUCAGGCUUUAGCUACCUGUGUCAAGUCAAUUGUAAUAUGGGUAUUAGCUCCAGAGUCAAAAAGCCAAUUUUGAACCUGGGAAGUAGCCAUGGGUGGAGGGUCAUAUGCAUGAGCAGUAGCGGCAAAAGCUUGAAGUUUGGGAGCGGAAACACGUCAUUCGUAUGCCAUGUUCAUACGAUUGUAGCAAUUGAUAGCAAAAUGACCAGGUUUGUGGCAGAUUUGGCACUGAACACGUCCAUUUGAAUUAAAAGCAUUCCCUUGUUGAGGAGCAGUACCAAGGAAGCCAUCGUUAGGAGCAUGAGCUCCUGGCUGGCCAAGCAUGCCACGACCACCACGACCAGCGGCAGCCUGAAAACCACGUCCAGCAGGCUGAAGGCCAUGACCAGCGUCGGCCUGAAAACCACACCAUCCAAGUCCAGCAACAAGGGCAAUAGGAGCAGCAUCGUCGUGGAAGACAUAACUCAUUUUUUGUCGACGUUCGGCGCCGAGAAGCAAGGCUUCCAAAGCGCCAUAAGAGAUGGCAUCUUCUCGAGCUUAAGCAGCCGACAAUGUGCUUUCAUACGCAGGACAAACGUUAUUGAGAACGAUGGCCACUAAAUCCGAGUCUGAAACAGGAGACCCCGGGAGGGAAAAGGUGUCAGCGAGAGAGUUCACACGAUCCAAAAAAUCAGCAAUGGAAGAAUCACCAUGUUGAGUGUUCAUCAGGUCACUCCGGAGUUGCAAAAGACGACCAGUGGACGUCAAAGCAUAACUCUCGUGAAGAGAAGUCUAAGCGGAGUGAGAACUAGUUUUCUCAAUAAGAGAGGCCAAAACCGUGGGGUGAACGAAACUGUUGACCAUGAGAGAACCAUGGCAUCCUGCUGCAUCCAGACUUCGAAGGUUGUGUUGACAUCAUUGGUGAGAUUACCUGAGGUAUCUUUGAGAAACGCCGAAAGACACUGACUAGUGCCAUCAACAAAUGGAACUAGGUUCCUGCUAUGAAGUAGGGGUAGAAUUUGUGCAUGCCAAAGGGGAUAGUUUGUACGAUCAAGUUUGAUCGUCAAAAAAUUGGAGACAUUAGGAAGAGCGGCAAUGGGUAGGGUAGAAGAAGAUGAGUUUGAGGAGGAGGAGGUUGAGGAGGCCAUGUAAAAAAAAAAAUUGCUUUUGUUGUCGUGAUACUUUCUUAGCUCUGAAAUACCAUGAAAGAGAAAUAAUCAAGCAUAAGAUUGUAAAGGGCUAAAAGAGUUAUUGAUGCUCAACUCAGUUAAAUCUGAGAGAGAUAGUAAGUUUGUAUUUAUAGAGAUGAUUUACAUCAAUAAGUUACAAGUAGUGUUUGACACAAAUAACAAUACUAUAAAUCCCAAAGAUAGGAGAUAAUACAAGAGAGCACAGCAGAGGUAACUUGAGUGAAGGAGUCAUAGCAAACAACUUUGAGGAUAUGGAUUGGAGACUUAUAGUUUAUCAAAUCUCUGGUUAGACGAGGGGAUUUUCAGGGAGAAGAAGAGACCAUUGUGGAAUAUGACACGUGCCGGAAGAUCAACGGGGAGCAUUAUCGUGCUGGUUGUGGUUGUACAUUUUGGGCUAGUUGAAACAUUUUACUUAUUGGACUACGGAGUACGAGGGUGCCCAUAUACAAAAUGAAAGGCUCAAUAAAUAAAAAAAAGCCCAAAACCUAAUUGGUAAAUAUAUUCCUUGUGUAUAUUUAAGUAACCACAUAAAAGAGGUAAUGACAAAAGGAGUUGGCGGUGGAUGGAUGUGACAAAGCUCGGCCAGGGGUGAGUUCACACUUAAUCUCUUUGAAAUUAGCCCUUGAAAAGUGUUUUUCCUUCUGAAACACCUUUUGCAACAACCUACCUGAUUAUUCUCAUAAGUUUGCUGCCCAUAGUUGUCACGUCAUAAUCAUAAUUUUAAAGGAACUUUAACGAAAAGCUCCCGGUACUAUUUAUUUUAACGAAAAAUUACAUUUUUACACUAAAAAGUCAAUCAUGAUACUAUUCAUUUUAUCCUUUAUUUUAUCAUUAUCGUUAAAACUCAAAGUUUUUAAAUAUUUUUUUAUUAGCGAGCUUAUUGGGCCACAAAGUGAGAUCAGUGUUUAAUUUUGACCCAAACAAAUAUAAUUUUCAUGAAUCAUAAAAUAAUUUAAUUCAUUUUGAAUUAAAUUUUCCAACAUUGAGGAAGGAAAUGUUGUAAUAAAAUAUACGAAAUUCAUAAGCUCACAAUCUAAGCAAAACAAUCGUUCUUAGAAAUUCAAAUGGAGCAAAGCAAAGGCAUGAGAGUGAUACGUUUCCUACUGCGCGCCAUUCAAGGCCAUAUAAACCCCUGUUCUAGAGCUGGCCAAAUAUUCUACACUCCAAAGGCUUCUCCAUAACCAUUAUCCACACCUGCUCUAACUCUUCCAACCUUUCAGCUCUAAACCGGCACUUCACCUACCACUCCAACAAAAAUCAUCAAUAGAAUAUACAAUCAAAUAGAAAAAUCACCAAUUUGCCUUAGCUUUUAGGGUGCGUUUGUUGCACCGGACUAUCUGACUGGACUAACUUCAAGAACUAAGUUGGAGGAGCUUGGCAUAAACUAAAUAGUAUUAGAAUUGUGAAAUGUUAGGUGCAAUACCUGACUAGCUAGGACUAUUUUUUUUUUAAUUACAAAAACUCCCAAUUUUUGUUGUCUGACUCUCUCUCCCAUCUGUCGCUCCCGUUCCUUUCCUUUGCACUCCACUAUUUUCCUUUCCUUUCCUCUACACUCCUUUCCUUUCUUGCAGAUUCAAAAUUUCCCGGAUUUCCAGUUAGCAACUGUAGAAAUUUGGUUUCAAAGUGUUUUCUAUUUCAUGAGUGAUUCUGAAUGUACAAUGCAGUAUAUAUCUAGAAGAGAGAAACAGAUGGUUACAAGCAACCAUCUUUACAUGAAACCCUAGAGACCGGUUAAACCUAGGACACAAGCUUUUCCUUAAUUUAAGGUGAUUUACAUCAAAUCCAAGACUAAGAAGUAAUCAACAAGUUAAGUGCCUUAAAUCAAGGAGCUGGAAAACUGGCAGUUGACUUGUGUGUAUCCAUGAUUACUUGUAGACUUGAAAUGAGAUGACAUGCUAGGGUUGCUGUUGCUAAGGUUUAGUGUGACUGGUUCCAACACUUCCCCUCAAGCUGGAUCAUGAAGUGUAGUCGAGCCAAGCUUGCUCAAAAGUCUGUGUAACUGAGAAGAGGGUAAAGGCUUAGUGAAUAAGUCAGCCAAUUGAUCAUGGCUUCUAGUGAAUUGAGUUUGGAUAACUUGUGUUUGAACUUGAGCUCGGAUGAAAUGGCAGUCCACCUCAAUGUGCUUGGUUCUUUCAUGAAAACAGGAUUAGUUGCAAUGUGCAUGGCAACUUCGUUAUCACACAUGAGAGACAUGGGGGCUUGAUGUGAGAACCCUAAAUCUGAAACCAAGCCUUUAAGCUAAAUCAGUUCGCAUGCAGUGGCUCCCAUUGCUCGAUACUCCGCUUCAACACUAGAUCGUGCUAUAACAGUUUGCUUCUUACUCUUCCAUGUCACAAGGUUUGCCCCAACAAAAGUGCAAUAUGCAGUGGUAGAUUUUCUGUCAAUUGUAUUAUCUACCCAGUCUGCAUCGGUGUAAGCACUGAUUUCUGUGGACUGAUUGUUUGACAUAAAAAUGCCUCUAUCCAAUGAACCUUUGAGAUAACGAAGAAUACGUUUAACAAGGUGAAAAUGUUGCAUAGUGGGAGCAUGCAUAAACUGACUAACUAAGCUAACAUCAUAAGUGAUGUCUGGACGUGUGAUAGUGAGGUAGAUAAGCUUACCAACCAAUCUUUGGUAGUAGCUUAUGUUGGGGAGAGGUUCCCUAGUAGAAUCAAUCUUCAUUUUGCUGUCAACAGGUGUGGUGGCAGGCUUGCAAUCUAUGAGCUUAGCCUCAGUAAGUAAAUCAACAACAUACUUUCUUUGACUGAGAAACAACCCCUUGUGAGACGUGGCCAUUUCAAUGCCAAGAAAGUAUUUUAAUCUCCCAAGAUCUUUGAUGGCAAAGGUGUGGCGUAAGGAGUGUUUCAAGGCUUUGAUUUCACUCUCAUUGUCACCGGUGAUGAUUAGAUCAUCAACAUAGAUGAGAACCACAAGUUUUCCACUUGAACCACUUCGAAUAAAUAACGAGGAAUCAGCAUUGCUUCUUAUGAACCCUGUCUUUUCUAAGAUAGAACUUAGCUUUGCAUAUCAUGCUCUCGGAGAUUACUUAAGUCCAUAGAUAGCCUUAUGUAGCUUACAAACCAUUCAUUUUUCCACUUAAGUAUAACCUGGUAGGGGUUACAUGUAGACUUCUUCUUGAAGUUCUCCAUGGAAAAAGGCAUUUUUUACAUUCAUUUGGUACAAAGACCACCCACAGUUAACUACUAUCGGGAGUAAUAUCCUAACAGUAUUCAUUUUUGCCACUGGGGCAAAGGUUGCCUUGUAAUCAACCCCGAAUGUCUGAGUGAAGCCACGAGCCACAAGUCUGGCUUUAUGUCUUUCUAUUGAACCAUCUACCUUGAGCUUGGUUUUGUAAACCCACCUGCUUCCAACAGCCUUCUUUCCUGGAGGCAACUUGACAAUGCUCCAGGUAUUGUUUUCUUCCAAAGCAUUUUGCUCUUCAGCCAUAACUAGUUUCCAAUGUGGCAAGGAAGUAGCUUCUUGGAAUGUUCUUGGUUCAGCAGUCUUAGAGACUUUAGUGAGAAAUGCAUGGUGAGAAGUCGAAUACUUUGAGUAAUGUAAUACAUCAUAGAUAAGGUACCUUGAGGCAUAAAUGACAUAGUCCAACAGCCUUGCUGAAGGCUUUCUUGUUUGAGCAGGAUUUCUUCGUGCACCUUGAGUUGGCCGUGAUAAUUGUACAUUGUCAACUUGAUCUUCAGAGCCAUGCUCAACGUCUUCUUGUGAGAAGACAUGUGGAUUUAAGGGGUUUGUGACUUGGUGCAAUUCCUCAUUGAGUUGAGUGUCAUGUCUUGCUGGAACAUCCUCAUCUUGUUCUGUGUACAUAGGUAACGGGAACAAGUCAUGCAAAGACUCCCCAUCACCAGGAACAUGCCUUUGUGGUUGGAAGAAGGGAGUGUCUUCAUCAAAAAGGACAUAUAUGGAGACAAUACACUUGUUGGUGAGGGGAUUGAAGCAUUUGUACCCCUUUUGUGUAGAUGAGUACCCUACAAACACACAUUUUGCAGCCCUAGCCUCCAAUUUGUCACGAAGUUGAGGCUGCACAUGGACAAAGCAUGAGGAACCAAACACUUUCAAGUGAGAUAGGUUGAUAGACCUUUUUUCUAGAGUUUCACAAAGAGAUUUAAACCCUAGAAUAUGGCUUAGGAGUCGGUUGAUGAGGUAUGUAGCUGUCAAGACUGCAUAGGACUAAAACUUCUUUGGAACAUUCAUAUGUAACAUCAAUGCACGAGUUUUUUUCAAGUAGGUUUCGGUUUUUCCGUUUAGCAAUCCCAUUUUGAUGUGGGGUUCCCACACAACUAGUUUGAUGUACAAUUCCUUUUGAGCUCAAGUAUUUAAUCAUUGUGUUGGAUAAAAACUCAAUGCUAUUAUCUGAUCUUAGUGUUUUAAUAGUUGAGUGGAAUUGGUUUGACACAAGUGAAUGAAAGUCUUGAAAGAUAGUUGAAACUUUACUUUUAGCUUUCAUGAGAUAAAGAAAAGUGACACGAGUACAAUCAUCCACAAAUAUGACAAAAUAUUUGUAACCUUCCAUUGAUUCAAUAGUAGGACCCUAUACAUCGGUGUGAACAAGUUCAAAAGGUAUGCUAGACUUAGACGUUGAGGUUUUAAAAGGUAACCUAGCAAACUUUGAGAAAUAACAAGUAUCACACUUCAUCAAUGGGUGACAAAACUUGGGGAAUAGUUUUGCCAAAACAACUUUGAAUGGAUGGGCUAGCCUUUGGUGCCAAAGUUGUUGAUCCUUGGAAGAGCUUGGUUAAACUUGAAAGCCUUUUGACAAAAUGGGCUUCUUGCAAAAAUAGUAGAGACCAUUUUGAUAGAAUCCUUCACCAAUCAUUCUCUUGGUGAGAGCAUCCUGAAAGAUUACAUUUUUGGGUGAGAAUAUGACUAGGCAAUUUAGAGUGUUAGUGAGUUGUCCUACGGACAUCAACUAAAAUGGAAAAGAGGGUACGUAUAAGGCAGUAGACUCUAUGGUGUUUGAGACUAAACCUAGUUUUCCUUUUCCCAUGACUAAGACAUUUUUUUCCAUUUGCAACUGACACAUGAGAUGGUUUUGACUAGGGAUGGGCAAAAUACCCAUGGAUAUGGGUAACCACGGUUACCCGUCCAUUUAAAGUUGACGGUUAUGGUUAUGGGUAACCGUUUAGACAAAUAAACGGUUAUGGGUAUAACCGUUUAUCUAUGAAAUUUAAAUGGCCGGUUAUGGGUAUUAUCCGCGGUUAUAACGGGUAUCCAUCGGUUAUGGGUAAUAUUCAUGGUUAUAACGGGUAUCCAUUUACCCAUUUAAUUUAAUAUAUGUAAAAUUAAAAAAAAAAUUAAAAACCCUCAGAUAAAAAAUUACAACUCUAUCACUCUCUCUCUCCGUCCCUCUCUCUCUCCGCCUCUCGACUUCGUAACUCUCUCUCUCCGUCGCUCUCUCUCUGCGCCUCUCUCUCUCUCCGCCUCUCGACUUCGUCACUCUCUCUUUCUCCGUCGCUCUCUCUCUCCGCCGCUCGCUCUCUCUCUCCGUCGCUCUCUCUCUGCGCCUCUCUCUCCCUCGCUCUCGCUCUGAGGCAGUUGCUGAAGAGCCUCUGCAGCAAUUCGCCUUGGAAUUAUUCAGUGUUUUGGAAGCUCAAGCACCAGAGUGAUUUGUAAGCUUCUUUCCUUUUCCUCGGUUUUUGCUAUGAAUUAUACUCUUGUUGAAAAUUUUAAUCUGUUUAUCCGUCCUUAGAAUUCGGAAAGUAAUUAAUUAGUUAGUAAUUUAGGGUUUGAGAUUUAGGGUUUGUGAAAUUUAAAUGACUAAGAACUUUUUGCUGUAAUGUGAGAUUUAGGGUUUGUGGAUUUGUGAGUUGUAAUUCGAAAUUAGGAUCUGGGUCUUUGCAAUUUCGGGAUUUCUGAUGUGGGUUUUCGUAUUUAAGUGAAAGGGAGAUUGAUAAAUUUUAAUGUGUUUGUGUACUAUUUGAAGAAACUGCACCUCCUUUGGUUAUGGUUCUGACAUUGUUGGAUUCUCUGUUCAAAUUUUGUAAGUUAUUAUAAAACUUGAAUUAUUUAGUUGGAAGUGAAAAAAAACAGAUGAGGGAAUUGGUUGAACAGUUUUAGUGGUAAACGAAGGUUUCCGGUAGAAUAUUUCGAAUUUGUGAUGGAUAUAAGAAAUUAAGAACACAAUUUUGUGUAUAAGAUUUAGAAAUAGGUCCUUAAGUACUUUGUUUCUUAACAACUUCUGAUACAAUUUCUGUAUUCUAUCCCCACUACCUAAUAAUGACAAUGUGCUAAUGCCCUAAUCAAUGAUUUGGGGUUUUCCGGGUUUAUAAGUACCCCUAUAUUAGUGGAUAAUAAUGUUUAUACUUGAUUUCAUUGACAUAAGACUGAGUUGUAUGAAAUGAACGUUUAGCUGGAGUGAGCUUUCGGUUUACAUAGUCAUAAGUGGGGCUUUCUGAACUCUACACACUGAUCGUGACACACAUAUCGGUUCAUUCUGUUAGAAUAAUUUCAUUUCUUUUCAGAGUUUUUGUGUUAACGCCUCCAGUAGAUGGGAUCUCGUAAAGUUUUUCACUAAACGUGUCAUGUUGAAUUUUGAUACUAUAUUUUAAUUUUACUAGCAAGUUUCUUAAAAAAGAAUCUAAUAUGUUUUCCAAGCCUGUAAUUCUGCAUGGGUUUUCUUUUAUGAUUUUAUUUAAUAUUCCAGUAAGCCUGCUGUCACUUUUGUUUGUGUGCCAAGAUUACCAUGUACUGUUGUAGAGAUGUCCUUAUUAUGUUCAGACCGAGUGUGUUAUGAUUUUUUGCUCUAGGCAUCCAAAAUGUUGAAGAUUUUUGUUUGGCCUGUGGCGAUGUUUUGAUGACUUUGUUUGCUUUAAACGAGAACCAGAACCCCCAAUUAUGACAGUAUAGUGUUCUUUUGUUCAAUUGAUAUCCUGUUUUUCUUUUAUAUUCUGAACUUGUAUUCAACUAGUUCCAAGAUGGAGACUCAAAGCGAGAACCAAGAUAUUGAACCAAUUAAUCUUGAUCAAGAAUUGGACCUAAGUGAAUCAAGCUUUGAUGACACUGGUAGGAAGAGAAAAAGAACCUCAGUUGUCUGGCAGCAUUUUGAGGAAAAAAGUUUUUGUGGGGAGGUGAAGGUUGUCUGUAACCAUUGUAAAGCUAGGCUAGCAUCGGGCUCCACUGUUGGUACUUCAUCUUUACUUUCACUUGUUAGAACAUGUCAUGUAUUGAGGACAAAGAAAAAGAGUCCAGUUAUAACCGGUGAUGGGUCUGUUAAACAUGGUGCAUAUAGUUUUGAUGAAGGUAAUGCUAGGAAAGAGCUAGCUUAUAUGAUUAUCUUACAUGAGUAUCCUUUAUCUAUGGUGGACCACUUGGUUUCGUAUGAUUGUUUUUUGUUAUCAGAAACACAGAUUUAUGAGCUGUUGCUAUAGGGUCUGUUGCUUUAAAAAUCAUUCGGGAAUUCAGAAAUAAAAAAGCUCUACUUUUACUCUUCCUUUAGGCUCAAUUUUCUCAAGUUCCUGAACUUCCAUAAUUUAUUGGUUGCUAUUCAGAAUAAAAAAAAAACUGAUUGGUUGCUAUACAGAAAAAUAUCGUUCGUAAACUAUUAUUUCAAUUAUUGGAAUUAUAUGAGGACUUAAAUGAUUAAAAUAGGGAAAUGUAUGCUAAAAUGUACUUAUAACGGUGUUUAAUUGUCAGAAAAUAAAAAUUAUGACAAAUUUUUCUUUUGUAAUUUUCAAAUUGUUAAAAAAAAUAAUGUAGACAGGUGAAAAAAAAGGUAAAUGGGUAAAAAAAGGAUAAAUGGGCGAAAAAAUAGGUAAACGGGUAAAUGGUUAUGGUUAUGGGUAAAUGGUUAUGGGUAAAUGGGUACACGGUUAUGGGUAUGGAUAACCGUUUAUAAACGGUUAUGAUUAUGGGUAUAACCAUUUAUGUAAUUACCCAACGGGUAAACGGUUAUGCGAGUAUGAACAUAAACGGUUAUGGGUAAAAUAACCGCGGUUACCCGCCCGCAUAACCAUUGCCCAUCCCUAGUUUUGACAAGACUUGAAAAUCAUGCAAGUUUAAGGCUUUAUUUGUCAUGUGAUCAGAGGCACCCGAGUCAAUUAUCCAACAAUCACAAUUAAAACUAGUUUGUAGUGCAGUUGAGAAUGCUUUGGAGAUACCUGGGACUGCAUCUCAUGAAACAUGAUCAUGAUCAGCAAGAAAUCCUGCAAACUGUCCAAGAAGUGCAGUUUGUUUGUUCCCGUCACCCUUUGACGUUUGUGCAGUUCUCCAUGAUUCUUGGUGUGCAAGUAAGUUGCAAACUCGUUAAUAAGAGUAAUAGGAUUGGUUAUGAAAUCUGUUAAGCCAUGAAUGGGUGAGCUGGUAGCAUGGUUGGCCAGAUGCUAAGCCUUAAGAUGAGCCACUGAUGAGGAUCUUGGGACCAUCAUCAUGUUGUCUUUAAAUUUAGGCUUGAGUCGGGGUGCAGCUCUCAACAUCUCUCUUCUGUGUGACCAGAAGCAUUGCAAUACUUACACUUUAGAUGUGGAUUCUUUCCUCUGUACAUUUUGGCAUCAUGGUUCUUGUGGUUUGCAACAUACCCUCAAGCCUUAGAUAGCUUGAGAUUAGGCUCUAGAUUCAUCGCCCUUAUUCUUGCUGCUUCACGUUGCACCAUGGCACAAAUAGUCUUGAAUGAUGGUAGCCCCACACUCAUUAAUAUGUGACUCCUGAGAUCCUCAUAAUCUGAGCUGAGGCUUGCGAGCAGUUGGUAGAUCUUAUCCUCCUCAGCUCUUUUAAGAAGAAUAGUAGGAUUUGUGGUGUGAGGGAGGUACACAUCAAGCUCAUUCCACAUAGUCUUCAAAUUGCCAAAGUGUUGGACAAAAUACUUCUUUUCUUGCUAGAGGCAAGCAAUAUCUAUUUUCAACUGGAAUACCUGAGCAUAGUUGUUCUGGUUUCCAUACAUAUCCUUCAUAGAUUUCCACAAAUCCUGUGAAGAUUCAGGAUAACUAAAUAUCUCAGCAACAUGUUUCUCCAUGGUGUUGAGCAACAAGGACAUAACAAACUGAUCCUUGCACAGCCAUGCUUCAUAGGCCUGAGAAGAGGAGUCUGGAGCUUCAAUACUUCCAUUGAUGAACCCUAAUUUUCCCCUGCCUCCUAGAGCAAGUGAAACUGCCCUAGACCAAGGAAGGUAGUUGAGCUCAUUCAGCAACACCGAGCAUAGGCGCUGGUUGGUAUUAACUUCAGAGUCUAAGAAACUCGAAGGAGCUACCUGCGAGCUUUCUCCCUCAAUAUUAAUUGAGCUUUCCUCAGCCAUUACAGAAGCUCACAAGAAUAGCAGCAGAAAUUAAACGGGCAGAGACAGGUUAAGGAUGACACUACUCUGAUACCAUGUAGAAAUUUGGUUUCAAAGUGUUUUCUAUUUCAUGAGUGAUUCUGAAUGCACAAUGCAGUAUAUAUAUAGGCGAGAGAAACUGAUGGUUACAAGCAACCAUCUUUACAUGAAACCCUAGAGACCGGUUAUACCUAGGACACAAGCUUUUCCUUAAUUUAAGGUGAUUUACAUCAAAUCCAAGACUAAGAAGUAAUCAACAAGUUACGUGCCUUAAAUCAAGGAGCUGGAAAACUGGCAGUUGACUUGUGUGUAUCCAUGAUUACUUGUAGACUUGAAAUGAGAUGACAUGCUAGGGUUGCUGUUGCUGGGUUUAGUGUGACUGGUUCCAAUAACAACCCAGAAACCAAAACAGCCACGUCCCUCAUAAAUUUCAAAAAGCCAUGUCCCUGAUUAAUUUCGGAUUACCAAAAAAGCCGUAGCCUUUGGAUCGGACGGUGUUCUUAUCGGUGAUGACCACGACCAGGGCCUAUCCAAACAUUCCGGAGGCCUUGGGCAAAAAUAAAAAAGGGGCCCACAAAACAACAACUGUGAAAAAAAAUUUUGCGUUUUUUAUGUGAUUUUUCCCUCCUUUUCUACUAGGUAUUUAAAGGAUUAUAAAAUAUUUGAAGGUAUUUUUCUUUGUAGUCAUACACAAAAACAAAGUUACAUCAUAAUACUUGGUCAAUUGGUCAUAAAGAAAAGAAGAUUGUCAUGUUGUAAAAAAGUACUAGUCUAUCUGUUAGUUUGUGUGAGUGGCAAUUUUCUUAUACCAUCGUCAUGCGCUUCUAAAAUUAAGGUAUAAAUAAAAUUACAUUCUUCAUCCUUAAUAUUAAAGUAUAAGGAAUAAGAGAAUAAGUAAACAAAAAUUAUUUCCAAAAAUCAUUUUAUGUGACUGCAAUAUCGAUGAGUAACUUUUUCUUUCUCUUCCUUCACACAAAAAGGAAAAGCAAACCAGCAACUCAAGCAGGCAAAACGAAGUACAGCGAAACAUAAACAAGCUAUCUAAUAGACGAGCAUCUGCAUUGUUCUCUUAUUUUUCUACUUCUUAUUUUUCCAUUGCAUCUUCGUCUUCUUCCCCUGCCUCUGUUAAUUGUGGCAUUUCAGGUUCUGAAUCACUUAGGAGUAAUCUAUCAGGAUAAAUCCUAACCUCAAUCGAGCAAUACUUGAUGCCUAAAGUGUCUAAGUGCCUUUGACAAUGCAAUUUUCUGACUAAAUUUCUUAUAGAUUUGGUGUAAGAGAAAGUUUCAAAAUUUUCAGCUGAUUGAAAGUGGUCUCAUUUUUUUAAGCCAAAUUAAAUUUGUGAAUACAUACAUACAUUAAUUUGUUGAAUGUUAAAAUUGAAUUAGAAUGAAUGUAAAAAAUGUGCAACCCAAUGGAGCUAGUAAUUAUAAUCGAAGAUAAAAAGAAAUUAACAAUAAAAAAAUUAGUAAAAAAUCAAAGGUAAAAACAAUUUAACAAUUAAACAAAAAAUAGUAAAAAAAGGGAAAGAAAAAGGCGUGCUCAAACCCAAGACCUCGUUGUUAUUAGUACACAAUAAAACCAACGCCUCUAAAUAUACUUUUUGAUGACUUAACCAAACAUUUUUUAAAUUUAUACGGUUAUGAAAACAUGUAUGGAUAUACUACCCUAAUAAAUUUUUUGUGCCCCUGAUUUUUUGAGGCCUUAGACGAUCAUCGUUAGGGCCGGGGCCGACCCUGACGACAACCACGAAAAUGUCCCUGAACUUAGACCUGGCAAUUUCUUACACGACCCUUUAAUACGACACGUAAAUGACACAAAAAUAAUGGGUUUCGGGUCAAUAUGAUAACUAAUUGAGUCAUUAUCGGGUCACACUAUAAUAACCCGUUAAUAACGGGUAUAUUAUAAAUAUUGAGAUUAAAAAUCAUAAAACACAUUAAAAAUAAAAAUAUCAAGUAAUUUAAAAAUACCAAACACAUUAAAAAAAAUUAUAAUAAUUCAUUUACAUGUGCGAAAAAUAUGAAAAAAUAUGCAAACGCUCGUAGUCGCAUCCUCUACGUUUGAGGAUGGGUAUAUGAUCGUUUGAAUUUUUAAAACCAUACAAACUCUCAUGAAUAGUAUUUUUAAGGGAGUUCAAAAUAAACAAAAUUCAUAAUCAUUAAUGUAUAAAGUCUGAAAGAUGUGAAAGCAUAAUAAACGUUCAUAAUUGCAUCAUCAAUGCUUAGACGAUGGUUACAUGGUUGUUUAGAUUUUUAAAACCAACAAUGUUUUGUAUUUGAGUGCAAAAUUAAUAAAAUUAAUAAUAAUUAUUGUAGAAGUGUGAAAAAUGUAAAUACUCGUAAUGAAAAACUUUACAACUUUCAUGAAGGGGUCAAUGUAAUGACCCGUCCCUAAAAAUUAUGAUUUUUAUAAUUUUAAUACGCGGGAUUACGAAAAUGCCCUUCGAGGCAAAUACGUUGACUUAUGUUGACCACCUUGUCGUGUCAUGUAAGGUUCAUUUUCUUGGCGUAUUCAGGUAGUACUCGUCAACACGAGCGUAUGAGCGCAAACGAAACUUGAUUUGGAGUUAUACGAAGAUUAUACGAACUUUUAAAUGUCGAUGGCAUUUUGGUAAUUUGCCAUUUGAAACACAUGUUGUAUCUAGAGUAGUGUGUCACGUGGGACCCACAAAUUGGUCCCUAAUCUUCUGGAACUCUCCUUCUCUUCUUUCUCUCCCGUGACUCUAUUUUCUCUCUCAUAGCUCUCAUUCUCUUUCUCUCUUGGCUCCCUUUCUUCCCGUGGAAACCAAACCAGCACCAAUCAUUUUUCCAGCGAAUUAGACCCUGAAAACAUCAUAAUCAUGUCCCUAGAAUCCCUGGAAUUGUGAAUCCAUAGUUGGUUUCGAGAAUUUUUGUGGCCGAAGGCAAGUUAGAACUCACUUUUUGGAGCUGCGGGUUUCCCUUCAAUUUUAGAUAAUUUCCAGCCAUAUCUUGAACUCUAAACAGUUUCUGGUGAACCCGUGACCUUCCAGACCAUUUUCCGACCAAACCACGGCGAGUUAGCCAUCAUUCAAGGUUGCCCAGAAAUUUCGAUGAGUUACCAGUUUUCCCGUGGACAGCCGUCUUUCAGGCCAUUUUCUGGCCACAUACGACCAUUAUUUGGACUCCAAGCUGGCGCCAAUCGUUCGUGCUAGGGAGUUGUACUGCAGACUCCAGGUUUUAGCUGCUGAAAGUUCGUAUCGACGAGGGUUCUUGGCGAAUCUCAGUAUAAGUGGCUACCUCUGAGCACAUAAUCCUUACCUACACUACUAUACUUUACUUAUGCUCCGACGUCGUGUGUGAAAUGGGUUCAUUCCCGCUUAUAGCUCACUCUUGUCUUUAGGCACUUUUAGGUUUAAAUUUAAUCACAUUUUCCAUAUCACCAUACUUUAUGGCUUCAUCACCUUCUAGGUGUCAGCCAGCAUAGCUUGAUUCGAAGUCUUAGUGGACAUUCUGGGUCGGGGUAUGUCAGUUUGGUAUCAGAGCAUAAGUUAGGCAGUAUUGCGUUCAUCACACGCGUGAUGUAAUCAUUCUUGGUUCUUGAACCUAAAUGUCGAAUCUUGCCACCUCGUCGAAUACAAAAAAAUGUAUUAGCUUUUUCUAAGUCUUGAGUGACUUAGUCGACUUAUCGACCUUUUAGAAAAUCAUUUUGGCGAAUGCCUCUAAAUUAUAAGUGAAGAAAUUCCCUCCCAAGAAAAGAUGUAAAUUUAAGGCAAGUUGAUGGCCUUCAAGCAGGGCUAAUGUAUCGAUAAAUGUGUAUCAUCAGAGACUUUACCAAUCAAUUUCAUCACUAUUCUCUAGCCAUAUGUACUAAACCUUUCGAGAUUGGAAAUCAUAAAUAGUUUUGAUUCCUUGGCAGUAUCCGUUAGAAUACCACCUAUUAGAAUCUCUAUGAAGUUUUAAUUUUCGUCGAAAUUUCCAUAAUUGUCUUGAGUGACAGUGGGGUGCUAAAAGGGUAGCACUUGAUGUAAGACCAUCAGGGGGACAAUCACUUUUGGUCCAUGGUAGCACUAAUCUUUCCAAACGCACUAGUGAUUAUUCUGGAUCUUCAGGGGGAAGAUCGACUUCCUCUAAGUCUGUCCUAAAGUAGAUUAUUAGAAAAUUCUUUUUCGGCCUUAGGACAUUCCAACUAACACUAGUUCCCGAGUUCUCUUUUGGUGACUUACUCGUCAUUUCGACAAGCAUAGGCAUCGAUAUAUGAGUUGUUACCUACAGUUAGUAAAAAUCCCUGAAGUAGUAAGUAUUUUCUUUAGAAUUAAUGAAACCACCUCACCGGGCCAAUUCUUUACCAAUCGUCCAAAACCAAUUAUCUAAGUGGGCUUUAGCUUGUGAUCAGCCUAUGAUGGCGCUAUUAACUGACUUUCCUGUCCAAUAUCCAGAAACUGUCAACUAAUAUUCUGGUGGUUGGUAUAACUUCUGAUAUUGGACAUAGGCUAGUAUCCGGGAGUGAUACCCUUAUGCCAGGACGCUGAUUUACAGUUUCAGGGUAGCGAACAAUAUCAAAAUAUCGUAUAUGCGUCAAUUAGCGGCGCAACUGGUGGACUGAUUAACAGUGACUACUUGAGCCGAAUAAAUUAAAUUGUGGAAACUUAAGAGUAGACCUUGUAUUAAGACAGUAAACUCACGGUUAUGUUAACCAUAUUACCUAUUUAGGUAAUCAAAACUUCUUCAACCAACCACUUCUCGAUCACUUUCACAGAUAAAUAGUAGGAUCAAAAUACGAAAUGACAUCUCACUGUUAGAAUGUUUGGAGUGUCAAGAAAACUGUGAAAACCUUUUAGUUCAUGUCGUAGAGUUGUUAGCAGUUUAGCACGGUCUGAGGAGGUAUACCUUUGGCAUCAUUUUUCAAAAUUCUAACGAAGGCCAAGUGAGACUUGGCUGAAGUCGCCAUUAAUACUAGGUACUUAUGGUAUUUUCCUAGUAAAGAAUAAUGCUACCAUUUUACUUAGAUGAUAGUAAACUGCAGUCGCUGAUAAGAGCAUGGUCAGUAAAAAUGGUCAAAGCGUGAACACGUAUAAGCCGAACCACAGACUAACGACAGUUUAAAAACUUUUGUAAACUACAGUUGGAAAGUAAAGAGUAAUUAGGAUUUGAUACUCGGUUAUGAUCCAAUUUGUGUAGCCAACGAGAUCUUACAUCAUCAAGAUCAAGUGGGAGAUAUUAAAAUAUGAUGGGGUGUGCUAUCCACACACCCCAUUUUACUUCUCACACACAUUUUGAUAAUUUAUGUCCGUUGAUCUUCUUUAAUUCAUUCGAUUCGAUUGUCGAAAAUUAAAAAUGUGUGUGAGAAAUAAAAUUGGGUGUGUGGAUAUCACACCCCAAUAUGAUCAUGAUGAUGUUGGCUUUACUAUGCAUAUAUUUGAUGUAUGGAGGUGCAUCGUAAGAAUGGUGUAUUGAUAUACACUUAACCAAAAAGUAUGUUAAGAGGUAUGACUUAAUAAUGAUUAUACCAAGUGUCUUAUCAUGAAAGGAUAAGACUAUUCAGAGAUGUCUCAUAACUAUCUGAAAAAGGGUGCGAUGAAAUCUAUAAAAAGAUGAUUCAUUCCUCAGACAAAUCAAUCCAAAGCGAAAUACAUUUUAUCUUCUUCCCUUUGGUGUGCUAUUUCUCCCUUGGCACUACUGCAUAGUAAUCAAUAGUCUAACGACAUUAGAGAUUGAUCCUAAUCCAUAAAAUUCUAUAUUGAAAAGCAUUUAUGAGGGAGUCGCUAUGAUUUGCACGCCAUGUUUACUGACCAAGUGGUGAAUGCAAGAAAUGUGAGUGAUGUUUGGAAUGUAGGGUUGCAGACGGAGCAUGGAAUUAAGGGCACGUUUACUAAUCUAUAGUUAGAUUGAGAGGAAUUGAAUUGAGGAGGAAUUGGAUUGAGGAGGAAUUGGAAUGAGGUGGAAGUAGAAUCAGAUUCCUGUUGAAGUUGUUUACUAAAACUGUCUGGAAUCGGAGAGGCAUGAUGUUGGUUAUAUAUAAGUUGUUUACUAAUUCACUGGAAUCGGAAUUAAAACUAGCUUGAUUACUAAAUUGCCCUUAUUUAAAUAAAUUAUUUUUAUACUAAUUAAUCAAACUAAUUUAUUGCGCAAAAAAAAAAAAAAAGAAAACUAAUUUUAUAUACCAAAAUUUAUCUAUAUAAAAAAUAAUUAAAGAUGUUUCUUUUUGUUAGAAGAUGGUUAUUUCCAUUUGCCCCCACCACAUAAAACCAUCCUGAAAGCUUUAUUUUCCCAGUCGCAACAACCUUCCCCCAUCCUCGCUUUUCCAUGCCCUCCACCCCACUUACCCCUAUAGCCACCGCCCCUAGCCCCAAUUUCUUAAACCCUUUAUCUCUCUCCUCUAUGCCCUCCCUCUCCGCUUUCUCGGUUACUCCCGCCAUGGUUUGCAAUGUCGUUCAAUCCAACGCAUCUGUGAAAGCUGGUGAGUGGGUUGAAGUUCAGAGAUCUUAUAUAUGCUUCCUGAGUGGGUUGCCUACUAUCGAUCGUAGUGGGUAUGAUGUUUGGCUGAUGGGUUCUUUUUUUUUUCUUUUCAUUUUCUCUAAAUUUGAAAUUUUGAUUGUUGAAGUCAAGGAUGGGUGCGAUAAUUCUACAUAUGGUGGCUGUUAUAUUUGUGGUGGUUUUAGGAGGGGUUGUGAUAGGCCUGGUGGGUACGGUUGUUAUUGUGUCCAUUAAUGGUGGUAGAUUUGGGAAAGACAAAAGAUUGAGUGGGUGGUCUGGGCUUGUAGAGGAGUUGGAAAGUAAAACUGCAAGGAGUGUUUCGAAAUUAGAAAAAAAAACUAUGGGGGUAAUAUUGGUACAUAAGGUGGAUUCUUGAUAGGCUUCAUUUCGGGGAAUUCAAUUACCACCUCAAUGUCGAGAAUUGAAUUCCGGGAGUUUGGGGAGUCUGAUUCCCUAUAUUAAGUGGGGUCCCACACAUUUUUUUCAUUCCCAAGUGUUAGUAAACGGAGGAAUGAUCAGGAAUGGGGAAUGACUCCCAUUCCGCCAUAUCCAUUCCCUAUAUGUAACCACGCCCUAAGAUAGGUGAGGUUGAAAGAACAACUAGAAGAUUGAUGGUUGAGAAAGAAUAAACCAAGAGACAGCCCUAAAAGUGCAGGACAUGAAUGCUUCAUCAUCCUUCACGACUUGAACAUCGCACCACAGUGAUUGCAUCCACAUAAAGGAAGCCAAUGGGAAGAGGCUACCGACAAGCUACAUAGCCAAUAAAGGCGAAGACAUGGAAGAAGGUGGUGCGAACACCCGAGCUGAAGCUCUACGCACCUUCCAAAUAAAACACAAGUCGCUAAGGCCAUCUCCAACCGAAAGGGUCCAGAGGGCCAGAGGGCCGAAAAUAACCCCGAAAACCGUCUUCAACCGAGGGCUAGGCCAGAGGGCUCUGGAAUCUGGGAGGGCCCCACGGAAUCGAAAAGGGCUGGAGGGCUGGCCAUUUUUUUUAUUAAUGUUUUGUUAUUACUGUCGGUUAUAGCCGACAGGAAUACCGACAGUAAUACAUUUAUACUAAAUAAUAUAAAUGUAUUCCUGUCGGUUAUAACCGACAUGAUUUCUUAAGAAAGAAUUCAAAUGCAACGGCUAGCUGACUAGCCGUUGCAUUUGAUUUUUAUUUUUUUAUUUUUUUAUUUAUUUUUUUACAGUUUUAUUAUUAUUUUUUAUUUACAAAUUUUUUCAUAUAACUUCUAUUUUUUCCUAUAACUUUUAUUUUACAAAAUUUGUUUCAUAUUUUUUUUAAAUUCCAUUUUUUCCUAUAACUUCUAUUUCAAAAAAUUUGUUUCAUUUUAUUUUAAGUUGUAGUUUUUAAAUAAUAAAUUAUGUUUGGCCUUAUGGCCCUCUGACCCUCGGUUGGAGACGCUUUUUUGUGACAGGGCUAAAACGAGCCAUCUGGCCCUCUGGCCCUCGAUUGGAGAUGGAGGAAAAUAUGGUCUUGUACUGUUCAUUAAAAUAUUAAUAUCUUGGAGGAUCUUAGAGGGCCAGAGAGCUAAAACGAGCGCUCUGGCCAGCCAUCGGUUGGAGAUGGCCUAAGAAGAUCAAUUGCAAACAUGGUUUGAUGUUGAAUCAAAGGAGGACUAGGAGCAGGGAGAAGGGUGAGGAUUGGAUUCAUGAGAUUCAUGGUGGUGGGUGGGCAGCAGGAAGUGGAGGAAAGGAGAAACAGGGAGUUUGAAACAAAAUUAGGGCUAAGAAAUCUAAGGCAAGAGGGAGUGGAGGUCAAGGGAAAUCCGAGAUGCAAAGCAAGAAAAACCAAACUAAAAAAAAGGAAACAAGAAGAUACAGGACUGCCACCCCAGGCCGCAGCUAGGAUCGGCGGUUGCAACGUUUGGAGAAAUAAAGAAACUCUCACAAGCGGAGAGAAGUGCUUUCACAGAGAGAGAAGAGCUUGGACCCCUAAAAUAUGCCUAUUUGCCAUUUUGGUUAAGCACAUCUUAUUGUUAUAAAUCGUUUCUUUAAGAAACUCGGUGUAAUUUAUUCAAUAAAAUUAAAAUUAAAAUUGUUGGGUUGAAUUAUGUGUAUACAUAAAUAUAGAAUUUUAGCAAUGUACUAACUACGUUUUUUAAGAAAGUUUUAAUAAAAAGGGUCUUAUUGUGAUAUACAUUUUAAUACGUGUGGUUGUGCAAAUCUUAAAUAGAGAUAAAUUAUGAAUCCUUUGGAAGCUAGAAGAUCUUUAAUAUUAAACUUUGUAUAACCCGAAGAGCAAAGCAAAGUUUCUCUCAUGUUUAUUAUUAUAUAUAAAGACACUAGGUCUAAGCAAUAACACAUAAUUUUUCAAGCUUAUUCUCCAUAUCUCUUUCUCUCUUGUCGUGUUCCCUCUCCCUCUUCUCAAUUAAUCAUGUUGCAAACCUCAUCGACAAAGAGGGAGAUUGAGUUUUCAUGUUUUUUUUUCAUUCAAUUUUAUUAUUAUUUGAUAUUUCUUUUAAAUUUAAAUUAGCAUUUUCCUUUUUAGUGAUAAUACACUCAUCAUCCAAGUUAAUUAAUGUUUAAAAAUCUUCAAAUCACUCUUAAUCAAGAUCAUUGGGUGUUAUAAGAUUUAAAGACUACAAAGAAGUGUUAAAAUAUUUAUCAAAAUAUUUAUAACUUGAUCUUAUCCCUUUAAUUAUAAAUGUGUAAAUAAUAUGAUCUAAAACUCCAAUGAUGACAUAUCCCGAGUAGCUGGUAUAAAUAAGCAACUUUGGCCAUCAAUCAACCGCAUAUUCAGGCCAAGCAACCACAUAUUCCCUAUUAUUACGACAGUAGCACAUUAAGUCAUAAAUCUUCAACGAACUACAUUUGUGUUGAACUCUCCUAUGGCACAGUGAACUUGUAUGACCCUACCAAUUUAAUUGAUUUAGGGCACAAUACGUUGAGACCUUUCAUAUACAUGUAUAAUUGGCCUCCUGUCCUCCACACCUGCCCCCUGUAUACAAUUUAUUGACAUUGUUGAACAAAUAUCGCGGCCGAUCAUGACACACCACUUCACAUUAAUGGUAUUGUCGUGAAUGAUGAAUAUACUUUCUGUUUUGUCGAGCCCCACAUUGCCGAGCCCCUUAUCAAUUUAACGAGAUGGGAUCCUCAUCAGAUUUUUUUGGAAGGAUCUCGAGGAUUCUUUAACUCUUUUUUUUAUCGUAUAUCUUAUAGUUCGAAAUUAUUUUAAAUUAUAUUAUUUAAAAUUAAAUACAAAUAAUACAUGAUAAAAACUGACCGCACGAUGUACGAUAAAUAGACAUAAUUAAAAGAUCUCCGAAAUCCUCACAAAGAGAAUAUGGCGAUGAUCCUAUCUCCAAUUAACCACAUAUUAUUAGUUGUGAAGUUUUAUUACAAAAUGUUACGAUAAUAUUAGUAGUCAACCUCCUAUAGUUAAACUGUAUUAUAUAUUAUUUUGGUAUUUUUUUAAUGUGAUGCUCUAUUCUCCAACAAAUUCUCUAUGUAAGUAACAUUAACUCAAAAUUUUCAUUUAGUAUUCGGAAGAACUUAAGUCAGGGCAUUGAGUUAUUCAUGAAAGUCGAACUUAAGACAUCUUUUACUAAUAAAAAUAAAUAUUAUUAGACUGUGAUCAAUGCUAAGUAACUUUUUAUGGACUAUUUCUCAAUGUCCCCGCAAAUACUUGAAAAAGGAUUGGCCUCGUAUAACGCUAGCCAGGUAUAUGUGUGUAACGUGUAAAUAAUCAGUCCACAUUAUCAUUCUUUAGUGCAAGUUUUUCUAAAUAAUGUACGUUUAAAUUUGGGAUCCAAUAAAAUAAGAAUAAUGCUACACUUAUUAUAUUUUUUGUGGAGUACAAUUUUCUCCCUUCCACAUUCCUCCCCUUCAUUCCCCCCCCCCUCUCUCUUUCCUUUUUGUCUCUCUCUGUAAAAAAAAAGUCCACAUAAUAUGUUGACAUGACUUAAUCAUAAUCGUUUAAAUAGAAGGUGAAGAAGGAGAUGAGAAAAUCUUACUCUAUUUUUCAUACCACAUUUGUACUACAUUUCUAAUAAAAGUAGGAUCCACCAAUACAAAUGAUUUUCAUCUCUAUUAGAAGAAUUAUACUAUAAUAUAAAAAUGUAGUAUUUUUGAUAAAAUAAUGUACUCCUAUCAUUGUUUUUAAGUAAAAUGACAUGUAGCUACUCAAAAUAUCGAUAACAUUAAUGAUAUAAACCCCUGUUCUGAUUCUAUCCCCUCCUAAUCUCUCUCUCCCCUUCCCUUCCCUCUUACUUGAACGGUUACGAUUAAAAAUCCUACGCCCUGUUCUAGAGCUGGUCAAUAUUCUACACUAUAAAGGCGUCUCCAUAACCAUUAUCCACACCCGGUCCAACUCCAUCAACCUUUCAGCUCUAAACCCGCACUACACUCUACCACUCUAAACAAAAAUCAUCAACAGAAUAUACAAUCAAAUAGAAAAAUCCUAGUUUUUCAACCACAAGUUACAACUACUGAUCCGAAAUCACCAAAACCCAAUUGAAGCACAUAAGCCAAAUUCAAAAUCAACGCACCAAUUUGUCUUCACUCUUAAAGGUUUAAUGUUUAAUAGUCACAGUCAGUCAGUCAGUCACCACCCUGUCCUUUGCCUACCUCCUAUCGUUGGCGUGGCACCAUUUGUCUAACGUGUAUUGAGGAAAGCCUCUGAAUUGGCUUAGUAGAAGAAAGUAUUUGGUCGAAAUUUCAAUGUAGGUCAAGUUGGACUUGAUUGAAUUUGCCAUUAAUACUUGGUACGGAUGGUAUUUUCUUAGUCAAGAGUAAUGCUAUCAUUUUACUUGAACGCUAGUAAAAUGGAGUCACUGAUAAAAGUGUGGUCAGUAAAAGUGGUCAAAUUGUGAGUACGUAUAAGUCAAACCACGGACUAACAAAAGUUUACAAAUGUUUGUAAACUAUAGUUGGAAAGCCCAGGGCAAUUGGGAUUUGAUAUUCGGUAAUGAUCCAAUCUGCGUAGCCAACGAAAUCUUACAUCAUCAAGAUCAAGUGGGAAAUGUUGGAAUAUGAUCAUGAUGAUGUUAGCUUUACUAUAUAUGUACUUGAUGUAUGAAGGUGCACCAUAAGAAUGGUGUAUUGACAUACACUUAAUCAAAGGGUAUGAUAAGAUGUAUGACUUAAUAAGGGUUAUACCCUUCUAUAAGUGAAUUGUCUUAUCGUGAAAUGAUAAGAUCAUUUAGAAAAGCUUCACAACUCUCUGAAAAUGGUACGAUGAAGUCUAUUAAAGGAGGAUUCAUUCAUCAGACAAAUCAAUCCAACUUGAAUUGCAUUUUCUCUUCUUCCCUUUGGUGUGCUAUUUCUCCCUUGGUUCUACCGCAUAGUAAUCAAUAAUCUAAUGACAUUAGAGAUUGAUCCUGUAAUCCAUCAAAUUCUACAUUGGAAAGCAUUUGUGAGGGUGUACCUAUGAUUUGCAUACCAUGUUUAUUGACCAAAUGGUAAAUGCAAGAAAUGUGAGUGAUGUUUGGAAGGGGGGCUGCAGUUGGAGCAUGGAAUUGAGAGAGGUGAGGUUGAAAGAACAAUUAGAAGACUGAUGGUUGAGAAAGAAGGGGAAGUGAUCAAAGAGAGAGCCUUAAAUUUGAUGCAAAAGGCAAAUCGUCGCCUCAAAGAAGGUGGCUCUUCGUACUAAUUUUUGAAAGGAUUGGUUAAACACAUCUUAUCGUUAUAAAUCAUUUGUUUAAAAAACUCAGUAUCAUUUAUUCAAUAAAAUUGAAAUUAAAAUUGUUGGGUUGUAUUAUAUGUAUACAUAAAUAUAGAAUUUUAGCAAUGUAUUAACUAGGUUUUUUAGAAAGUUUCAAUAAAAACGGUCUUAUUGUGAUAUACAUUCUAAUACGUGUGAUUGUACAAAUCAUAAAUAGAGAUAAAUUAGGAAUUCUUCGGGAUUUAGAAGAUAUUUCCUAUUAAACCUUGUAUAAUCUGGAGAGAAGUUUCUCUCCUGCUUAUUGUUAUAAAUAAAGACACUAGAUUUGAGCAAUAACAUACACACAAAAUUCCUCAAACCUAUUCUUCAUCUCCCUCUCUCUUGCCGUGUUCCCUCUCCCUCUCCCUCUCCUCAAUUAAUCAUAGAAGAGUCUUCAUCCAAGGCAUGAAAGUUGCAGACCUUAUCCACAAAGAGGGAGAUGGAGUUUUCAUGUUUUUGUUUUUUAUGUUUUUCUUAUUUUUUUCAAUUUUAUUAUUAUUUGAUAUUUGUGUUUUCCUUCUUAGUGAUAAUACACUCAUCAUCCAAGUCAUUUAAUGUUUAAAAACUGCAAAUCACUCUUAAUCAAGAUCAUUAGUGUUAUAAAAUUUAAAUACUACAAAGAAGUGUAAAAAUGUUUGUCAAAAUCUUUUUUCCCCUGAUCCAACCCUUUAAUUAUAAAUGUGUACAUAUUAUGAUUUAAAUCUCCAAUCAUGGCAUUUCCCAAAUAGCCAGUAUAAAUAAGCAACUUUGGCCAUCGAUCAACCACAUAUUCAAGCCAAACAACCACAUAUUCCCUAUCCUUGAGAUAGUAGCACGCUAAAUCCUAAGACUCCAACGAACCACAAUUAUGUUGAACACUCCCAUAGUUGAUAUGGCACAUGAACUUGUAUGACUCCACUAAUUUAAUUGAUUUAUGACUCAAUACGAUGAGGCCUUUUGUAUGAGAAAUUUUUCAUUGUGACCAGAACACGGGUAAUACAUUAUGUUUUUUUUAUAUAAAUGGCGGGAAAUUUUAUUUUUUAAGUUAUUAAUUUUUAAACAUAUAUAUCCACCAUUUAUAUAAUGACACGUGAUGUACUAUCCUAUAUUCUAAUUGCAUUAAAAAACCUCUCCGUUAUAAUUGGCCUCCUGCCCUCCAUGCUUGCCUCCUGUAAACAAUUUAUUGACAUUGUCAAACAAAUAUCGCGGCACAUAAUGACUCACCACUUCACAUUAAUGGUAAUGUUUAAUUGUCAUCACCAUCCUCUCCUCCACACCUAACUCCUAUGUGUGUACAACGUAAACAAUUUAUGCGAUAGAAUAAAUAUCGCGGCCCAUCAUGACUCAACUUUACAUUAAUAGCAUUGUCGUGAAUUUAACACAUUGUUUUAAAAAUUUCCGUCUAACGUUGCUUACUCCCCGUCUAGGUGCUGCGAUGCUAGGCGGCUGGCCACCGUUUUGAUUAGUUCCUAUACAUUUGAAAAUUAAGAAAAUACGCAUAGACCUGCCCGAUGAUUUCUGGUUAUGGCCAGAAAAUAGCCUAAAAGGUGACUGGUCUGCGGGAAAACUGGAAAACUCGUCGAAAACUGUGUAAACUUUAAACGUUCAUAACUUCUUCAAUACUCAACGAAAUCGAGUGAUUCAAAAUGAAAAUCAUAUUUCUUGACGAGACGAAGAGAAUGAAAUCUUUCUUGACUGCUAACUCGCCGUGGUUUGGCCGGAAAACUGCUCGAAAGUGGCUAACUCAAAAAUGGUUAGCCAUUUUCGAGCCGUUGUCCGACCAAACCAAGGCGAGUUAGCCUUCGAAAAAGGUACCAUUCUCUUCGUCUCAUCAAGAGGUAUGAUUUUCAUUUUUGAAUCACUAGAUUUCAUUGAGUAUUGACAAAGUUAUGAACGUUUAAAGUUUACCCAGUUUCCAGCGAGUUUUCUUGUAUCACCUUUCAGGCUAUUUUUCGGCCAUCUCCGGCAACCAUUGGGCUUCCAAAUAGGUAUAAUCUUAUUCUACACUUUCCUAUCUUCAUUUUGAUAUAUUAUGGGUCGAAUUUGGUUAAGAAACGAUUGAGUUACAAAACUAUGAAAAUUGCCCAAAGAGUUUUUAACGGAAUGACCAAAAUCAUGGAUGGUGGACAAUCUCAGGGGCCAUUUCUAUUGAUCAUGCAAAUCUCAAGGACUAUUUUGUAUAAUAACCCUAAUCUAUAUGUAAUUUUAUUUUACAAUUGCUGUAUCACAAUACAAUUAUGUAUUUUUUUUAAAGUAUAAAUAGACACUUAUUAUCAGUGACUUUUAAAAAUAUAUUGAAAAUGCUCUCUAGGGUUUUCUAGGUUUUCUCUCUAGGGUUCCCUAGGAAAGCGACGGCAAGGAAAUUAUGGCGGGCAGCGCCGAAGGGUUUUUAGUUCACGAUUUCACAAUUGGAUAUGGAGGCGUAUUCUUCAUUUGGGGAGGGAAAAGUGCUGGGGUCUAUUCAAGGGCGGUGUGCAGUUUAUGCAGAGGCGUAUGGAGGAUAUGUUGGAAAAUUUCGCAACUAGGCUGGUGCUUACUACUGAAGAGCAAAUGGUGGUUGUGGUUGAUGACAAUGAGGGUUUAUCCCUCAAAACAUCCAAAGUGUUCUUAGUAGGAAAGGUUCUUUCUCAUAAGCCUGUUGGGAAGGAUAGGUCUAGGAGACGUAUGAUGCAUCUUUGGUGUCCAAAGGCUCGGGUAACGGUGGUAGAAUUGGAUGAUGAUUUGUUCUUGUUUGGCUUCGAGAAUAAACAAGAGCAAACAAUGGUGGUAAAAGGCAGUCCUUGGUUGUAUGACGGGGCUUUGUUGCUAUUGGCAGAAGCUGAUACAUUGGCUAACCCUAAUAAGAUUCCACUCUACGCCCAGGAGUUUUAGGUUCAAAUCAAGGGUUUGCCUCUUGGGUAUAUGACGCAGAAUAUGGGGUAAUUUAUCAGAAAUCAGACAGGUAAACAUAUUCUCACGGAUCAAAGCUGAAAGGGAGAAUUGGAAGGUCGAGUGCUACGUAUACAGGUGAAGUUGGAUGUUAUGAAACCUUUUCGCAUGAGUUUGCUACUUUAUAUUGAGGGUUUCGUGGUGAGUGUUGAUCUUUGCUAUAAGAAGCUUCCAAUCAUACGAUAAUUAUGUGGACUUGUUGGUCAUAUGGAAGAACGAUGUGAGAAGUUUUCAGCGAAGAAUGAAGAUAAUUUAACGAAACCUUACGGUCGAUGGUUCCAGAAUGAUGUUCUUGAAGCCAACUACCGUCGAACACAGGGUACUCGUUUUGGCUUGGAGCCUUCACAUGGAUGGUCAACGAAAGCAUCGAUGGACGUGAAUGAGGAGGAGUUUAAUUACUCUUCGAUGGUUCGGCCUCCAGGACGGCUGUGUCUAGAUUAGUGGCGAAGGGGGAUGAUGAAUUGGAAAACAGUACAGUGGGGAAUGAUCGGAAUAAUAGGAUCAAUAAUGAGGGCGUCGACUUAGAUGAGAUGUCCAUUGAUGACCUAGCUGUUGUCCAUUUUCAGGAACUUCCAGUUGAUCUAGCGUUGAUGGGGACUAAUCAGGGGGACAUAUCAAUUGACUCAUGUGGUUUGAGACUCUUUGGGUUUGAUUUGAAUGUCCCGAAUGUUGAUAAUGACAUGUUUCGAGGAGUACAUGCUUGAUGUUAACUGAUGGGCCCAAUGAAGCAUACAAUAAGGAUGAGGUGAGAGGGAGUGGGCUUAUGUUUAGUUCUAAUAUCGUUCAGCAUCAGGUAUCCUUUCAUCAGGGGCUGCCUCCUCAUAGCAGGCAGUUUGAGGAGGGAUCUAAUGUUGUGGGGUUUGGAAAGUUUGAGAUGGGGUCUGACCCAUUUAACCUUAUGCCAAUUGUUGAACAAUUGCAGACAAAGAGGAGGAGGAAGUCAAAACGAGUUAGGAGGGUGAGGGGCACAGCUCAACGUGGUACCCCCUCUUCUGCUCAAGUAUCCACAAGUACAAGGCUACCGGCUUUAGGGAAACGUGCUGAGCGUGAAGAGAAUGAUAUUUUGGCACCUUCUAGUGAACGUAGAAUGAUUAUGGUCAAUGAGGUUGAUUCUAUUUUAUCAGCAGAGGUUGACGGUGGUCAAACCCGCCGGUCUCAAUAAGUUGCAUGAGUUGGAACUGCCGGGGGCUUGGGAACCUCCGUGCAGUUCAUGCGCUUCAACGUUUGAUUUUGAAUAAAGAUCCCACCGUGGUGUUUCUUUGUGAGACGAAGAGCAACGUUCGUUACUUGGAACGCCUACGGAUGAAGUUGAAUUAUGAUAGAAGUUUUACAAUUGCUAGUAAUGGAAAUUCGGGAGGUUUAUGUGUAUUAUGGAAGGAAGAGAUUGACUUGAGAUUGUAGUCUUAUUCAAAUAACCAUGUUGACUUUGAUGUGGAGGAGCCUGGGGAUCGUAGAUAUUGGAGGCUGACUAGGUUUUAUGGCUAUCCGGUGGUUUGUGAUAGGUAUAAGUCAUGGCAGCUAUUGGAUACACUCUAUGGCGAUGAGUCAAGUCCUUGGUUGUGCAUAGGCAAUUUUAACGAAAUUCUGCAAGUACACGAACAUGUGGGGGUAAUAUUCGGAGUGAGAAUCAAAUAGAGGGCUUUCAAAACAUUGUAGAGAGGUGUCAUUUCAACUAUUUGGAUUAUUCUGGGAACAUCUUUACGUGGUUUACAACCAGAGGGGGUGGUAUCAAGGUACAUCUGGAUCGUGCUUUGGGUACACAAGCUUAGUUUGAUUUGUUUCCGAGGUUCAGGUUGUAACACUUAAAUAAAACAUCUUUUGACCACGUCCCAAUCCUGCUCACAUGGGAUGAGAGGUGUAUUAGCCGAGGGAAGAGACAUUUCUGGUAUAAGAAGGCCUGGAAUAUGCAUGAGGGAUGUGAUGAGGUGAUAGGGCAAGGUUGAGAUACUAGUGUGGAAGGCUCGACUAUUUUUCAGGUGACUGAGAAGAUCAAAGCCACAAGAAUGUUGUUGAAUAGGUGGGCUCGAAGUAACAUAAGGUUAGGGCCGCAAGAAAUUAGGGAAGUUAAGGAUAAACUCACGAGUUUGCUGGGGCAGCCGUUGACAAGUGAGUCCAUUAAACAAAAGAAAGUACUGGUAGGACGGUUGAAUCUCUUACUUGAGCAGGAGGUACUCUUCUGGCGACAGAGAGUGAAGGAAAAUUGCGUGAGGCUUGGGGAUCAGAAUACGAAAUAUUUUCAUCAGAAAGCUAAUAAAAAAAAAAAAAGGAAUUGGUUGCAUGGCCUUACGGACAAGGGUGGGGUGUGGCAUGAGGACCAAAAGGGUAGGGAGAAUGUCGUGCUUUCCUAUUUUACCAGCUUGUUUACAUCGAAUGAUGCUACCAUGUUUGAAGAAGUUUUGAGUAACAUAACGCCUUUGGUAAUGGAGGAUAUGAACGUUGAGCUCAAGAGACCUAUGUCGGAUGAUGAAGUAAAGUGUGUUGUGUUUCAAAUGCACCCUACUAAGGCUCUGAGGCCUGAUGGCAUGACUCCAGGGUUUUACCAAAAGCAUUGGGGAAUUGUAGGGUUGGAUGUAUGUAGAGGAGUUUGUGAAAUGGUGUUAUCUGGUCAUAUACUACGUAAGAUCAAUUACACUCAUGUCACUUUGAUUCCCAAAGUGAAAGAAGUUACGAAGAUGUCUCAGUUGUGACCUAUCAGUUUAUGCAAUGUAAUUUAUAAAAUUAUGUCGAAGCUGUUAACAAAUCGUUUGAACUCUGUUCUUCCUCGUAUAAUUUCCCUCACUCAUAGUGCGUUUAUUCCUGGGAGGUUGAUUUCAGAUAAUUAUUUGGUGGCGGCGGAGGUUGCUCACUAUAUGCAUAAAAAUCCUCGAGGAUGAAUGGUUUUAAGGCAUUGAAGCUGGAUGUUAGUAAGGCCUACGACCGGUUGGAAUGGCAUUUUUUGGAGGCCAUCAUGACUCGGAUGGGUUUUUCACCGAGUUGGGUUCGAAUGGUUAUGUUAUGUGUGACCAUUAGUUACAACUUCAAUGUAACUGUCUAAUCCAAAUUAGUUUGAAUCUCAUUAGGUUUCCCUCCAAGACUUUAAAUCCGGAUAUUGCAUUAGUGCAUUAGUUAGGCUAAGUUCAAUAUAUAUAACUCACUUAACUUAUAAUGUUACACUUGUCAAAUGUUUGAUGAAACUCACAUUAAGUUUCUUACACAAAUCACCCCAGAAAAGUGUGUAGGAAGAUGAGAAUAUUUUGAGUUGAUUUUAUUGUGAUUGUCUUCUUACACCAUUCAAAUUCAAAGUCUAAGUAAGUUAAUGAUGCUGCUUCUGGAUCCUAAUAUGGUAGCAAUGAUACUGAAGAACUAAUUAGGUUUUAGUUUUAGGUGUAAUUAAGUUUUAGUUUUGAGGGUCAUUAGGUCUAUUUAAGUGAAUUUUUUACUAUAUUUGAAUUGUUUUAUAAAAAAUGAUAUUUAAGAAUUUGUGGAGUAAAUUUUUGCUAUAAAUGAUAAAAACCCCGGCAAAUCUCACCCUCUGGUACCACUCUCCUCCGUCGAACACUAACGUACCCCUUCCUCCAACCUUUCCGUUGAUUCUAGCCCUAGUAGUUCUACCAACCUCUCUUCUCUGUCGAACCCUCUCCUCCGCUGAAACCUCCAUCUUCCGUCGAACCGAUCCCCAAUUCCUCCUUCGUGGAGCCCAUCCCCAAUCCCUCAUCCGUCCUCUCCUCCAUUUGAUUCACAGUCGACCUCACUCAUCCACCGAAUCAGAUCACCUAAUAAACUAAAUCAGUCAUUUCUAAUGAACUAGAAGCAACAAUAUACAUGGUUUCAAUGAUUUUGAGGUUAAGGUCAUUUUCUAAAAAAUCAUGCAUCAAAUUGUAUCUGGGAUGCGCAGAACUAUGGUUGCUCGCGAGAAAGAAUGAGUGUGUUUGGUUACGCAUGAAAGAAAAACAGGAGUACUGGCAACCAUGGCAAAGUGAUAUUCUCUAAUAGCAACUCUAGCCCUAUCUUUUAGGGCUGAUUUGGUAGUACUUUGCUUAAAAAAAAAAAAAAAAACUAUUUAUGCUAUGUUGUGAAAAUAAGAUCAUUUUUGCUGCUUCACGUUUUUAGUUUUUUUUUCACCCAAAGUGAAAAUAAGUUGUUUUUAAGUGUUUACCAAACACUUUUUUAAGCUCAGUUUUUUUUUUAUACCCACUUUUUAUAAAAGCACAUUAGUAUCAAAUCAGUACUUAGGCUGGCCCAAAGCCUACAAAAUAGGCUGGUACCCAAAAACUCCACCCCACUCUUAAAAAUAUGCCGGUCCAAAGUCUAAGUCAGUUUGUAGGUCGAUCCAAAAUAAACUGAGGUAGGAACUGACCUAUCUAACGUCAUACUGACACCAGCAUAACGUCAGCGAACAAUAGGGUUGGAGUUGCUCUAAGUGGUCCACUUAAUAAGUUGGCCAGAAUACUCGUCCAUCAAUAAAUUCUACUUUGGACCAUUGGAGAGCAUUUAUGAGCCGGUCCCUAUGAUUUGCAUGCUAUGUUUUACUGACCAAAUGGUGAAUGCAAGAACUGUAAGUGACAAUUUAUUCACGUUGUCGAACAAAUAUCGUGGCCAUCAUGACUCACCACUCACGUCACAUUAAUGGUAUUGUCAUGAAUUUAACCACAUAUUAUUAGUUGUAAAGUUUUAUCACAUAUUAUUAGUUGUAGAGUGGUGUGAGUUUAUGGGUUUUAUAUGUACAACGUGAGACCCAACCACUUCUUGUUUUUCUCUAUUUUAUGAUUGGCUACCUAUUUUCUUUUUCUUGUUAUUUAUUUUAUAGGCUUGACACUCAUGAGUUUAAUAUAUUGAACUUAAAAAUAGAAUCACCCUCAUAGCACUCAGAUUUUUGGGCAUAUUGUAAGAAAUUAAUUCCUAUAUUAUUGGUAUCAUACUUACUUUUCUGGUCUGUUGUAGAAGGUUUUAGCGGGAUUAUACAAAUAUGAUAUUUAAAAUGUGGUAGUAGUAAUAUUUUUGAUAAACUAAUGUAUGUCUAUCAUUUUUUUUAAAUAAACCGACAUAUGGUUAGUCAAAAUAUCAACAAUAUUAAUGAUAUAAAUAAUAGUCGUGAACCCAUGAAAUAUUAACGUAAUUAUCAGUAUUAUUAAAUAAUCAGACAUGUGACAUAAUGAGACAACAUAACCUAAAUUGCACUCCUUGUUAUAAAGUCAUAAAGUUGUGAAACUUUUUUUUUGUUUCUGCUAAAGGUGACACGCUUAACUUGUGGUAAAACAAGAGUUUCCACUGACCCAGUAAUCUAUAUAUACAUGAAAUUCAUAAGCUCACAAGUCACACAAAGGUAAGCAAAAACAACAUUCUUUGACCAAAAAGAAAAAAAAAAGCAAAAAGAAACAUUCUCGAUUCAAAAAUGGAGCAAAGCAAGGGCAGGAGAGUGAUCCUCUUCCCACUGCCGUUUCAAGGCCACAUAAAUUCUAUGCUAGAACUGGCCAACGUUCUACACUCCAGAGGCUUCUCCAUAACCAUUAUUCACACACGCUUCAACUCCCUCAACCCUUCUACCCUAAACCCACACUUCACGUACCAUUCAAUCCCUGUCGACUUCUCCGAAACCGAGGCCGCCUCGAGGGAUCCCAAAGGUUUUUUUUAUCUUCUCAAUGUUAGAUGUAUCGAGCCUUUCAGAGAAUGCCUGGCCAGGUUGUUAUCGGAUGAUGUUAAGUUGGAAGGCCCCGUUGCUUGCUUGAUCUCAGACACUCUUCUUCACUUCACUCGACCCAUUGCGGAGAGUUUUAAGCUUCCGAGGAUCUUGUUAGAUGUCUCGUGCGCCACUAAUUUUGCUGUUUUGGCUGUGUUUCCGCUUCUCAAGGAAAAGGGUUACCUCCCAAUACAAGGUACAUCAGAUAUAUGCUUCUUUCUUUCUAUGUUGGUUACAACAAAAUAACUCAUUACCAUUAUUAGUUGCAUAAAAUAGAGUUGCUAAUUUUUUUUUUUUUGACACAGAUAGUGCUUUUAUCAGAAUAAUUGUCAAAUAUUACAAAAUGUCUUUUUACUCGCCAUUGGUACAUAGUAUUACUAGUUCACUGGUUAUAAACAUGAUUGAACUGAUGAUAAUAUACAAAUACUUGAACAACUUAUAUUUGGCUUUCUAUUAUAUUGGCAAUAAUUAGAUUCUCGACUAGAAGAGGUAAUCACAGAACUAUCACCUAUCAAAGUUAAAGACCUGCCAAAGGCGCCCGGUUCCGAUCCUGAGAAUUAUUAUCAACUGGCCAUCCAAGUGUCAAAUGAACCAAAGUCUUCUUAUGGACUCAUCUUAAAUACAUUUGAAGAUCUUGAAGGACAUGCUCUGGCCAGAAUCCGCCAAGAACACCUGCCCAAUGUUCCCAUUUUCCCAACAGGUCCAUUUCACAAGUGUUGCCGUACAAUAUCCUCUUCAAGUAGUUUAUUGGCACAAGAUCAGAGUUGCAUUUCAUGGCUGAACACUCAAGCGCCCAAAUCUGUUGUUUAUGUUAGCUUUGGGAGCAUUAUUCAGAUAGAGGAAGCUCAAUUUUUGGAGAUAGCUUGGGGGCUGGCCAAUAGCAAUCAACCUUUUUUGUGGGUUGUUCGACCCGGGUUGGUUAACGGGCUUGAUUGGCUUGAAGCGUUACCUAACGGGUUUUUGGAAGCAUUGAACGGGAGGGCUUACAUUGUAAAAUGGGCUCCACAAAAAGAAGUGUUGGCCCACCUAGCAGUCGGAGCCUUUUGGACUCACAAUGGUUGGAAUUCUACAAUGGAGAGCAUUUGUGAAGGGGUCCCUAUGAUUUGUACACCAGGUUACAUUGAGCAAAUGCUGAUUGCAAGAAAUGUGAGUGAUGUUUGGAAGGUAGGGCUGCAAUUGGAGCAUGGGAUUGAGAGAGGUGAGGUUGAAAGAACAAUUAGAAGACUGAUGGUUGAGAAAGAAGGGGAAGAGAUCAAAGAGAGAUCCUUAAAGUUGAUGGAAAAGGCAAAUCGUUGCCUCAAAGAAGGUGGCUCUUCGUACCAAUCUUUGGAUGGCUUGGCCAAGCACAUUUUAUCGUUAUAAAUCGUUUGUAUAAGAAACUAAGUGGUAUUGCAAGUAGCUCUUUACCACAGUGGUGAAAAUAAGUUGAGCCCUUGCAUGAAGGCAUGAGUUUAAACCCUGUCGGUGACUAAAUAAAAGAAAAUAUAUCGUUUAACCAAAAAAAUAAUAAUAAUUACUAAGUGGUAUUAUUUAUUCAAUAAAAUAAAAAUAAAAUUGUUGGGUUGCAUUAUGUGUUUACAUAAAUAGAGGCUUUUAGCAAUGUGUUAACUACAUUAUGUGUAUAAAAUAAAAUCUCGACAAAAGCCAGUCUUCACUUUACUACCCGAUUCGCACAUUUCAACUUAAUCUUCAACUCAUUCGAACAUGUGAUGUAGGUCAGAAUACCAAUAAACCAAAACAAUAAUGGUUCUAAUUAGGCCUGACAAUUUUGUAAACGACACGAAAAUAAUAAGUUUCGGAUAAUUACUAAGUUACCCAUUAAUAACGGGUUUACACACAGGUAACUGGUGGUUAACCCAUUUCGACCUGUUAAGAAAAAAAUAUUUUGAUGAUUUGAAAGUUAAGCUACUAAACAAACUUACUAUAAAAUAUAGUAUAUAUUGUAUAUUAAAUAUGUAUUAUUGUAUUACUAUUCUACGUAAGUUAAAAAAAAAAGUUUUAUUUAUUUAUUUUUAUUAUGAGAGUUUCUUAUCAUUACUACGAUAAAUUUUACUUGACAUGGUAUCCUAAAUUCAAAUCAACUAGUAUAAUAUUAGUAUAAGCAAAAUGACAGACUUUCAAUUUCAGAGUCAACGACGUAGCAAAGUUUUUACUCUCUCUUAUACAAUCAUACUCAUAAAUGUUUCAUCCUCUUAAAAGUGAGAUUAAAACAUUAUAAAACACAUUAAAAAAUUAAAUAUCAAAGUAAUUUAAAAACACCAAACAUAUUAAAAAGUAUAAUAAUUAAUUUACAAGUGCAAAAAAUGUGAAAAAAGAAUAUGCAAAUACUUGUGAUCACAUCCUCUACGCUUUGAGAUGGGUACAUCAUUGUUUGAAUUUUUAAAAACGUACAAAGCCUCAUGAAUAAUAUUUUUAGGGGAGUUCAAAAUAAAUAAAAUUUCGUAAUAAUUAAUGUACAAGUGUGAAAAAUGUGAAAGAAUAUAUAAACGCUCGUGAUUGCAUCCUCCACGCGUAGAUGAUGGAUACAUUGUCUUUUAGAAUUUUAAACCCUCCAAACCCUCAUGAAUAGUGUUUUUAUUUGAGUUCAAAAUUAAUAAAAUUUGUAAUAAUUAUUUUAUAAGUGUGAAAAAUGUGAAAAAAAUAUACAAUCACUUAUAAUGAUAAGCUUUACAACUUUCGUGAAGGGAUCAACUCCGAAAUCUGACACCAUAAUCCAUGAACCUUUGAUUUAUAUUUAAUCGUUGAUUAUUGUUUACGCUUUACUCUUUCACUAAAUUUUUUUUUUUCAUAUUUUCUUUUUUAAAAACAUGAUCUUUUAACGGAUACAGAAAAAUGAACGGUUCGGAUUGUUGAUAUUACGUUCCAAUAUUUACGGUUACCUGAAUAUGAGUCGAUGUUAUAUAGUUUUUGGAGACUUUAUAAACUCUAAGCAAUAAUUUCGCUAAUGGUAAAACUUUGAAUGUAAUAUCAAUGAUCCGAAUCGUUCAUCUUCCUGCAUCCUCUAAAAGAUCAUGUUUUCAAAAAAGAAAACCUUAAAAAAAAAAAUUGGUGAGAAGAAUUGAGCGUAAAUGUAAAUGAUUAUCAACGAUUACAUUUCAAUCUAUAGUUUAUGUGAUUAUAGUGGCGAAUUUUGAAGUUAAGCCCAUUAUGAAAGUUGUAAACCUUGUUAGUACGAGCGUUUAUAUAUAUAUAUAUAUAUAUAUAUAUAUAUUUUUUUUUUUUAAUAUCUUACACAUCUUUCACACUUAUCCAUUAAUUAAUAUUUAUGUGAUACGUGAAAGACAAAUGUGUUUUUAUGUUUUGAAGUAAUAUUUAUAUGAUAAUGUGGUAUGUAUAUACCAAUUUAGUAUUAUGUUUUUUAUUUGAUUAUUUACUGGUUUAAAAUAAAUUUUCUUUAAAGGAUAAUGGGUCGGGUUAUAUUACCUGUUAAUAUUAACAGUUCAAGUUCGGACUGGGUCAUAUUACUCGUUCAUUUUAACAGGUGUUGCAUGACACAACCCAUUAAAAUAUCAAGUAUGACAUGAAAACAACACGAACAUGAAAAACACAACACGAAUGCAGUUUUAAUAACAUGGGAGAAAGUUGUCUCAGAGCCUCCUAUAUGGCAUCCAAUAUAACAACCAAAUUAAAAUUUAGGGUUUCUUCGUCACAGUGAAUGCUUCCAAUCAAAAUAUACAUAUAUAGUAAUCAUCAUACUUACAUUGUCUACUUUUUGUUGAUCCAAAUUAUUGGCAUACAGGAAUUGCGGCAAAAAAACUCUUUCCGUGUGAGUUCUUCUCUCUUCCUGAGAGUCGUUCUCACUAUUGUGUGAGUGGUUUCCCUUCCGUUUGAUAAUGUCAUUGUCGGUCCUUGCUGUGGCGGAGAUCGGUAACAGAUCAUUCCAGUUAAUCUGCGUCAGAAUAUUAAUUGGGAAGCUAAAGUUUGUGCUUUAUUGAUAAUGGGAACUGGGACAAAGUCCAACUUUCUCAAGUAUUAGAUUUAGAUGUUGUGAAAAAAAAAUCUAUUUGGUAACUAUUCCCUUGCAUAAUAAGGAAGUUUACUUCAUUUGGGAUCAUUCAUCAACUGGUGAUUUCUCAAUUAAAUCAGCUACUUGGAUUCAGAGUAGUCAAAACCAUGAAGUGAAUAGACAAAGGCUCCUUAAGAGGUUGUGGAGGUUAAUCAUUCCCCCUAAGGUAAAAAAUUUUGCAUGGUUGCUUAUUCAAGGAAAAUUGCAUACUAAGGUAAGAUUGAGUAAAUUCAUUCAAAAUGCUAUUAAAGAUUGCUCGUUAUGUGGCAAGGAGGAAGAAACACAAAGUCAUCUUUUUCGGAAUUAUGAUUUUGCAAGAGAAGUCUAGAACAGAUCCCCCGUUAAAUACAUGAUGGAGUAAUGUUGGUCAUACGAAUGAGUUUUUAGAUUGGUUAGAAUUAAUUAACAAUGAUGAAUUCAAUGGUUUGAGUGAGCUUAGUAAGGCUCAUCUAAAUUGUCGGCAAAUUUGGAAUGACAUGAAUAAUAAAGUUUUCAGAAGCAUAAGUCCUCAUCCUGCCAGAAGUAUUGCCAUUGCCGCUAGAGUGGGUUUAUAUUAUUUUGAGGCCAAUUGCAAAAGGACUAACAAAAGCAACCUUUGUAAUCAAGCAAACAUUCGUUGAGAGCCUUCGCCCCAAGAUUUGGUGAAGUUAAAUUUUGAUGGCUUGGUUUAUUUAAAUAAAGCGGUUGCUAGGUUUGUUUUAAGGAAUGAGGCUGGACAACCUGUUGGAGCUGGUGCUUUUAAUCUCGAUGGGGCCACCACCUUGCUCGCAGAAGCCACUGCUUUAAAGGAGGGUCUUUCUUUUGCCAGGCUCAAAGGUGCGAGAAAGCUUGUUAUGGAUGGAGAUUCCAAGCUCAUCAUUUAGGUGGUGCAGGGGGAGUGGAACCCCCCUUGGCAUCUUAUACCGAUCAUUGAGGACAUCAAGUGGCUAGUAUCGGGAUUUCAGUGCAUUAGAUGGCAUCAUAUUUUUAGGGAGGCAAAUUUUGUUGCGAACAAAUUAGCUCACGUGGGUCUAGCAGUGACGAAUCCAUAUUUUAAGGAUAUUACGUUCCUACUUCGGCCUUGGAUGCUUUUAGAUUUGAUUGUUUGGGAAUCGGUUGUACUAGAGGCUUUUCUGUUUAAUGAAAUCUUUUUUCCUAUAACAAUAAAAAAAACAUAUUUAAUUUUCCAAAAUUUUUAAUAAGCCUUUUAAAAAUAAAAAUAAAAAAUAAAAAAUAAAAAAUAAAACAAAACACCACAAUUCCAAAUUAUUACUUUAGUCUAAAGAAGGCUUUUCAAUUGCACUGUACAAAUGAACAGUGUUUUGAACCACAUUUCAACUUAUUUACAAGAUUGCCACUGCCUCUUCAGUUUCAGAUUGAAAAUUUUGAUUUAUUUACGAAAUUGCCACCCUUCAGAGUGCACGUGUCGACGAUCGUAGAAAGGGUGGGGGAUGGAUGCAAACCCGAUUUUGUUCCAGAGAUCUCUUCGACGACAAACCCAUUUUGCUCCAGAGCUCUUCAACGACAAAGUCGAUUCGGCGCCUCGCCGCCGCACUCCUCGCCAGAACUCGAAUCAAUGGUAACGUGCCAAUUGUAUAUAUUUUUUGUCAAUUUUUAUCAUUAUUCUGGAAAUUAGGGUUUGAUCUAAAUUUGGUGUGGCUGUGCUUCAGCCAAAACUCACGGAUUAGGCUGAGAGAGAUAUAUAUGGGAGGAUUUGUGGACGGAUUUCAGGGAGAGAGGUGUGGGAUGGCAGGGAGGGGAAGGAAGAGGGAUGAGUGAGGCUGCCAAAAAGGGGGUUAGGGUUGAUUUUUUUCUCCUCAAAUCAAUUGUGGUGUCGGUGAUUGAACGAGCAUUGGUUAGAAGGGAACUUUCGUUUCCUUUGUUUCUGAACCGGAAUGGGGUCGAUGGGACCAUGCUCUGUUGCACGUUCAGAUGAGUGAUUUCAGGGAUUUGGGGGUAGGGAGAGUGAUUUCAGGGAUUGGUAAUCCCAUCCCGUGUUUUCCCUUCAUCUCUGUCACACUCAACCUCUCUCUAAUCCUUUCUCUUUCACUCUCUUGCCAUGGAUUUGGAGGGGACUGAUGGGAGGGAGAAGGGCGAGGUAAUCAGAUUGAGUUUUAUUAGGGGGUUUGUGGGGUUUUUUUAGAGAUUUUUCUGUGAAAGCAUUGUUGUUGUAUGAAUUUUUUUUAUUGUGGGUUUUGAUUGUUUGGUUAUAAUUUUGGGUAUCUGUUUUGGUUUUUUCAAUCGGUUUUUGUGUAAGUCAAAGUUUUAUGCGGAUGAUCGUUGGUUCUAAACCAACCGAGCUACAUAUAUGGCUUUGCUUCCCAUCUACUGACAACGUUACCCUUCUUCGCUCUACAAAUUCCCUUCUAACUGUCCACACUUUUACAAAACCAAAACCAAUUUUAUAAAUUUUGAUCAGAUUUUUCUUCAGAUUAGAGAGAAAGGGUCAUAUAUUUUUGCUAUUUUCAGAGAGAGAGGAUUUGAUGGAAAAAGGCUAUAUUAGCAAAUAGAUGAUAUUUCAAAAUUACAGUCGUCUGAUUCACUUAUUUUUGUUCAUAUCUAAUAUUUCUGGAUUUUUCCAUGUACAUUAUAGAAUUUAGUGACAUUUGAUAAACAUUGAAUGAAGUCCUUCAGUGAAUCUCUCAAGGCGCUCGAAUCUGAUAUUUAGUUCGCCAACACUGUAAGAACUCCAAUUCUUUCUCUACUUACACAAUUCCAAAGCAAUGUGUAAUAAACAGUGGAAUUUUGAUUCAAGUUGUAGUAAUUGCCCUGCAAUUGUUUUUCCAAUAUGUUUAUACACUUACGGUACUCCAAUCUCUCUCUCUAUAUCUGUCUCUCUCAUUUCUUUUCGGUUUUGCAAAUCUCUGACUUUCGGUGGUUUUGUUUUCUUCCAGUUGUCGAUGAAUUUUAUGGACUUCCUUUGUAAUCCUUGCUGCAGAAAGCAAUCUCGACGCCGCUGUGGGCGAAGGAACGCCAUCAUACGAGCCACCACGCUACUGUUGGUAAUUUUACUUUUCUGAUUUUAUAUGAGUAUGUGGUUUGUUUGAUGAGAAAAUAUGGAAAACGAGAGAUUUUUUUUUGAAUUUAGGGUUGCUAUAACAUGAAUUUUCACCAUGAUUUGUGAUUGGUUUUGGGUAUCUUUCCUCUCUUAUGCUUUUUACACUGCCUGCAUCAACCCCUUUUCGUUUUUUGUCUUCUCUUCCAACUUAUGCCCUCAAUAAUGAUAUUAGAUAAGGCAUUUUAAAAUUUAUUGCUAAUAUUUUGAAAUUUGUGUUGUACUAAUGCCAUAAGGCAUUUUGAUUUUUGACAUUUUGUUAUGUUGGUUGGAAAGUUGGAGACUUUUCCUCUCUUUGCAUUUUGCUAUGCUGGUUGGAGACUUGCGAACUAUUGAUUUUGAAUGCUAUUGCUCUCUUUAUUCUUUAAAAUCGAGUAUUGGAAUUUUGAAUGGGACAGGAUUGGAUUUAUGACUUUGUGCUUUCCUGAAUGGGUUUAGUUUUGUACAGCUUGAAAUGUUGGUAUUGUUUUUGUUCAUGUAACUUUGGUUCAUUGUUCGUUGUGGGAUGAGAUUUGGGAUCUAUUUUUUUGUUUCAGUUUUUACAUAUCGAAUUUUCGAGAGCUAUUUGAUAACAGUCAGGCCUGUUUAGAGUCAGGUUUUAUAACUCAAACCAAUUCCAAUAGCUAUUUGGUAAUAGGAUGAGUAAUUAAGUAUCAAAGAGUGGGGAAUUCAAUGUCUUAUAUUGUCAAAUAUAAUGUUAUUGUGUAUGUAUUUACUUUGCAUAAACUUGGUCUCACUUUUGAUUGAAUUGUUGCAGUUCUUGGUAUAAGGAGCUAUAGCUCCAUUGAAGAAGUGAGAGGCAUACGACAAUAUUUCUUUAGUCUGGUAUGUCAUUUUAACGAUUGGAAUUCCACAAUUUGAUUAGUUUUGAUAAUUUCCGGAAGAAGAAGAAGGCCCUGUGUCCAAGUUUUAAAAAGCACACUUUGUAAUGCUUCAAAAUUUCAUGCUUUUUUUAGGAAUUCAGACAGGCAGCAUGCAGAUACUUCUGACUUUAUCAAGGUUAGUGAAUUAUGUGGUUUCUCCACGGGGUGCAGUUUUGUUGUUACACUUUGUAAAGCUUCAAAAUUUCAUGCUUUUUUCAGGAAUUUAGUAGUCCCCAUCAUCAUCAGUUUGUCUGCUAUUGCAGUUAGGGAAGCAUUCCACAGAAGAAGGCGGGGUUACACCUUCAGUUUAUUCACGCAAAGAACCAGUAUGUCGAAAAAUAUAUGUUACUCAAUUCUUAAAAACUUUAUGGCGUGACAAAAUAAAUUUGCAAAUUGCUAAUUUUUCUGUUUUGUAUAAAAUCUUUGUUCACUCUACCUGAACAGGUACACAUGUUAAGUUUUCUUUCAUCUUAUCUUUGGCACAGAAGGCACCAUCAAAAUUUAAACUUUUUUAUUUUUUUAUUUUUUUUCAUUCGGCUGUUGAUGAAGGGAUUGUUGUUGGUGGAUGAAACCUUUAGGUAAUUAUCUGUUGCUUAUUGAACUCCCCCAAUCAUGAGUUUUGACUCGGAAGAAGAUUUUGAUGAUGACAGAUACUAAAUUAAAUUUUGGCUCAAAUUGUAUUGAAAAUUGCAGUUCAGAGCAAUUUUAUGAGGAAGAAGGAUGAAUCCUAAACAUAUGUAUGAAUUUAGUCAAUUUCUACACGCUCCAUUCAGUAGAUGAAUUGUAAACAUAUGAAUUUCAAGCACCUGAAUUGAAUAGAUGCUUUUAAUUCUUCUCUCAUCUAAACCUUAGAUUUUUCUGCAAUUUUAUUUCUUUGUUGUUUAUAUCAUCGUUGUUUGAAUAUAUGGUUAAACUUAUUUCAUUAAUUGUUGAUGCCGUGUGUUGAUAAUCAUGGAAAGGUAGGGGUGCGAUGGUCGUUUUAGUCUGUAGGGUUUCGAACGGAUUGGGUGGGUUAGGGCGACUUUCAUUUCCUUUCUUUCUAUGAGCUGUAGAGGGACUCGGUGAGAGCAUGCCGUCAGAGAGAGAGCGGGAGGGAUAGAGAUAGGGAUUUGGUGGGAACUCAUAAUGUAGUAGAUAUUCCUCAAUGCAAAGGUCCCAAUCCUAAUGACUUUAUAUUUGAUAUUUAAUCCUUGGAUUAGUGUUAAAUUCUAUAUUUUUUAGUUUAAUUUGUGUUUUCUUUUCUGUUUUUGCAGCUCAUCCUCCAAGUAUAAAUGCUGCUGUGGAGCUGCUUAAACAAGGUCCCUUUUCGGUUAUUAAAACUCAAUGUUACUUGCUUUCAUUUCUAGUUUUUGAGUCUUCUAUUUGUUUGCUUGCUGCAAUUAUUCAACUUAUGCCGCUAUAAUAUUUGUUUCCUUCUGUUUUGUCCUCGCAUUAACUACCAUUUGGAUCAUGUGAAUGACAACUUUCAUGUAUAUUUCGAAUAAUGAGCAGUUUAUUGCUGUUAAUCUUUUGAUCACUGUAUAUGUUGCUAAUUUGCCUUCUCAAACAACGUAGAUGUAAACAUUGAUAUAUAAAACUUAUAUGUUAAUCAACCAAUUUAAAAUUGGGAUUUUAACUGAUGGUCGUCCAUGGUUCCUUACUUUCCAGAUAUUGCAACAUGCAUAAAUUCACCUGGAAGUUAUUCAUGUCAAUGUCCCAAAGGAUACAAACAUGAAGGCAUGGAUGAAAAGAGUUGUAUCAAAGACAACAAAGGGUCAAAGGCCAUUCUCCUCAUUAUUUCAUUAGGUAUGCAUGUUUUUUUCACAUGUUAAUAUAUUGCAUAUACGAGUCUAAAUUUAUUUUAUUGGAGCCACUUUUGGAUCCAAAAUUCUCAUAAAGUAUGUCAUUGAUGAAAGUUAUAUUCUGCUGUCUUUUAGUGAUCUUUGAAUAGUCUCAAGCAGUAUUAACUAUCAGGGAUUUGUUUUCAUAUUGCAUGAAAUUUCCACUUUUUUCAUCUUUGAAUAGUCUCAAGCACGGUAAAUAUAAUAGCACUAGAAAGUGAGGAAAUCCACUUUAUUUGGUCAGGUUGGAUUCUCUACUAUGACUGCCAUUUUUAUCUCUAAACAAAAUUUUAAUGGUAUGUAUGAUAUAAUGGUAAAUUUAACUAUUUUGGUUUCGUUGUUCUCAUACUUUGGUGCCUCGAGUUUUAAUUUUUCAUAGCUGUGUCUGAGUUGUUUUCCAGUUACAAUUCGGGUGCCAUUGGCAACUUCUAGGGGACCAAAAUUGUUUUCAGGUCAAAAUACAGGAACCAAAUUGUAACUAGGCUAGGAGAUUACAUUACCAAAGUAGGAAAGUUUGGUCUUGAUUCAUAGUUUGGCAACACAAUAUGUAUGUAGGAUGUUGUUUUGGAACCGUUUGGUAAGUGUUAAAUACAUCCUAUAACAUGAUUGACUAACAAGCAUGGUCGUUCAGAUAUACAUGCAAUUGAGAUCACUGACUAAAUCAGGUUUCUUUUAUAUUGAAGCAAAUCUUGCCUAUUAGGUGUUUGUGAAAAUUCCCCAGAGUUAGAAACAAGGAUAUGAUGCAAAUCUGAAUGUAGGCUGUUUUGGUAUCUGUGUGUAUGUAUAGGGGUGUUAUAUUGAUAUGACAUGUUGCCUAAUUUAUCUAUUUUUCGAUUGUUAGAUCAAAGAAGGAAGUUCAAUUUAUCAAGGAUCAAGGUUUGGACUACUAGACAGCACGCCGGCUUCGGUUUGAGGUAUGGAAGUCUCGAGCUUGCAAUCUUAAAUUUCUGGUUCCCGAAUAAGAAAUAUGCUCUAUUUGAUCCCGAAUAAGAAAUGACAUAGGUCUGUGGCUUCCAUCAUUAUUAAGUUGUAUCCUUUUCUACUUGGGUUACAAAAAACCAUUAUAAUGAAUUAAUCAAAUUUUUUAUUCUAAGGAAGUAUGUAUUCAACAUUGUUUUUUUCUGAACAAUUUCAAUUAAUAUAACUAUGACCAUUUGUCUACUAUUUUAUAGACUCCCAUUGCCAUGUUGGUCUCUUGCUGCUAAAUGUGUAUUACUUUGUCUUCUGGGUGAGCGUUCUCUAAUUUAGAUUAGACAACAAUUCUUCAAGCUUGGUUUGUUUUCUGUGUCUCCUUCACUGUAUCUGUUCUGUGAAUGAACAGGUAGAUGUCAACUCUAGCAUUUAAUAGUGUUGUGCACCUUGACAGGUGUAUAUGUGAACGGCUCACAGGGUUUUUCUGAAUCUGUAGGUCCAGGAUUUAUUUUUGAAAGGGUAAGUCUGUUGUGAUUCUUUUAAUUCUCAUCUUCAGUGCAAAAGUUUGUGUGCAAACUUUUUUGUUGCAGUUUUAUUCUUCUGUAUGCAUUAUGUUUAUCUUUAAGUAAAGGUUGCUAAUCUUUUAUUUAUGAGUGUGUGCUGCUCGGUCUCCAAUGAUUGUUUAUAUUUCGAGGGUAUAAAUGGGGAGGCAAAAUGCAUUCCAAUAACUCGGAAUUCAACCUCCACCAAAUUGUAAGGAAUCCAAUUCCUCCAAAUUUUGGAGUUGGAUUCCAAAAUUUGCAUGGUCUCUUAAAAUUUUUGAUUCCCCAAUAUUGGGUAAACACUGGAGUAGUCAGUAAUCGACUUUCAAUUCCUUUUUUUUGUUCCGAUUACCCUUACAUAAAUGUAUUUAUGAUCUUUUAGUUUCAAGAGCCCAACUGUUGUUGCAAAAUGUGCUAUAGAUGGAGCAUCUAAUGUCUUUCUUACUUAUUGUUGGGCUCUUCUAUCUUUAUGUGAGGCAUUUUGUACUACUGCUUUUGUAACGUUGGGAUGUUUCAAGAUUUAUGACUGUGCGUUCUCUCUCUCUACACUUUUUCUUCCCUCGCUCCCUCUCAUGUAGAGCCAUUUUAUGGUACAAUGUGUUUAUCGGUUCUCAUGUCCAAGUUUUUCUUUCUGCUUUCUAUUAAGUUUUGUUUGUAUGUUAUGUUUUCAUGGAAUCUCUUGCACUGAUUUCAAUUACGUUGUACUUGAAUGUCCUGAACUCAAGUCAAUCAGGAUUUUUUUUUUGGUUGAAACCAUUGAAUUUCGUUGGACUUAAAUGAUAUAGAUGUGGGGAAUACAUUUACAUAAGGAUUAAUUUUAGGGAACUUUAACGAAAAGCACCCGGUACUGUUCACUUUAACGAAAAACCACAUUUCUACACUAAAAAGUCAAUCCUGGUACUAUUCACUUUACCAUUUAUUUUGUCCUUAUCAUUAAAACUAAAAGUUUUCAAGCCCUUUACAUUAGUUUUCCUUUAAUUUUAACCAUAGAAUUUUAUUUCAUUUUUCCUUGGAGCUUGAGUAACAAGAUCAUCAAAUUCUUAUAUUCGUUAUCGGUGAGAAUAAAUCUACAUGCAUAACAAUAUUGUUACACUUCUACUUUUAUUGGGUUUUUAUACAGUUUGUGUGUUUGCUUAGUCUUGCCUUGGAGUUGGAUCCACUUUGUGUAAUGGAUUGUGAUUUGUUUGAAAAUAUCUUUACUGAUGAUUUUGAGUAUAAUGUGUUUUUCUCUCCCUUUGUAAUCCAGUCGUGCAGAAGACAUCUCCAUUAACCGGUAACAGAUGAAAUCGUUUGCUGCCGAGGUUCACGUGCAGAAGAGCGAAAAUGCUGCAAGUGGAUGAUAGAUAACAGCUCAAGACACAUGGUAUGAGGGUGCAGGUAAACUGUACAUAUGCAUCUGGAAAAAGUUAAAAGUUAAGGCGGGUUGGCUAUAGCUUCUCCUUCUCGCCACAACAGGAAAUACUUUUGAACUGCAUUAAGAUGUUAAUAAAUUAAGCUUAAGCUAUAUUUUACUUAUCAAGAAUGGGUAAAUUGUUUUAAAUAGAAAAAUUAAGUGCUUAUAUCAGGGAAACUAUCAAUUUUACAAAGUUUUUUGGUAAAUUAGAUAUAUAGUUUAAUUUGAAGAGUUGUGUUGACCUUUACUUUUGUUAAAUUAUAUAGUUUAAUUGCGUCCUCUUUUUCCAAUCCUUAUAUAUCUGCUCAACUCUUGGUCAAUUAUUUGCCAGUAAGAAUGUUUAAUUGCUUGAUCAAUGAUGUCCAUUCAAUUUGAAGAAGAAACAGGACUUUUGUCCAAUAGGAAUUUGAAAUAGGGAUUGAGACCAGAUAUGAGUAAGAUGUCCCAAUUGUUCAUUGAUUCUUAGAUGCUACGUCUUUUUAGUUGAUUUGUGUGGAAACUAUUCAUGCAUGUUGCGACUAAUAUAUUCAAGUCCCCGUAGCAACGCGCGAGCAUAUUUUCUCGUACAUAUACUAAAACCCAGUUUUAUGUUACUGUUUUGCACUGUUAAUGAACAGUGAAAUUACGGAUAUACCCUUGGUUUCUCCUUUGUUUGUGCAACGAAUUUCCAAUUUUGCCCAUGCUGGCGACGGGUCAGUCAUCGUUGAUUUUUAGCCUUCGACUCGGUUUUGUUUACUCUACCUUUCUGUGUGGCUUUUCUUUCUUGCCGCUCUGUGCUUCCAUCCGUUUUGGUCUCGCCUUUGUUCUCCGCACUUUAUUUCGCAAAUUAUUCACGAAAUUGGUCUCCGUGGUUUUAUCCUGCGUUCAUGAUUUCUGUUUUUUUUUUGGGAUUUCGUUUUGCGACCUGCGUUUUGAAAGAAGUGGUGCAUCUCUGUGAACCUAAAUUUGUUGGCGGUCUGUGGAGACUCAUAAAAUUCGUCUCCAUGUUUGAUCCUCCACUUCUAAUCGCUGGCGGAAGACUUUUUGUUUCUUUUUCCGCCUGCCAUACCGAAGUUGUUGCCGGAUUUCCCACGAAUUUUCAGGCCACUUUGGGCACAGCCUCUCUGCAAACUGAGGUAUUUUUUUAACCCAUUUCUAGAGAUGUUAUUAAUUUUUGUGAAAUAUUUGGUCUGGUUUUUGUUUCCCAUUGCACACCCAAGUCUGAUGUGUGUGUAAUAGUCCUCCACACUAAACUAUACGCUUCCAUCCAGUUGGAAAUCCAUGGGUUCUGUGGGUCCCUUGGCAUCCGCAACAACGUGAUCCUCCAUUUUGGUAGCUAUUUCCUUUUAGGGUUUUUGUGUGUUUUUCCUAAUGAAUUAAAAUGAUGUCAAGUUCCUCUGAUUAUUGCUACAUUGGAUCCUCAAUUGGAACUCAUCUCUCAUCAGAUUCAAUUGAUUGAGGGUAUCAAUUAACAUCACCCUUUUAACUUUACCAUGGUGUGGUUCCACAAAUUAAGUCAUACCGUUUUCUCUCAUUUAAAUUCUUGAAGUUUUAAUUGGAAUUUCUUUAACAGUUUUUAUGAAAUUUGUUAUCUUGUUGUUUUAGAUUUUUAUAAGGUUUUUAUGAUUCAAUUAAUGGGGUUUGUUUUCGUUUCAGAUUAAUUUGGUUCCUGCUAAAGUAAUCAAACAUUGAAAGCUUGGAACCAGCAAUCUUUCAAAGAGGUUGGUUGUUCAAUGUUUUCAUUUUUGUCUUUUUAGUUGUAUGAAUGUGGUGGUAUGAUUUACUGUUUACAUUUAUAAUUCCAAUGUUUGGUUAUGUUUCUUUUAGUUUAACUGUUUUGCAUAUAUUGAUUGUCCUGUGAUUGAGAUAAUAUGAUGUGUACAAUGAAACAAAAUUCAUUGAAAAAAGGGAUGUAGAAUUCCAUUUUUCAAACUUUUUUAUUUUGGUUUUUUAAAAUUAUCCUUAUCAAACCUAAUAAAAUUUUGUAAACUGAUGAUAGACAAUUUUUUUUCUUUUCCUUUUUACAGUAUUUGAACAAGCUCUAUUUUAUAAGCUUUUGAAGUGUGUUUUUGGCUUUGAAGACGUUCUGUGCUAAAGGUAAGUAAUAUAAACUUUUGAUGUCAUUUGAUUCAAAGUUUAAUUAUAUAGUUUUAUUCAUUUUUUUCUGAUUGAAGUCAAGUUUCAUAUUAUGUUUAUGUUUAUUGAGAUCAACUUUGUUUUAAACUUCUGUUUACAUUUGAUAUAAGCCAUAUUGAUUUGUAUAUGUGUUAUGUCUCUAUUAAUUUUUUUUUCUUUUUUCGAAAUCUGUUUUGCAGUUGUUUGCUUUUGAAUUAGUUGUCAGAGUUCCUUAGUAUCAUGUCUAAACGAUCUAUAAUUACAAUAAGUGAUGGUCUAGACCAAAAAGAAAACAUUGGCAAUAGUGAAUAUAAUUUUUUGAGUGAGUAUAAUUGUUGAUGCACAAAAUCAAUGAGGACUUUGGUACAAUAGAAAGUGUCAAGUUUGUUAGAUUGCUUUGGUCACUAGUGUGGAUAAGUAUGCAAAUGGAUAGGGACAAGGAAGCAAACACAAGAUGUACGUGGUUCACCUAGAUUGGCUACGUCCACGAAGUAGAGGAGUUCUCAUUAAUUGUGAAGGGUUUACACAAGUACAUAGGUUCAAGCUCUCCUUUAGUGAGUACUAGUGAAUGAUUUAGUACAAAUGACAUUAGGAAAUAUUGUGAGAGAAUGAUCUCUAUUUAUAGAAGAGAGUUUCUAGUUUCAUUCUAACAUUGACAUGUGUCGUGUUGUGAUUGGCUUCUGAUGUCGACACAUGUCGCACUGUGAUUGGCCUCUUGGUUGGAGGGAAACUUUUCUGGAUGCUUGACGGUAUAAUGUUGAUCGAUGCGCCAUAGUUUCGGGAUUGGUCAAGUAUGGUAUAAACAAUAAUCAUCAACCAAAAAGACUUUGUAGAAUUGCUUAUAUACAAAAUUGUGAAAGCACUUCUGUUAGCGAAACUGAUGCAUUAGUUUAUGAAUAUUCACGAGCUCCAGUGCAUCUUCUGUUAACCAAUGUGUUAUUAUGCUUGUGAGCGAUGUUCAAGUAUUAGAUACCACCCCGUUUAAAAAUGAAAUAUAUGUUUGUGAUCGAAAAGGCUAAAACAUUAUUGGUUUCUCGACUGGCGUUGAAAACUCUGUUGGAAAAAGCUUAGGCGCUAACAAUUAUAAUUUCAUGAGUAAAGGUCAAUCCUUUUUCCAAGCAACCAGAAAGGGUGAGUUUUACAAUUUGUAUAAUGAUUAUUUCGUUUAGGUUUGAUCUUUACCGUUUAGCUACUUGCAUGUAGUGAUUAAUUUUUUCUUUCUUUUUGUGUGUUGUCUUUUUAGGGAUUAUGAAACUUUAUAUGGAUUUGGGUGACAAAAAUUACAAAUGUGUAUACUGUGGUGCAUUCUUGGUUAAAAGAGUCUCUUAAACACACAUGGAAAACAAAUCAACCCAUUUUCACUCUAUGUUGUCAACAAGGAAAGAUUAAAUUUUCAACUCCAAAACCGACACAUGCUUUUUAGAUUCCUUGCUUGAUCCAAAUGGAGGUAAAAAAAGUUUAUCAUUUCGAGAAAAUAUUAGAGCUUACAACUCGAUGUUUUCAUUUACUUCAAUGGGAAAAAAAGUUGAUAAUUCAAUUAAUGACAUAUCAAGUCCUUACAUUUUUAAAAUUAGUGGUCAAGUUUGUCAUUUGAUGGGGUCUCUUUUGCAUGUUGAUAAUGAGUCACCAAAAUUUGCUCAAUUAUAUGUUUAUGAUACAUAUAAUGAAGCACAAAAUCGUUUAAGGGCUGUUAAUUGUGAUAGAACAAAUGAAAAACUUGAUUCAACAAUUGUUGAAAACUUGAUUAAGAUGUUUGUUGAGUCAAAUGAGCUGGUAAAACUUUUUCGAACAGCGAGAGACAAAUUUGAAAAUGAUGGUUUGGUCAAUUUCAAAAUGAUUUUGUUGGGUAGACAACCAAAUGAUAGUAAGCAAUAUGAUCAACCAACAAGUGAUGAAAUAGGUGGAUUAAUAGUUGAUGAUAUAGGUUUGUCAGACUCUAAUAGAAAUAUUAUUAUAGAUUGCAUGAGUGAAGGAUUAAAACGUGUUGCAAAAUUGAAUCCAAAAUUUAUGGCUCUUCAAUACCCUAUUCUUUUUCCAUAUGGUGAAGAUGGUUACAGGCUUGAUUUAAAAUGGAAUGAAAAUUAUAACGGUUCAAAAAUAAAAAGACAAAGAAUACCUAUGAGAGCUUAUAUAGCUUAUCUGAUUCAAGAAAGAGAUCCAUACUUAACUACUUUGUUAAAAGGAGGUAGACUUUUUCAACAGUAUUUAGUAGAUUCUUAUGCGAUGCUUGAAGAUGAAGAUAGAUUGGAUUACAUAAGACAAAAUAAAAAAAAUUUAAAAGUGAGAUUUACAAAGGAAUUUAUGACGCUGUGUCAAGAGGUAACAACGAUGCAAAUAGUUUGGGACAAAAAAUUGUUUUGCCAGCUUUGUAUACAGGAAGUCUAUGAUUAAUAAUUAUCAAGAUGUUAUGGCUAUUUCUAGAGAACAUGGACAUCCUGAUUUGUUUAUAACAUUUACCUGUAAUGUGAAAUGGCCAGAAACUAUAAGAUAAUUUGAAAAUAGGCUCGACUAUGAUUCUCUUCCCUCCUAUUUUCAUCCCCUCCUCUCACAUUCUCUUAUUUUAUCUUUCUCUUGCUAUAAAAAAUUAAUAUAAGAUAUUGACGUGCCUUAACCAUAACCGUUCAAAUAAGAGAAGAGGAAAGGGGAGGGAAAAAAAUGAGGGGAGAUAAUUCUACUCCCAAAAACAAAGGCAUCAAGAAGAUAAGAUUCCAGGGUUGCGUGCGUGAGCGAAUUUUCCAAGCUCAGCUGCCUCAUCAUUCACCAAUAAAUUCACACGUUAAGCUAAGCAAACGUAAACAUUGUCGAUUGAAAAAUGGAGCAAAGCAAAGGCAGGAGAGUUAUCCUCUUCCCGCUGCCCUUCCAAGGGCACAUAAACCCUAUGCUAGAACUGGCCAACAUUCUGCAUGCCAAAGGAUUCUCCAUAGCCAUCAUCUCUACCAACUUCAACUCCCUCAACCCUUCAACCCUAAACCCACACUUCACCUACCAUUCAAUCCCUGUUGACUUGACAGAAAACGAGGCCUCCAUGAAGGAUCCAUUCCUUCUUCUUUCUAUUCUAAAUGCUAAAUGUGUUGAGCCUUUCAGAGAAUACUUGUCCGGGUUGUUAUCCAAGGACGUUAAUUCGGAGGACCCCAUUGCAUGCUUGAUCUCGGAUCCUCUCUUCAACUUCACUCGAUCGGUUGCGGAAAGCUUUAAGUUGCCGAGGAUCGUGUUAAGAACAGGGGGUGCAGCUUCCUUCGCUGUUUAUGCUGCAUUUCCACAACUCUUAUGCUGCAUUUCCACAACUCAAGGAAAAGGGUUACCUACCAAUACCAGGUACAAUCUCAAGCCAACAAAAUCCUAUUAUCAAAUGUCUUUUUAUCUCAUCAUUGUUAGUGACCCACGUAGACUGAAGACACCGUAUCAAGACUAAUCACUUUUUUGGAAUUCUUUUAUAAGUAGCAUUUUUGUUCUUAUGAACAUUAUGCAAUAUGUGCUUUUAUUAUAAACAUGUAAAUUUUUUUAUUAAAAACUCAAGCACAUGGAAAAAAACUUCAAAGUGAUUCUUCUACUGAAAUCACUCCAUUGAUCCAAAAAUGUUUUUGGUUACCAAAAAACACUUUAGCACUUCUAGAAGCGAUCCUAAACUAGCAUUUUGACAAUUUGGGCAUAUUUGAGUUAGGCUUGUUAGGUUAGCAUUUUUAUUUCUGCUCUGCCUCGUCAUAAAUUAGCAUUUUAGAAUAUGCAUUAUUCUAAAAUGCUAAUUUAUAUAUACUUUUUAGGAACCUUAUAUUUGACUUUCUAUUUUGACAAUAAUUAGAUUCUCGACUAGAAGAGUGACGGAGCUUUCACCUAUCAAAGUUAAAGACCUACCUGCAGCGAUGCCCAAUUGCGACCCUGAAGAUUUCUAUCAACUGAUAACCAACAUGGCAAAUGAACCCAAGGAUUCCCAUGGACUCAUCUUCAAUACGUUUGAAGAUCUUGAGGAAAAGCACUUGCCACAAUUUGCCAAGAAUAUUACCCCAAUAUUCCAAUUUUCUCACCAGGUCCAUUUCACAAGUGCGGCCCUACAACCUCUUCUUCUUCAACUAGCUUACUAUCACAAGACCAAAGUUGCAUUUCAUGGCUAAACACUCAAGCGCCAAAAUCUGUUGCUUAUGUUAGCUUUGGAGAGCGCUGCCAAGAGAUAGAUCACGCUCAAUUUUUGGAGAUUGCUUGGGGGUUGGCAAACAGUGGCCAACCUUUUUGUGGGUGGCUCGACCCGGAUUAGUUCAAGAUUCAGACUUGCACGAAGCGUUGCCUAAUGAAUUUUUAGAAGCGUUGAACGAAAGAGCUCAUGUUGUGAAAUGGGCUCUACAAAAAGAAGUGUUGGCCCAGCCUGCAGUUGGAGCCUUUUGGACUCAUUGAGGUUGGAAUUCUACAUUGGACAACAUUUGUGAAGGGGUCCCUAUGAUUUGCACGCCAUAUUUUAGUGAUCAAAUGGUGAAUGCAAGAUUUGUGAGUGAUGUUUGGAAGGUAGGGCUGCAAUUGGAGCAUGGGAUUGAGAGAGGUGAGGUUGAAAGAACAAUUAGAAGACUAAUGGUUGAGAAAGAAGGGGUAGAGAUCAAACAGAGAGCCUUAAAUUUGAUGGAAAAGGAAAAUCAUUGCCUGAAAGAAGGUGGCUCUUCGUACCUAUCUUUGGAUGGCUUGGUUAAGCACAUUUUAUCGUUAUAAGUUGUUUGUUUAAGUGACUCAGUAUUAGCUAUUCAAUAAAAUAAAAAAUAAAGGCUUCUAGUAAUGUAUUAAAUACAUUUUUAAGAGAGUUUUAAUAAAAAGGGUCUUAUAAAAUAAAAUCUUAAUAAAAGCACUCCUUAUUGGUUACUUUAAUAUAAUUCCUAAUUUCAGUUUUUUGUUGGAAAUCAAAACUGAUGCAUUAUAAAGUUGGUUUUAUACUACUUAGUCUAAUAUUGUUAGUUAACCAAUUGAUCAUGUGCAGCACACCAUGUCCUAAUAUCAGUUUUCCUUCUUAAACAAAAACGGAUAUAUUUUCUUUGUAUCCUAACGUUGGGGUUAAUAAUGUUUCUGUUACCCGAUUCGCACAUUUCAACUUAAUCUCCAAUCCAUUCUACCAUUUGACAUACGUCAAAAAACCAACAAAACAAAACAAUAAUGGUUUUAAUAAGAUGGGAGCAAGUUGUGUUGGAGCCUCAUAUACCGCAUCCAAUCAAUCUACAUAACAACCAAAAAAUUAGGGUUCCUUCGUCACAACGAAUGCAUUCAAUCAAUAUACAUACAUAAUAGUCAUCAUACUUACAUUGUCUACUUUUAAUUGAUCCAAAAUACUGGCAUAUUGUUCCUUGGAUGCUUCUACUUGCCAUCAAAUGAUUUUCCAAUAGCUUUACCCCAGCUCUCAAUCAGCAGAUACUCUGUUUCUGAUGCCCUAUGAUGCAUGAACAUGGUGAUAUCCUCUCUGUUGCGAGUUAUAUAUUAGUUAAAGUGUAAAUAGUAAUUUAUUGUCCCACAUUGGUGAAAUAUAUAUGUAAUACCAAUUGUAACUCCUAUAUAUACUCCACUUUGGAGAUUAAUGAUAUAUAAGAAAUUCCCAAAUAUUGUCAUAUAUAUUUUUGGUAUUUAUCAUGUUUAGUUUAAUAUUGGUAUUUACCAUGUUUAGUUUAAUAUGGCAUCAGAGCAGUUCGCUCUUGGUGACCUGUGUGCUUUAAUUUUGUGCCCACAUUUUUCGUGAUUUCCUCUGUGAAAGAAAAAAAAAUGAAUAGUGUCGCACUACAAUACAGCGCUUUGCUACAGUGCGUGAACAGUGUCCUGCUUGUGAACAUUGGUCAUCUACAGUGUCAUGAACAGUGAUUGCUACAUUGCUAUGAAUAGUGAUUGCUACAGUGUUUUGGUAAAUUGUUUUCAUUCCACUGCGUAUCUUUUGUGCUUUUAUUGUUAGUGAUUUUGUUCAAUGGCACAAUAUAAUCAUAGUGUUGUUAUGCAUCUUGGUGGAACAAAUAAAUGGAUAAUUGAUACUGGGGUCAUUGAUCAUGUGACUAGUGACCCCAGAGUGUUUGAUGAGUUAUUUGACUAUGUUCAUGAUCCGUAUAUUACUAGUGCAAAUGGAGCACCUUCUCCUGUGAAGGGUGAAGGCACUAUCUCUCUGACUUCAAUCUUAUCACUCGUCUGUGCUUUACUUAUUCCUGAUGUUAAGUGCAAUUUUUUGUCGGUAGGAAAACUUCUUGAUACCUUAUAUUGUUCUGCUCACUUUUAUCCUACGUAUUGUUAUUUUCAAGACAUUCAAACUCAGAAGAUAAUUGGUUAUGGUAAAAGAAUAGGGGGUUUGUACAUCUUGAUUAUGGAGGAUACUGUUGUUUCUGGUUCAAAUAAUCAUCAAGUUUUAAGUGCUAAAGUGGAUAACAAACAUCAAAUUUGGUUGUGGCAUCGACAAUUGGAACAUCCACCAUUCAAUUAUAUAAAGCAUCUAUUUCCUUCUUUGUUUCGCACUUGUAGUGAUUCAAAGUUCAAGUGUGAAACAUGUGUUAUGGCUAAGAGUCAUCGUGCUUCCUUUCCUGUAAGUGAUUCUAAGCUACUUUGUCAUUUAAUUUGAUACAUUCUGAUGUGUAGGUCCAGCGAAAGUUACUUCUAAUGGAUUCCGUUGGGUUGUUACUUUUAUUGAUGAUUAUACUUGGUUAACUUGGGUGUUCUUGAUGAAAAAUAAGAGUGAUGUUCCGUUACUUCUUCAAGAAUUUUGUACAAUGAUGUCUACUCAGUUUCAGACCAAAGUUAAGGUCUUCAGGUCUGAUAACGGAGGAGAAUAUGUGAAUCACACUUUGGCAUGUUUUUUUCGUUAUCAUGGUAUUAUUCACCAGACGACUACUCCGUUUACGCCCCAACAAAAUGGUGUGUUAGAACGGAAGAAUCGUCAAAUAAUGGAGGUUGCUCGCUCCUUGAUGUUGGAUAAAUGUGUUCCUAAUCAUUUGUGGGGGUCAUGCUGUUUUGGCUGCUGUGUAUUUGAUCAAUCAUGUUCUAAGUAGGGUUCUUGAUUUUCAAAUAUCGUUUGAUGUGCUACAAAAACAUUUUUCUCUUGUUUCUGUAUCAAAGCUUCAUCUGAAAGUGUUUGGGUGUAUUGCGUAUGUGCAUGUCUACUCUCAUCAGCGGAGUAAACUUGAUGCAUGUGCUCUCCGGUGUGUCUUUAUUGGGUAUGCUAACAAUAAAAAAGGCUAUAAUUGUUAUCAUCCUACGACUCAAAAAACUUAUAUUACCAUGGAUGUCACCUUCCAUGAGGAAGUUUUGUACUUUGUGAAGUCCUCGUCCGACUCUCCACUUCAGGGGAAGAGGGGGAUUGAAGUGCAGAUUCGAAGAGAUGGUAUGGAUGAUGUGUUACAGGCAGAGUUAGGAACAAAACCUAUUAUGUUGCGUGAUAAUAAUCAGUCGGCUACAGAUAGUAAUUGGUCACCUGUUAUUCCCAGAACUAUUUCUACUGACAGAUCAGAUGUGCCCACCGAAUUGCCUGUUAGUAUGUUUGACGAAUUACCUUCUGAUGAUCGGUUGCCUGCUGCUGAUAUGUCUAACGAGUUGCCUGAUGAUGGUUCGUCCAAUGAUGAUUCUUCUACCAGUUUGGUACAAGAUGAUGACAUACAUAAGGUAAAUUCUGACGAUUCUUCUACUUAUCAGUUGCCUCCAUGAGCUAAUCGUGGAAAACCUAAAGUACAUUAUGAGCAUGAUAUGCAUGCCAAAGCCAAAUAUCCUAUCAACAAUUAUGUGUCUACUCGUUUGACCAAACCAUAUGCAUCUUACAUAUGUUAGCUAUCUAGUGUAUCAAUUCCAACAAAAUUGCAAGAUGCUUUGUCUGACCUUAAGUGGGUUAAUGCCAUGAAAGUUGAGAUGGAAGCUUUGGAAAAGAAUUCUACUUGGGAUUUGGUUCCUAUACCAAACGGGAAGAAAGUUGUUGGAUGUAGAUGAGUGUUUACUAUUAAGCACAAAGCAGAUGGUUCUAUUGACCAGUAUAAAGCCAGAUUAGUUGCUAAGAGUUAUACUCAAACAUAUGAGGUGGACUAUCAGGAGACCUUUGCUCAUGUUGCCAAACUUAAUACUGUGCGUGUUCUUCCGUCCUUAGCAGCAAACCAGGAUUGGCCUUUGUUGCAGUUUGAUGUUAAGAAUGCUUUCAUUCAUGGUGAUCUUAAGGAGGAAGUGUAUACGGAUCUCCCACCUGGUAUUGGAACAUCUCCUGGAAAAGGUGUUAUAUGCAGGUCACGAAAGGCCUUGUAUGGUUUGAAACAAUCUCUUAGAGCGUGGUUUGGGAGGUUUACAAGUUCAAUGAAGAAGUUUGGGUAUAUCCAGAGUCAUUCAGAUCAUACUUUGUUUCUAAAGCGACAAAAUGGUAAGCUAACUGCAUUGAUUAUUUAUGUUGAUGACAUGAUAGUGACUGAUGAUGAUCAGAAUAAGAUACAACGCCUUCAAAAGUACCUAGCUACUGAGUUUGAGAUGAAAGAAUUGGGUGAAUUGAAGUAUUUUCUUGGAAUCGAGGUUGCAUGAUCCAAGCAUGGUAUUUUUCUAUCUCAACGGAAGUAUGUUCUUGAUUUGUUAGCUGAAACAGGUAUGUUAGAUUGUAAACAUGUUGAUACUCCGAUUGAGCAGAAUCAUCGUCUGGGCUUAUUUCCAAAUCAAGUUCCUACUUAUAAGGAACGGUAUCAGAGGCUUAUGGGGAGAUUAAUUUAUUUGUUUCGCACUCGCCCUGACAUUGCUUAUGCAGUUAAUGUGGUAAGUCAUUUUAUGCACUCACCUAGUAAAGCUCAUAUGAAUGCACUGACCCGUAUUUUGAGGUACUUGAAGAUGGCUCCUGGCAGAAGCCUAGUUUUUUCCAAUGAUGGUCAUUUGAAUGUCGAAGGGUAUACAGAUGCAGAUUGGGCAGGUUCUAUCACUGAUCGGCGAUCUACAUCUGGAUACUUUAUGUUUAUGGGUGGUAAUUUAGUUACUUGGAGAAGCAAGAAACAAAAAGUGGUGGCUAGGUUAAGUGCAGAAGCUGAGUUUCGUAGUAUGUCUCAUGGUGUAUGUGAGUUGUUGUGGUUGAAAAAAUUGUUGAGAGAUCUUGGGUUUAAACCCAAAGGUGCUAUGAAACUUCAUUGUGAUAACAAGGCUGCUAUUGAGAUUGCUCAUAAUCUAGUGCAACAUGAUUGAACAAAACAUGUGGAGAUUGAUCGACAUUUCAUGAAGGAAAAAUUGGAUGCUGGAAUUAUUAUGUUUCCGUUUGUGGGAUCUGAAGAUCAACUUGUUGAUGCUCUUACUAAGGCUGUGUCUAAUAGUGUGUUUUCCAACUUGCUUGACAAGUUGGGCAUGCGUGAAAUCUUUGCACCAACUUGAGGGGGAGUGUUGCGAGUUAUAUAUUAGUUAAAGUGUAAAUAGUAGUUUAUUGUCUCACAUUGGUGAAGUACAUAUGUAACCAAUUGUAACUCCUAUAUAUACUCCACUUUGGAGAUUAAUGAAUAUAUAAGAAAUUCCUAAAUAUUGUCAUAUAUAUUUUUGGUAUUUACCAUGUUUAGUUUAAUAUUGGUAUUUACCAUGUUUAGUUUAAUACCCUCGUAUCCCAGUAUCAUGUCAUGUGGUAUUUCUAUGUUGUAUCAUGUCGUAUCCUGGUGUCUAUAUCCAUAUGUCUUGAUAGGUAGCCUUACAGAAAGAUAUGACAUAAACAAAAAGACAUUUGUAGUUAAUGAACACGCUUUAAUAUUUGGGUUAGAAGUUGUUAGAAUAACUGGGUAGUCAGUAGUUGGCUAACCAUCCAUAUAUGAUUUGUGUCUUAAUCUUUUAGGGAAACGUCCUGAGGGGAUUAAGAGUUACAUCAUCUUGAAUGGCUGAAGCCAGAAUUUAUUUGACAUGUUAAUCUCUGGUUAGACGAGGGGAUUUUCAGAGAGAAGAAGAGAACAUUGUGGAAUAUGACACGUGGUGGAAGAUCAACGGGGGAGCAUAUAUCGUGCUGGCUGUGGUUAUACGUUUUGGGCUAGUUGAAACAUUUUACUUAUUGGACUGCGAAGGAAUACGAGGGUAUAUGCCCAUAGACAAGAUGAAAGGCUCAGUAAAAAAUAAGCCCAAAAUCCAAUUGGUAAAUAUAUUCCUUGUGUGUGUUUAAGCAACCACAUAAAAGAAGUAAUGACAAAAGGGGCUGCCGGUGGAUUAAGCUUUCAACUCCUGGAUGCAUUCCUUUUCAUGUCAAGUGGUUGAUGUGACAAGCUCGGCGAGGUGUGAGUUCACACUUAAUCUCCUUGAAAUUACGGGAUUUAGCCCUUGAAAUGUGUUUUUCCAUAUGAAACACCUUUUGCAACACCUCCUAAUCUGAAAUAGGAGGGGAUGAGAAAGGUAUGAGAUGAGGAGGGCAGACAAUCCAAGUCCUUACAACACCCUCUAGUCUGAUUAUUCACAUAGAUUUACCGCCCAUAGCUGCCACGUCAUAAUCAUAAUUUUAAACAUUGAGUCUGUUACUGACCGCAAAUCUUCCAAUAAAAUGCCCAUUAAACAUCUAGCAGUUUAGCGAGCCUAUUGGGCCACGUUGUGAACUCAGUGCUUAAUUUUGACCCAAACAUAUAUAAUUUUCAUUAAUUCAUAAAGUAAUUUUAUUCAUUUUGAAUUAAAUUUUCCAACAACGAGGAAGGAAAUGUUGUAAUAAAACAUACGAAAUUCGUAAGCUCACAAGCUAAGCAAAACAACCGGUCUUAAAAAAUCAAAUGGAGCAAAGCAAAGGCUGGAGAGUGAUACUUUUUCUGCACUCCAAAGGCUUCUCCAUAACCAUUAUCCACACUAGCUCCAACUCCAUCAACCUUUCAACUAUAAACCCGCACUUCACCCACCACUGCAACAAAAAUCAUCAACAGAAUAUACAAUCAAAUAGAAAAAUCCUAUUUUUUUAACCAACAGUUACAACUACUGAUCCGAAAUCACCAAAACCCAAUUGGAGCACACAAGCCAAAUCAAAAUCAACACACCAAUUUGUCUAAACUCUUAAAGGUUAACUAGCUUUCAUGCACGCGCUCACGUGCGUGCAAAAGACAUUUUUUGAAUCACGGUGUGCUACGCGCGAAUUACACGUUUUAAAUGUAUUUAUAUGCGUAAAUUGACAAAAGGAAAGUCAAAUAUUUGAAGUAAAUGAAUAAUCUCAUAUCAUGCUAGAAGAAACUCCUCAUAAAUUAAUUAAAGCAGUUGAAUUCAUAUAAUAAAAACGAUCUUUAUAUAAUUUACUUUAAGAAUAGAGAAAAUAAUAUUUAAUAAGCAAUUAAUUGAAAAACAUUAUGGCUAGCCCAUUGUGAGGAGCCCACCUCUCACCUCCAUAGACCAUCUCCAAUGGUUGGGCUAAAAGCCAAAUAUUUUAGCUCGGAAAAUUUAGCUUUUAGCCCAAAAAUAGUUUUUCUGCUCCAACCGUUUUGGCCUAAAAUUUUAGUCCGGGAUUAUUAAAGAAUGAACUUAGACUAUUUUUUUCUUAAAUUAAAUUAAAAAAAUUAAAUAUGUAGACUAUCGUAAAUUAAUUUUAUGAACAUUUUAAUCUAAAAAAAAUUAAAUUCCGAUAAAUAUUGAAAAAUCACUAAAUUUUCCACAAAACCUUCUUAUUUUGAUUUGUGCCAAUUACACCAUCUCCGCUAACAGAAACUCAUGCCAAGCAUAGAGCAACAUCUUCAUCACAUGUCCAAUUACGACCUCUAAUAUGCUUUCUUGCCAUGUUGAACAAUUUGGAAAUGGAAAGAAAUGGUAGAAAGAUAAAUUGGAAGAAUUGUAAGAGAAAAUUGAGGAUGUUUGAACAAAUACAUAGGUAUUUAUAGAGUUUUUGGGUGAAUUUUGAGUUAAAUAAUUUUUUAAAAUUAUUUUAGCCGUUGGAUUUAAAUUUGGGCCGUUAGAUCUUUUUUUUUACCGUUAUAUUUGAUUAUAUUCAAUCUCAACCGUUGGAUUCAAUGUAUUUUAAAAUAACAUAUUUAAAACAAAUCAAAUUUGAAUCCAACGGUCCUUGAAAACUAGCCAUCCAAUUCAAAAUGUAGCUGUUGGAAUUCAGUGGGUGGCCCGACAAACCGCUGACAGCGGGGCCCACCCCUGUCGGGAAUGAAAUGCAGGCGCUCCGUGUGGGGCGCGUUGGAGCGUGAACCGGCCGAGACUGGCGCUCAGUGAGUCCAAUCGCGCGAGGGGGGUGGAAACCUGGGGGGUAUUUGGCCCAGAAAUAACAUUUGGCAUUUAGCCCAAAAUUUUAGCAUGGAUUGGAGAUUGUUUGGGGGGGGGUAAUUUGGCUUUUAGCCUCCCAUUGGAGAUGGUCUUAGUGUAGAUAAUAUUGUUUGUUUAAAAAAUAUCAUUUGACAACUAAUUUAAUCACAUUAUUGUCCACAUGCUGAAGACCUUUUUUAUAACCGGCAUUACACUCCUCUUAAGAUGUUUUGAAUGUGUUUAAAAAUAGAAAAAAAAAAUAUUUAAUAAACAACCGAUUGAAUCAUAUUAUUGCUAGUGCAUUGUAAGGUUAACCCCACUUGACACACCUCGACCGAGAUCAAGGCAUGCCGGCCGUCACACGGGAGUGACGUAGCCAUGUGCACAGUGCAAAAGCAAUAAAGAAAAUAAAUAUAGGAAUAAAUAAAAACAGAAAUACUAGAGUGCACCACUAAACAGAAGGUGAUAGGAGUUAGUUACAACAGUGAACACUCCUAAUCAGAGCAUAAAGUCUAGGUGCAGUCCAGUAGGACAAGUACUAGUUAUACAGUACCAAGAAUGUCAUACUAUUAUUUGGAUAAGUCAGAACUGCCGACGUCCUCUAGCCACCAACAGCAAGCUUACUUAAAACUGGAGGGGGGCAAAACAAAAAACGUGAGUGGGAAAAAACAAAUGCUUUACAAAGUCAUUUUCUUUAUCAACUUGUCUAACCUCUCGCUGUAAAACAUAUAUAAUUUUUCCCAGAAUUAGAAUAUAAGCAUAUACAUAAUUUAUAUAUAUACAUAUAUAUAUAUAUACAUAUAUAUAUAUAUAUGAAAUCAUAUCAAUUCAAUUCAUGCUUCACAUAAUCAUAUUCAAAUAUAUAUGCCAUGCUAAGAUAUAACAGAGUAAUCAAUUCAAGUAAGAAUAAAUUCAUAGAAUGUGAUAUGUUAGCCGGAACCCUUGUGGUAGUCUGUACGGCUGAACAUAUAGCUCAAAGUCAAUCUAGCCAGAGUCACUACAAUGACCUAUACGGCAAUAUACUACACAUAAGUCGGAACCCCUAAAAGGUUUGUACGACAAAAUUGGGUGUAAUACGGUUAUGCUCAAUUUUACUAUCUCAUAAUAGUCGAGCGAUAAAUUGCUAGUCACCUACGAGUUGGAACCAUAAAUAAGGUUUGUAUGACAAGACUGUGCACUUAAUUUGGAUCCAGUAUGAGCAUAUAGUGCGGGAGGUGACUUAAAUAAACAGGCAUGUACUUCAUAUCUCUGGCUAAAUCACAAUCACCCUAGGUGCAGUUUUAUGAGCUCAACAUUAUUCAAUUACAUAUCACAUCAUUGAUGAUUCACAUAACCAAAAUAUAACUCACCUGAACUUACCUGGGCCUCCACAGCACCAUGCGACAAUAUGCAUAAUUAUGAUAAUGCAUAUACUAAAAUAAAAUAUAGGCAUUGGCAUAGCAUGGCAUUUAAAUCACAUUUCCUUUAAAUAUAUUUUCUGGGAAAAACAUCAAGUAUACUGAAAACAAAAGCCCACUCACUGAUAUGUCGAUGGGUCGUAACCCCCGAGUCGCCCUUGGAUAUGCUCGUCCUCGGGAUAAGUCUCACCUAUAUUCGAAUUAACUAUAAAAACGUUAUUUUAAAGCACAUAGACAAAACUAGCUAAUAACUUCUAAUACAUUGCUCAAAAUGGGUAUACGAAUAUACCAUAGUGACCUACACAACCUUACGAAUAUCGUGAUAUUUUUUGAGCUCCCACGCGCCGGCAAGGGCACGGUAAAACGCGCCCCCACGCUUGGCCCAAACCUGACGGAUUCCCUAACCACCGUUAGGGAAUAUUCCGUUAAACCUAACAGAUUCCGCUAAAAUUGAUUGACGACGUUAGCAUAUUCCGUCCAAACUGACGGAAUAUGCCGUCAUCUUCUCUGACGAGUCGCCGAUCGCCGGGAAACUGGGUAAAAUCUCAAACCCACACAAUAAACUCUAAAUCUCAAUAUGUCACACAUACACACUACAAUUUCCUGUCCAAUGUUAAAACUGUCAUUUGACCGCACUAAUAAAUGAAUUUCGGGACGGGCUGUGACAAUCUCCCCACCUUAUAAAAUUUCAUCCUCGAAAUUACAUAUAAUAAAUACAUCCACUAAUAACCAUAAAACAAGCAUGGAUACAUCUCUCGCAUCCGAUCCUCUGUCUCCCAAGUAGCUUCUUCCACUGAAUGAUUUCUCCAUAACACUUUUAGCAAACGAACUGUCUUGUUCCUCAGUUCUUUGUCCUUCCAAUCCAAAAGAGUCAUUGGCUCUUCAUCAUAAGUCAAUUCCGAAUUGAUUUCCAAGGGUUGAGGAGGAAUCAUAUAUGAAGGAUCCGAAACAAAAUGUCAAAGCAUCGAAACAUGAAAUACAUCAUGCACAUUGGAUAACUCUGGAGGCAACUUAAGCCUGUAAGCAACCUCACUUACUCGCUCGGUGAUCAUAUAUGGUCCAAUGAACCUAGGACUCAACUUUCUUUUCUUUCCAAAUCGCACUACACAUUUCCAAGGUGAUAGCUUCAGAAAUACCCAAUCGCCUACAUCGUACUUCCGAUUAGUGGCAUGCUUGUCUACUAAGCUCUUUUGUCGAUCUUGAGCCGCUUUCAGGUUAAACUUAAUUACCUGAACAUUUUGAGUAGUCAUAUCCACAAUCUCAGGGCCCACUAAAACUCUUUCGCCAACCUUUGACCAACAUAGAGGUGUACGACAAGAUUUCCCAUAAAGUGCCUCAAAUGGUGUCAUACCAAUGCUCAAAUGAUAACUGUUGUUGUAGGCGAACUCCAUUAAAUCCAAACAAUCAUGCCAACUAUCUCCAAACUGCAGCACUGAAAAUCUCAACAUAUCCUGUAAUGUCUGAAUGGUCCUCUCAGAUUGUCCAUCUGUCUGAGGAUAAUAUGCCGUACUAUAAAGUAAUCUCGUACCAAAAGCUUCCUGGAAUGCUAUCCAGAACUUAGAAGUAAAUCUAGGAUCCCGAUCCGAGAUAAUAUUAACUGGCACACCAUGAUACUUCACAAUCUGUGAUAUAAAUAACUGAGCUAAUUGGCUUAGCGAAUGCUUCUCCCUCACUGGAAUAAAAUGUGCUGACUUCGUAAGCCGAUUAACUACCACCCAAAUGCCGUCAUAUCCAUUCUGUGUACGAGGAAGCUUGUACACAAAAUCCAUAGUAAUAUUUUCCCAUUUCCACUGUGGAACGGGAAAUGGCUGCAUCAACCUAAACGGCUUCUUCCUUUCAGCUUUAACCUGUUGACAAAUGGCACACCUACUCACAUAUUUGGCAAUUUCUCUUUUCAUACUUGGCCAAUAAUAAAAUGGUCUAAUGGUAUGAUACAUCUUAGUGCCUUCUGGAUGCAUUGCAUAUGCCGAAAUAUGUGCUUCAUCCAAAAUUUCUUUCUUUAACUCUGCAUUAUUCGGCACAUACAUCCUGCUUUCCUGCAUAAGCAUGCCAUCAGUUUCUCGAAUCUCGAAAUCUUUCUUUUUGGCUUGGUUCCUUGCUUGAAUUAUUUCAUGGGUCUCUUCAUCAAUCAUUUGAGCCUCAAGUACAUGAUCAAUUAAAAUUGGCCUAACCUGAAAAUUAGCACGUUCACAAUCUUCCACUCCUAACUCCACUCCAGUGGACCUCAAAUCUGCUAAGAGAGGAACAUGACAAUCAUAGAUGGCAUUAAGUCUGGUUGGAGUCUUUCUACUAAGUGCAUCUGCCACUGCAUUUGCACGACCAGGAUGAUACUCAAUCGUGCAAUCAUAGUCACUAAGUAACUCAAUCCACCUCCGCUGAUGAAGAUUAAGAUCUCUUUGAGUAAACAGAUAUUGGAGACUUUUAUGAUCUGUGAAGAUCUUACAUUUUUCACCAUAAAGAUAAUGUCUCCAAAUCUUCAAGGCAAAGAUGAUAGUUGCUAACUCCAAAUCAUGUGUAGGGUAAUUCUUCUCAUGAGGUUUCAACUGUCUCGAAGCAUAAGCAAUUACUCUACCAUGUUGCAUCAAUACACAACCCAAACCAUUCAAAGAAGCAUCACUAUAAACCUCAUAAUUACCGCUAUCAUCUGGAAGUGCUAAAACAGGAGCAUGAGUGAGAUAAUACUUCAACUGCUGAAAACUUUGCUCACAUUUAUUAUCCCACUCAAACUUAACAUCUUUUCGAGUCAACCUCGUCAAUGGCAGAGCAAUCACUGAAAAAUCCUUAACGAACCGUCUAUAAUAGCCUGCUAAGCCAAGAAAACUCCGUACCUCGGUGACGGUUCGAGGUUGCUCCCAAUUCUCCACGGCUGCCACAUUCUGAGAAUCCACUUGAAUGCCCUGAGAAGAAACUAGAUGUCCCAAAAAUGCCACUUGGUUCAGCCAAAAUUCACAUUUGCUAAACUUAGCAUAUAGUUAGUGUUCCUUCAAACUACUCAACACCAACUUCAAAUGUCUAACAUGCUCAGCCUUAGACUUAGGGUAUACCAAAAUAUCGUCAAUGAAGACAAUAACAAACCUGUCCAAAUAUGGCUAGAAUACUCGAUUCAUCAAAUCCAUAAAAGUUGCUGGUGCAUUAGUUAACCCAAAUGGCAUCACAAGAAACUCAUAAUGACCAUAUCGAGUCCUUAAUGCGGUUUUUGGGACAUCUUCAUUUUUAAUCUUCAAUUGGUAAUAACCUGACCUCAAGUCAAUCUUAGAAAAUACACAUGCACCUCUGAGUUGAUCAAAUAAAUCAUCUAUACGAGGCAAUGGAUAACGGUUCUUAAUGGUCACUCGAUUCAAUUGCUUCUAAUCAAUGCACAACCUCAAAGUUCUGUCUUUCUUCCUCACAAAUUAAACUAGAGCUCCCCAAGGUGAAGUACUCGGCUGAAUAAAACCUUUAUCCACUAACUCUUGCAACUGGACUUUCAAUUCCCUUAAUUCAGAAGGAGCCAUUCUAUAAGGAGUUAAGGAUAUGGGAUUCGUACCUGGAAGCAAAUCAAUAACAAACUCCACCUUUCUAUCUGGCGACAAUCUAGGCAAAUCCUCAAGAAACAUAUCCGGAAAAUAUCUGACAACACGAGCAUCCUCCACACUACUAGGAGCAUUAUUAUUCAACACCACAUGAGCCAAAUAUCCUUGACAACCUUUCGACAACAAUCUCUUUGCUUUCAUGGCUGAAAUAAUACCAUGCCUCACCCCAUUAGGCUCUCUUACAUAUGUAACUUCAGGUAAUCCAGGACAAUGAAAUGUGACUGUCUUCUCAUAACAACCUAUCUUGGCACGAUUAUAGUGCAACCAAUCAGUGCCCAAAAUCACAUCAAAAUCCAUAAUAUCCAACGGCAUACGAUUAGCCGGCAUAAUAAUAUCCUCUACUAUCACUGGACAUCCUAGAUAUACUUGAUCCAUAAAACAGCUAUCCCUUCUAGGCAUAGAAAAUUCUAAAUUAUAUCCUAGAGGUGUAGGAUGGGGUUGCGACACUUGAGCAAAUGUAUGAGAAAUAACAGAAUGUGUAGCACCACAAUCAAUCAAUACUCUAGCAAAAUGACCAAGAAUAUUUAACAUACCCAGGAUUAAAUCUGGAUUAUUCUGGGCAUCUUGCAGUGACAUGUUGUGGAUACGUGCCUGGUUCUACUAUCGUCCACCGCGACCUUUGUUGGUGUGAACACCACGUCCCUGCCUCUGCUGACCCGACUGCCUCGAAGGUCCUGCACUACUAGCAGCAAUUUCUCCCUGCUGGGGUUGUCCCCCUUGGUACCACUGAGAUCCUCCGGCUGAAUGUGGCUGAUAAGACAUAGAUCCUUCAUGAUACUGAGGGUACCCACUCUGGUACUAAGGAUCUUGAUAGUACUGUUGCUGUCCUGAGGUGUAUGGAGCGACGUCGCCCUGAUAGUGGUAGGCACAUCCUCGUCCAGUCUGAUUGUAACCACCAGAUUCUGAAGCUUGCUGAAUCGGUGCAGGUGGUGGGAAGGAAGGCUGUUGGGGUAUCUGCUGACUCUGAGGGCAUUGGGUAGCCUAAUAACCCAUCUGACCACAAGUAAAACAUCCAUUGCUGCCUCUCCUACACUCCCCAAAAUGUCGAUUAUUACACAUGCGGCAUAAGGGAGCACUAGAUCCACCUGAACCACCAAAAUCUUUCUGCCUCUGAAACCUAAAGCCUCCAGUGAAUUUACCACCUCUCCUCUGCAUAUUAGUACUCAAUCCUCCGCUAGAAGAGCUAGAGCUGCCACCAUUCCUCUUAAAGUUCUAGGUCUUGCGGAGUCCCUGAAAUGCUUACCCUUUUCCUUUGUCAUCUCGUCUCUAGCCCCCAUUCUUUCCUUCCUUAUCUUCACUUUCACUAGGCAUGUUCUCUAAGGCCUCAAUCCUCAGUAGAAUCUCAUAGAACUCCUGGCAAGAGGCACAGUGAGUCGAUGUUGCUAUGGAAUGCCAUUUCUUCUUAGUACCUAAACUGAAACGAUGAAGCAUCUCUACUGGGUUAGCAGCAACCUCCGGAUCAUAUCUCGACAGAUCAGUAAACAUCCUAUAAUACUCAUUAGCGGACAUUUUCCUUGUCUCAGGUGAGUAAACUCCUGUUUCUUAAGAUUGAUAUAUGUAGGAGGAAUGAACCUUUUCCGAAACCGUUCCUUAAACAUUCCUCAGUCUACAAUCUCUUCUGGGGUCAUCUGGUAAGACUCCUGUCUCCACCAGGAUGCAGGCUGUUCUUUUAAAACCAGGUAGUCGUCUCGACCCACUUAUCAGGAUAAAGAUUCCCCUGACUCUGCAUCACCUAAUAUGUCUUCUCCACAUGAUUCAGCCAUUUUUCUACCCCCUCAUGACCUUCAUUAUCCAUGAAGUGAGUCAACUUCAGAUUAUGAACUAUCUCAAGAUGUGUCAUCUGAGGAGUACAAAAUGCUGUCUGAAUGGCAGAAACUAUAGCUUUCCCCAAUUGAGCAAUAUUAGGGAAACUAGAUUCGGCUACUUGACGGGGCUCUCUACAAGGCGGCAUAGUUCUGACAUAAAACAUCACAAGGAUUAGAACAUUCAAGAAUUAUACAGGAUUGCUAAACCUAUGCUCUGAUACCAAACUGACACACCCCGACCGAGAUCAAGGCAUGCUGGCCAUCACGUGGGAGUGACGUAGCCAUGUGCACAGUGCGGAAGCAAUAAAGAGAAGAAAUAUACGAAUAAAUAAAAACCAAAAUACUAGAGUGCACCACUAAACAGAAAGUGAUAGGAGUUAGUUACAACAGUGAACACUCCUAAUCAGAGCAUAAAAUCUAGGUGCAGUCCAGUAGGACAAGUACUAGUUAUACAGUACCAUGAAUGUCCUACUAUUAUUUGGGUAAGUCAGAACUGCAGAAGUCAUCCAGCCACCAAUAGGAAGCUUACUUAAAACCUGGAGAGGCGCAAAACAGAAAACGUGAGUGGGAAAAAACAAAUGCUUUACAAAGUCAUUUUCUUUAUCAACUUAUCUAACCCCUCGCUGUAAAACAUGUAUAAUUUUUCCUAGAUUCAGAAUAUAAGCAUAUACAUAAUAUAUAUAUAUAUAUAUGUAUAUGAAAUCAUAUCAAUUCAAUUCAUGCUUCAUAUAAUCAUAUUCAAAUAUAUAUGACAUGCUAAGAUAUAACAAAGUAAUCAAUUCAGGUAAGAAUAAAUUCAUAGAAUGUGAUAUGUUAGCCGAAACCCCUGUGGUAGUCUGUACCGCUGAACUCAUAGCUCAAAUUUAAUCUAGCUGGAGUCACUAUAAUGACCUAUACAACAAUAUACUGCACAUAAGUCGGAACCCCUAAAAGGUCUGUACGAUAAGAUUGUGUGUAAUAUGGUUAUGCUCAAUUUUACUCUCUCAUAAUAGCCGGGCGAUAAAUCGCAAGUCACCUACGAGUUGGAACUAUAAAUAAGGUCUGUACGACAAGACUGUGCACUUAAUUUGGAUCCAGUAUGAGCAUAUAGUGCGGGAGGUGGCUUAAAUAAACAGGCAUGUACUUCAUAUCUCUAGCUAAAUCACAUUCACAUAACCAAAACAUAACUCACCUGAGCUUACCUGGGCCUCUACAGCACCAUGCGACAAUAUGCAUAAUUAUGAUAAUGCAUAUACUAAAAUAAAUAUAGGCAUUGGCAUAGCAUGGCAUUUAAAUCACAUUUCCUUUAAAUAUACUUUCUGGGAAAAACGUCAAGUAUAUAUAUACUGAAAACAAAAGCCCACUAACUGAUAUGUCGACGGGUCGUUAUUGGAUAAGUAAAUAAUAUGCCAGGUCAUCAUUGUACAUGUGCAGAACAUGUGCACAUAUAGAGUAGUAUAAAUAGUUACUUUCCUCUUGUAUUUGGGAAUGUCGGUGUAUAACAAAAACAGUUACAAAAAUAUAUUGAGAAAUUCUUCGGUUUCCUUCGCCUUUAAGCUUUCUUAGUCUGCAUAUUUCUUGAUUUCUAUGAAGCACUUCCUUGUAGUUAAGAUGGUAUCUAAAGCCGGUCUUGCUUGCGCAAUGGGUCUGGUUUCUGGGUUUCGCUGCUUCGGUUGGUGAUAAGGUGGUUUCUGUUUUUUUCGUUGCUUCGGUUGGUGAUAAGGUGAUAUUGUUUCACAAAUUCUCAAGAAUUUUGCUUAGAUCUGGAGUUUUUUUUUAAUUGAAGGCCGAUGCCAUAGUUUCUGUUGAAUUGACGAUUUAUAUGUUGUGUUCAUGAAAGGCCGAUGCCAAUUUGUUGUGAAUUUUGGGUUUUCUUGCUAUAAGUGAAUUGAUUGAAGGCCGAUGCCGAGUGAUGAAGUUUGUUUGUGAUUCUUGAAAUUGUAUAAUGAUUGGUUGCUCUUGAUUCUGUGUUCGAAGUUAAUUUUGUACAUCUUUCAUCUGGGUUCUUUCCACCGACUCAAAUUUCAUCUGGGUUUUUCUGGGUUCUUCCAUUAUCUUUUGGUGUUUGUUACAUUUGUUGAUAUUACAGUGAAUUUGUUCUUCCAAUCAUGGUUAAUCAAGUGAAAAUUGAAGGUUUGCUGGGUAUGCUUACGAUCAAACUAAAUGAUGAUAAUUUUCUUAAAUGGAGUUUUCAGUUUAGCUCUGUUUUGCGUGGAUAUGAUCUUCUUGAUCAAUUUCACAGGUGAUUAUGUAUGUCCUCCCAAGUUUGUUCUCACUCCUGAAUUAGGAGUUACUACUGAGGUUAAUGCUGAGUAUAAGGACUGGGUUAAGAUGGAUAUGGCAUUGUUAAGCUUGUUGAUUGCUACCCUUAGUGAUGAUGCAAUUGAGCAUGUGGUCGGCUGUAAGACAUCUCAUGAGGCCUGGAUUGCCUUACAUGAUCGAUGUAUGUCUAUUUCUAAAGCUAGUGUCAAUCAUCUAAAAGCUGAACUACAUACUAUGCAAAAAGGGGGGGACAUUAUUGAUAAGUAUCUGCUAAGGUUGAAAGCACUAAAAGAUCAAUUACAGGCUGCUGGAGAGAAAGUGUCCGAUAAUGAUCUUAUUAUUGCUGCACUCACAGGUCUACCUUCUGAUUAUGAUACAAUUAGAACUGUUAUUUUUGCCAGAGAGUCACCCAUUACUCUUGAGGAAUUUCGCGCUCAAUUAAUCGGUGUAGAGAAGAGUAUUGAAGCCAGAAUGAAUUCUUUGGUUCAGGGGAUGUCUGCUUUGUUUGUGAAUGCUAAUUCUUCUAAUAAUCAUACUGGGGGAUCUUCAGGUUCUUUGACUAAUCCUUCACCACCUCAAUUUUCUCCAAAUAUUGGCUAUAGCUCCUCUGAUAGUUCUUCUUCUUAGCCAAGUUAUUCUUCUGGUAAUCAAUUUCAGUCGAAUAGUUUUUCAGGCUUGAAUCAGAAUGGCAGAAUGUUUGGUAUGAAUACCUAUAGACCUCGAGGUAAUGAAGGUUAUAAACCAAGGUUCAAUAAUUCCAGAUCUGGUCCAAAUUGGCAAUCAUGGUCGGGCAAUACUUCUAACAGGUUUGAUCUUGUCCCUGAGUGUCAAAUAUGCUCUCGCAAAGGUCAUGUUGCUGUUACCUGUCUUUAUAGAAAUGAUGGUGGACAGUCUGUACAAGAGUGUCAAAUUUGUGGCAAGCGUGGUCAUAUUGCAUUAAACUGUCGGCAUAGAGGCAAUUAUGCUUAUCAAGGCGCUCAACCUCCUCCUUCCUUAUCUGCUAACUAUGCAUAUCAAGGUUUUCCUAUGUCUUCUCAAGCUAAUAUGGGAUUGGUCUCUUCUCAAUCUCAGUUUUUGAAUAACAAUCAACCUCCUCAGUAUGUGCAUAACAUUCAGUCUCCUCAGUUUGUGCACUACAAUCAGUCUACACAGUUUACCUCUCCCUCUAUGUCAUCUCCACCUGGUUUUCCAGCUAUGAAUGCACAAUCUUCUGCUGCGAUUGCAAAUGGAGAUUCCUGGAUUCUUGAUACUGGUGCUUCUCACCACAUGACACCCGAUUUGACAGUCCUUGCUCAAUCUACACCUUAUGCAGGAUCCGAGAAGAUAAUAGUGGGCAAUGGUGAAGGUUUGAAAGUUCAAAAUAUUGGUCAUGGCACUGUGCAAACUCCUUCUCAUGUUUUACAUCUUAAGAGCAUUUUACAUGUGCCAAUGUUGACUGUGAAUCUGUUGUCUGUUAAAAAGUUGUGCAAAGACAAUCAUAGUUGGUUUAUCUGUGAUGAUAUUCAGUUUUUUGUGCAGGACAAGGCAACUGGGGCGAUCCUCCACCAUGGAAAGAGUAGCAAUCAUGAGCUGUUUCGAGUCCCUAUGCAUAUUUUUCCCACUUUACUGGAUCAAGGUGCGGGUUCUGCUUAUUUGGGACAGUCUGUGACAUCUUCCUUGUGGCAUCAACGUUGUGGUCAUCCUUCUAAUGACAUAUUGAAAACUAUGCUCAGAGAAUCAAAUAUAGUUGUUACUUCUGAUGAAAAUGUCAAACUUUGUUCUCAUUGUCUUGAUGGGAAAAUGAGUAGACUUCAUUUUUCUGAUAGGAUUGAUAGAGUAGAUAUUCCCUUUUACAAAGUACACAGUGAUGUAUGGGGCCCUUCUCCAGUUGUUUCAGUUGAAGGGUUUCGAUAUUAUGUGUCUUUUAUAGAUGAAGCUACUCGAUUUGUAUGGAUUUUUCCUAUCAUGAAUAAAUCAGAAGUUUUUGGUUCCUUUGUCAAAUUCUGUGCAUAUAUUGAGAAUCAAUUUCAUACUAGAGUUAAAGUGUUACAAUCUGAUGGUGGUGGAGAAUUUCUUAGUCAUGCUUUCAAAGAAUUUUUGGCAACACAUGGUAUAUUACAUUUUAUCUCUUGUCCUUACACACCAGCAGAAUGGAUUAGCUGAGCGGAAGCAUCGACAUCUUAUUGAAACAGCUAUUACAUUGCUAUCUGUGGCCAAGUUACCUCACAAGUUUUGGUCUUAUGCAGUCAAUCAUGCUACCUUUUUUAUUAAUAGGAUGCCAUGUAAGGGUCUUAAUAUGAUUUCACCUUUUGGGAAGUUGUUUGGCAAGAAACCAGACAUAGCUAAUCUCAAAGUUUUUGGUUCUGCCAUUUAUCCUUAUCUUCGGCCCUACAAUACUAAUAAGUUACAGCCUCGAUCAACCCAAUGUGUGUUUUUGGGAUAUUCACCAGGUUAUAAAGGUGCUAUCUGCUACAGUAUAUCCACUGGGAAAGUUCUUAUUUCUCGUUAUGUCAUUCAUGAUGAAACUAUAUUUCCUUAUAGACAUGUUAGUUCAACUGCUACAGAUGCUACUUCUUCCAUGUCUUCUGGUCAAAGUAGUACUGCAAGUCCUAUUAUUGUACAGUUACCUUCUUUAAUGGAUCAUUCUUCUAGUCUUGAUUCCAGCAAUGUUUCUCCACGGGUUUCAGUCACUCCAUCACUUGGUUCUACAUCCCAGCAUCAUGUUUCUUCGAGCUCUUUGGAAAAUACACAGGACUCUACUACGCAUGCUACUCUUUCCAGCCUUAUGUUGCCUGUCCAAGUUGAGUUAGCUCCUCUCAGUUCUUCUAAUUCUCCUCGCACAUGUAAUACAUCUAUUUCACAAGGAAUUCAAACACGGUUAAGAACUGGUACCAUAACCAGAAAAGACUACUCGGCCUUAACAGCUAUAUUCCCAGAAGUGCAGUCUUUGACUCUUGAGGAUGAUGAUCACUUCUCAGGGGGUUUCACCUUUGUUGCUGAUAUUCUGGAUGCUUCAGAACCGUCUACUUUCAAACAAGCAUCUCAUAUUCCCCAGUGGAAAAUGGCAAUGCAGGAUGAGUUUGAUGCUCUUCAAGCACAAGGUACCUGGUCACUUGUUCCUAAUUCCUGUGAUAAGAAUGUCAUUGGUAGCAAGUGGGUGUAUAAAAUAAAAAGGAAUAGAUGGCUCUGUUUCCCGAUAUAAAGCACGCUUGGUUGCCAAGGGAUUUAAUCAGGAAAAUGGGCUGGAUUAUACAGAAACAUUCAGUCCUGUUGUUUGACAUACUAUGGUUCGUAUAAUCUUAGCACUAGCCGCUACACAUCAUUGGGAUCUUCGACAACUUGAUGUGAAGAACGCUUUUCUUCACGGGGAAUUGCAGGAAGAAGUUUAUAUGAAGCAACCCCAAGGUUUUGUCAAUCCUCAGUUUCAUACUCACGUUUGCAAAUUAGUUAAGUCUCUUUAUGGUUUAAAACAAGCUCCCCGAGCUUGGAAUGACAAAUUUACUAACUAUUUGCAGGCUAUUGGAUUUGAAGCUUCUCUGUCAGAUUCUAGUCUAUUUGUUAAACUCGAAGGAGCUCAUGUGAUCAUUUAAUUCUCUACGUAGAUGACAUCAUAAUUACAGGUUCUAAUUCCCAGUUGAUACAAUCUGUGAUCACAGCUCUUAGUGAAGUAUUUGAUCUUACGGAUAUGGGCAAGUUAGCCUAUUUCCUUGGCCUCCAGGUUACUUAUAAGACAAAUGGGGAUAUGUUUAUCAAUCAAGCCAAAUAUGUGCUUGAUUUGAUUCACAAGGCUGGCAUGGAUGAUUGUAAGCCGUGCUCCACACCCUGUAAGCCUCAUAAUCAGGUUCUUUCUACUGAAGGUACCUUACUCACUGAUCCUACUCUAUAUCGAAGUUUGGUUGGGGCUCUACAGUACCUUACAUUUACACGUCCAGACAUUGCCUUUGCUGUGAAUACUGUAUGUCAAUAUAUGAAUGCUCCUACCGAUGUACACUUUGCUAUGGUCAAAAGAAUACUUCGAUAUUUGCAAUUAACUGUUCAGUGUGGCUUGACUUAUACUUCUGGGAGUUCUGUGUCUGUAACUGCAUAUAGUGAUUCGGAUUGGGCUGCAGAUUUGAACACUCGGAGAUCUAUCACUGGUUAUGUUGUGUAUCUUGGCUCUAAUCCUGUUUCUUGGCAAUAAAAAAAGCAGUCCUCUGUGUCUCGGAGUUCGACUGAGGCUGAAUAUCGCGCCUUAGCACAUACCACAACUGAUAUUGCCUGGAUCCGUCUCAUUCUCAAGGAUUUACAUGAGGUUUUAUCGACUCCUCCAGUGGUGUAUUGCGAUAAUCAAUCUGCAAUCACUUUGAGUUUAAAUCCAGUUCAACACUCUUGAAUCAAGCACUUGGAAACAGAUUUUCACUUUGUCCGUGAACGAGUUCAAAAAGGUGACUUAUCUGUUGAAUAUGUGUGUACUAAAGCUCAGAUUGCCGAUGUGCUCACCAAAGGUCUUCAUGGUCCAGAUUUUCUUCGUCACUGUUUCAAUCUUAAGCUUGGUUAUCCAAGCUAAGAUUGAAGGGGGGUAUUGGAUAAGUAAAUAAUAUGCCAGGUCAUCAUUGUACAUGUGCAGAACAUGUGCACAUAUAGAGUAGUAUAAAUAGUUACUUUCCUCUUGUAUUUGGGAAUGUCGGUGUAUAACAAAAACAGUUACAAAAAUAUAUUGAGAAAUUCUUCGGUUUCCUUCUUCUUUAAGCUUUAUUAGUCUGCAUAUUUCUUGAUUUCUAUGAAGCACUUCCUUGUAGUUAAGAGUCGUAACCCCCGAGUCGCCCUUGGAUACGCUCGUCCUCGGAAUAAGUCUCACCUAUAUGCGAAUUAACUAUAAAAACGUUAUUUUAAAGCACAUAGACAAAACUAGUUAAUAAUUUCUCAUACAUUGCUCAAAAUAGGUAUAUGAAUAUACCAUAAUGACCUACACAACCUCACGAACAUCGUGAUAUUUUUAGAAAAACAUUUCGAGCUCCCACGCGCCGGCAAGGGCACGGCAAAACGCGCCCUUAUGCGUGGCCCAAACCUGACGGAUUCCCUAACCACCGUUAGGGAAUAUUCCGUUAAACCUAACAGAUUCCGCUAAAAUUGACUGACGGUGUCAGCAUAUUCUGUCCAAACUGACGGAAUAUGCCGUCAUCUUCUCCGGCAAGUCGCCGGUCGCCGGGAAACUGGGUAAAAUCUCAAACCCACACAAUAAACUCUAAAUCUCAAUAUGUCACACAUACACACUACAAUUUCCCGUCCAAGGAUAAAACUGUCAUUUGACCUCACUGAUAAAUGAAUUCGGGACGGGCUGUGACACCACUCCCUCUCCCUUAAUGUAGAUAAUAUCGUUUGUUAAAAAAAAAGAAUAAUCAUUUGACAACUAAUUUAAUCAUAUUAUUAUCCGGAUGCGAAUGACCUUUUUAUAACCGGCAUCACAGGCCGCUUAAAAUGUUUUGAACGUGUUUGAAAAUAGAAAAAAAUAAUAUUUAACAAACAACUGAUUGAUUCACAUUAUUGCUAGUGCAUUGUAAGGCUAAGGUCACCCCUUCUCCCUUAGUGUAGAUAAUAUCGUUUGUUAAAAAAAAUAAAAACAAUCAUUUGACAACUAAUUUAAUCAUAUUAUUAUCCACAUGCGAAAGACAUUUUUUAUAACUGGCAUUACACGCCUCUUAAGAUGUUUUGAACGUGUUUAAAAACAGAAAAAUUGAAUAACAUUAUUACUAGCCUAUUGUGAGUUUCUAAUUUUUUUUUAAAAGAAAAAAAAUUAAUUAUUAAAAAAAUAUUGUUAAAAUGAUGAAAAUUCCUUUGCCUUAUUUGAUGUAUUAUUUUGCAAUGCUUUUGAAGUUUUUUUGUUUUAGAGGUGUUUUUGUCCAAAAUUUUUUAUUGAAAGUAACACCAAAAUCACUAUUCAUCUUUUGCGUUCGUUAUAUAUAUAAGAUGUUUAAUAGUCAUAAUCAAUUAGUCAAUCAUCACUCUGUCCUCUGCCUGCCUCCUGUCAAUCCUUUAGGAUUUCAUAUAAUCCGGCACAGGAGAUCCCAAAGUUACAGCGGCCUGGCACCAUUUGUCUAAAGUGUAAAGUCAUAAAGUUGUGAAACGCGUCCUUUAUUGCGUUUAGCUAAAUGUAAAUCAUGACCUGAGGAAAAAGACAAUUUCCAUUGAUCCAAUAAUAUCUCUACCGUAUGAAAUUCACUUACUAAUGAAAACAAGUAUUACCAACUUUUUAUUAUUUUCUAAUGUCCCCAAAAGGCCUAUUCUUAGAUGUAAAGUCGUUGAUAAGAUCUGACAACAGUUUACAAAUGUUUGUAAAGUUGGAAAGCCAAGAGUAAUUAGGAUUUGAUACUCACUAAUGAUAUCCAAUUUCUAAACAACAGUUGGAAAGUCAAGAGUAAUUAUUUUUUUAACGAUUUAUUUUAUAUAUAAUUUCUUAAUGGCACAAGUGGACUGCCACGUCAGCAAAUAUAUGGGCCCUCCAUGUGCCAAAUCAUUACUUAACUGUCAGUUUGACAGAAUCAUUAAUAGAUGUAUGAUAUUGCAACGAAUUUAUAAGUUAUAGUAUGACAUUGCAAUGUUUAAAACAUGAGGUAUGAAAUUCUGGUGCGACACAUAGUUGAGCUAGUUUUGUGUAAUUUACUCUUAUAUUUUUUGUGGAGUAUGAUUUUCUUCCUUCCAUAUUCCUCGUCCUCCCUCCCCUUCUCUCUCUUUCCUUUUUGUCUCUCUCUAAAAAAUAAAGUCAACACAAUAUGUUGGCGUGACUUAAUUGUGAUCGUUCAAAUAAGAGAUGAGAAAGGAGAAAUUUUUCAUUGUGACGGGAACAUAGGUGGUACACCACAUGUUUUUAUAUAAGUGGUGAGAAAUUGUAUUUUUUAAGUUAUUAAUUUUUUAGCACACAAUUCUAUCAUUGAUAUAGUGACACGUGAUGUACCACCUUGUGUUCCAGUCACACUAAAAAAUCUCUGAUGAGGAAAGAGAGGAGAAAAUCUUACUUUAUUUUUCAUACCAUAUUUGUACUACUUCUCUAAUAAAAGUAGGAUCCACCAAUACAAAUAGUUCUCACUUUUAUUAGAAGAAUUAUACUAAUAUGAUAAAAUAUAGUAUUUUUGAUAAAAUAAUGUACUCCUAUCCUCGUUUUUAACUUUAAGUAAAAUGACAUACAGCUACUCAAAAUAUCGAUAACAUUAAUGAUAUAAACCCGUGUGUUCUAGAGCUGGCCAAUAUUCUACACUCUAAAGGCAUCUCCAUAACCAUUAUCCACACCGGUUCCAACUCCAUCAACCUUUCAACUCUAAACAUAGAAAAACCCUACUUUUUCAACCACAAGUCACUACUGAUCCGAAAUCACCAAAACCCAAUUGGAGCACAUAAGCCAAAUUCAAAAUCAAUGCACCAAUUUGUCUUCACUCUUAAAGGUUUAAUGUUUAAUAGUCACAGUUAGUCAGUAAGUCACCACCCUUACCUUUGCCUACCUCCUAUCGUUGGUGUGGCACCAUUUGUUUAACGUGUAUUGAGGAAAACCUCUGAAUUGGCUUAGAAGAAAGUAUUUGGUCAAAAUUUCAAUGUAGGUCAAGUUAGAUUUGAUUGAAUUCACCAUUAAUAUUAGAAAAUGGAGUCACUAAUAAAAGAGCGGUUAGUAAAAGUGGUCAAAGCGUGAGCAUGUAUAAGCUGAACCACAUAUUAACAGCUGUUUACAAAUGUUUGUAAACUACAGUUGGAAAGCCAGGAGUAAUUAGGAUUUGAUACUCGGUAAUGAUCCAACCUGCAUAGCCAACGAAAUCUUACAUCAUCAAGAUUAAGUGGGAAUUGUUGUAUGAUCAUGAUGAUGUUAGCUUUACUAUUCUCUGAAAAUAAUAAGAUGAAGUCUAUUAAAGGAGGAUUCAUUCCUAGACAAAUCAAUCCAACUUGAAAAGCAUUUUCUCUUCUUCCCCUUGGUGUGCUAUUUCUCCCUUGGCACUACCGCACAGUAAUCAAUAAUCUAACAACAUUAGAGAUUGAUCCUAUAAUCCAUCAAAUUCUACAUUAGAAAUCAUUUGUGAGGGUGUCCUUAUGAUUUGCACACCAUGUUUACUAACCAAAUGGUGAAUGCAAGAAAUGUGAGGGAUGUUUGAAAGGUAGGGCUGUAGUUGGAGCAUGGAAUUGAGAGAGGUGAGGUUGAAAGAACAAUUAGAAGACUGAUGGUUAAGAAAGAAGGGGAAGAGAUCAAAGAGAGAGCCCUAAAUUUGAUGCAAAAGGCAAAUCAUCGCCUCAAAGAAGGUGGCUCUUCGUACUAAUUUUUGGAUGGCUUGGUUAAACAUCUUACCGUUAUAAAUCAUUUGUUUAAAAAACUCAGUAUCAUUUAUUCAAUAAAAUUAAAAUUUGUUGCAGUCCUAUUAGAUUAGGAAUGCGAUUGUGUAAAUCCUAGUAUAUCUUGGAAUAUCUCUUAUUCCUAUUAUGAGUUGAUCACCUAUUAAGAGUUGUAAUCCUAAAAGGGUAAGAAAUUAACCUUUCCGACUACUAUAAAUAAAGGCAUAAUGGGGUGGAACAGAACACACCUCACACGUACACAUCUCUCUCUUCUCUCUACUAUUGCCGCACCUUUCUUUCUCUAUGGCCUCCAUAAUUGUUCAGUAAAUUAUGCCUACAACACGUUAUCAUCACACUUUCGACGUUGCGCUAAAGAAAGUUUGAAUUUCAAUCUGGGGAGUAUUACGUUUUAAUCAUUUUUUUAUGAUUAAUUUAUUAUUUUAUUGAAUUGAUCUACAUGCUAUUGAUUCAAUUUAAUUUUUCUUUGUUGAACGUGACACAACGCAUUGGAGAUGCAAUUUCGGCUUUCUGUGAAGGAUCUUCUACAAAUACAAAGGCUUUUGUUGUUUUCUGCCAAUCAAGUACGCUGAUAGGAUUAAAAUGCACACCACAAAGUAGCAUACAAAUGUCCUAUUGAUUUUCCUUAUUAACACUAAGAUUUGUCAAUUGUAGCAUAUGAAAAUAAGGGUCUUUCCCGCAGAAGACUGUUUUAUCUAACUACUUAAAAAGUCACAAAAACUGGGCUGCUGUCCAUACUGACCAGCCACCGAAAAAUAAUUAUUAGACUAACUUACGCUUAUCUAAAGUCUACAAAAUUUUAUAUGACAACACUAGACACACAGAGCUACACUCACAAAUAGUUUUGGGAUUUUUGGAGUUGAUUUGCUAUUUAAAUUAAAUUGAACAAAAACAGGACAAAAACAAAUUUUAAAUAGUUCAUAAAUUAAGAAAAACGAGUUAGGGGAAUUGCUAUCCACCACCAAAUAAUCAUGCAAACAUGUUAUGUUUCAUGCAAAAUCCUUUUAUUUCAGGAUGAAGAUGCUUAGGUUGGCUCAAUGUUAGAACUCAACCUAUUACUCUUUCUUAUGUAGUAUGUUAAGAGAAUGGCGUUUUCAACUUAACUUAGUCCCUAGCAUGCAAUCUAGAAUGGCGUGUUCAUAGAUAUAACAAGUAGAAAUCAUUAAGAACGAAAAGAGUUUGGGUCAUCACAAGGCAUCGUAAGUACUGGCGUUGUCUUACUUAUCCUAGAAAUUGGUUCACAUGUUAAUCGCAAUUAACAAGUACUACUCUAGAACAUAUGUAGGUCCUUAUUCGACAAGGGCAGACACACACAUAUUCAUAGUGUUAGAAUCCUAGAUAUGCUUACUACGUAUGCAUCCAUAGAAAACAAAUAAAGAAUUCAUCAAUGAGACAAGUAGUGAACCAAUUUUCAUCCAUUCAUAAAAGUAAUUCAAACGAAAUGUCAUAACAAAUUUGCAAUCAUAUUCGGGGCUUCAAAACAGCCCCUAACUACUAAAAAUUUAGUUACACAUAAUCCUUAAGUUAAAACAAAAGAUAGACAUGAGUUUGAGAAUAUAGAACCGAAAGAAAUCGACCGAGGCCUCCUCCUCUCUUCCUUCCUUCCCCAAUGUUGCUUUUAAACCAAUUCUUGCAUCAUUUUCUUCUCCUUAACUCACCCACUAAUAACCAUUUAGUGAUGACAAUAAGUGAGAGGAAAUGUGGUAAAACAAUUGUAACACUUUAGAUAGCCUUUAUGCCAAUUACUCCCUCUUAAUCCUCAUUUUUAAUUCCAUUUCCUCUAAUAUUUGAAUAGGUGUCAGCUGACUUGUUCUUGGCUGCAUCAGUUUUGGCUGCUAGAUUUAUUGGGUUUAUUGCUUUCAUUGCAGUUACAAACUGCUCAGCCUCUUGGUAACCUUUCAGUGUUAAAACGGCCAUAACGUCUUCUAGAAACAUGAUAUUAGCAAUCCGCGAAAUGCUCCAGAAAAUAGACAUCCGUAACUUUCCAAACAUAUAAGGCUCAUUCUCUAAUUCAUUCUGAGCUGUUCACAACUUGCUUCCAAAGUCAGCUGAUCUGCAUAGGCAUUUUUGACGAAUUUGUUACUUAAAAUCCCACUUGUGCUAUUUUUCUUUAUUUGCUUGACAAAUCCCACAAAACACAAAAACAAAGUAAAUAGCUCAAAAAUAUAAGGAACUAACUAAGAAAAGACAAGUGAAUUUGAUGUAAAAUAUAUAUAAACAUGAGCUUAUCAUACGCUUAAAAUAAAGUAAGAUAUUUGAAACGACCAUGAAGCAUGAAAGCAUUCCCCAUGAUGCAUGAAUCCCAUACAUUUAUAUUUACCUUCCGAUAUAUAUAUAUAUAUAUAUAUAUAUAUAUAUAUAUAUAUAUUGUAUAUGUUCAUAUAUUUUUCAAUAUAUAUAUAUAUAUUUGUUUCAUGCAUUACGCAAUUAUAUUUGUUAUGUGGAAUAUGUGAGUCAAAGUAUAUUCAUAAAUUAGAAGCAAUUUAGGGUUUCCUAAACCCUAACACUUUCGGAAAAAAAAGGAACAUAUUGCGAUGAACCUCGGUAGUAUCCCUCUGGGCUUUGCUGCUAACAUAUGGACACACCAGGCAUUCGGCCUGGCUGGUUUGACUCGGACCCGUAGCCCAACUUCAUCAAGGAAGCCUGCAACUUUCCUUUUGGACCUACCUUAUGCUCUCAGCCCAUGCCAGCAAGCUGUCAUGCUUGCUGGGCUUUGAAUUAAGCCCCAGCCCGCGGCAAGCUUUGCUUGCUAGGCUUGUCCUGCAUGCACCCAGGUCUGAAACAUGCUCACUCUGGUGCCAGCCCACAUAAUUAGGCUUGGUCUCCACGGCUCAAUAUGAUGCCAGCCACAUGGCUGGGCUCAUGUGCCUCAACCAGGCCAGCUCCGUGCUGGGCCCGAAGUUCCUCGCACUCCCUAGGCCCAAAAACCAACAGUCUUGGUUGCUAGACCUUCCAACCCAUCAGGCCCAUGGCCUGCAACCCACUUCUGAGGCCUUUAGGGCCUUGCCUACUUAUGGCACCCAGCCCAAAUCUUUUUGGGCUAUGGUAUUUUCGACCCUAUACUAUUAUUUAGCCUUUUAAAUAAUUUUAACUCGAAUGUUAUUAUUAUUUUUGCUUCUAUAAUCGGCCUCGUUUGGUCCCAAUUUAUUGAAUUAAUUAAAAGUGACUUGCAAUCCAUUAAUCCGAUAAUGAAUCCAAAAUUAUUGACAUGAAGAUCACUCUUGGACAUUGACGAUUCAAUAAUUUAUUUUUUUAUACUUUGAACCGUUGACAUACUUUCGUAGUAACGAAGCUCUCACACUUGAAUUCCCGAAAAAACUCAAAUCCUCUACACUUAGUUGUAUAUUGCAUUCUGUGUUCUUGCAUGAAUCUCUUUUUUAUGAACUAAACGUUCAUAAACUAAAUUGAACCUGUAAUUUCAAAUUUAGUGCCUUUGAAAUCUGAAGUUUUCUUAAAACAAUACACCCAUAAAAACCUAACGUUUUUCAUGAAAACCAUGUCUUAGAACCCAAAUGUUCUAACUUUGAUGCUUAUGGAUGAUUCAUUCCCAUAGCACCAAUUACAAAUCUUGUUCCCUCCAAAUUCAAUGGAUUCGAACCGUCAUAAGUUCGAUUUCCCUUAUUUGGAUGUUUCUUAUAGAAACCACUUUAUGUGGGGUACAACGUUAUACCGAAACUAUUGAGUACUGGUCAACGUUAUACCAUCAAAGACCCAGAAGAGUUUCUCUUAACCCAGGAGGCCAAUCAGAGCGUGACACGUGUCGACAUCAGAAGCCAAUCAUAGCACGACACGUGUCAACAUCAGAAGUCAAUCAUAACACGACACGUGUCAAUGUUAGAAUGAAACUAGAAACUUUCUUCUAUAAAUAGAGAUCAUUCUCUCACAAUAUUUCCUAAUGUCAUUUGUACUAAAUCAUUCACUUGUACUCACUAAAGGAGAGCUUGAAUCUAUGUACUUGUGUAAACCCUUCACAAUUAAUGAGAACUCCUCUACUCCGUGGACGUAGCCAAUCUGGGUGAACCACGUACAUCUUGUGUUUGCUUCCCUAUCUCUAUCCAUUUACAUACUUAUCUAUACUAGCGACCGGAGCAAUCUAGCGAAGGUCACAAACUUAAUACUUUCUAUUGUACCAAAGUCCUCGCUAAUUUUAUGCAUCAACAUUUGGCGCCGUCUAUGGGAACGACACUUAUUCCCACUCUCUUCAACUUUGUCAAGCUAGUUUCCACCGUUCGUACACUCUCUUUUGACCAGGCAUCCCUCUCCAACAUGGGGAGCGAAGGAAGCCACAGCACACAGAAUGACACCCCUCUUGCACCUAGUGCGAAACAACGAAAGAAGGAAGGAAAGAGGGCUGUUCUUCAAGCUAAAGUCGAUGAGUUAGAAGCUCAAAACAACAAGAUAGCAAUGAAGAAUGAGGUCCUCCAGGAGCAGUAUGAGAAGCUAUUUGAGACGCUCCAUGAAACUAUGCGUACUCAAACACGCGAGCUUGUUGCCCCUGUGGACAUCAACCAUCAUCUGGGUGCCCCCUAACACGGAGGGUUACCUUCCUUCGACAUGGGUAUCUCUGAUGAGGAGCAAGCUAAUCAUCAAAACAUUGAUCAACAUGAGACUUCUCUCAACCCAGCUGCUUCGACCCGAAGUAUGAGAAGUGGAGGAAGACACCUCCUUGUAGAAGGGUUGGAAGGAUCGAAAGCCAUUUAUCGUGACUGCCGAGACUUCCUAAAGUAACGUCGAGAGAAUCUCCUCCACAUAUGCUUGAAGAUCAAUGACCCAAGGGUUUCUGAAAGACUCGGUCCCCUCUCACGACCCAAGCCAGCUGCCAAUCUAGGGAAGGAACGACAUGUCCUAGAGGAACAUGAAGGUACAGGGGACUCUGAGGUAUUCCAACAGACUCGCCCUAGAAGUCAGUACGGCGAAUCCAAGGAAAAAUCACACGCCCUUGCUUAAACUUUCCUACUUCCAAUAGGCGAUGAAGACUUACGAAAGAAAAUCCCAAUGAUACAUGACUCCACUCAAGACCCCCUUGUCCUACAGCUCAUUGAGGAAGUAAACAAGUUGAAGGCCGAACGUCAGGCCGAGAUACCUGACUGGAACCAACCCAGGCCUGGCCCUCUCACAAGGAGGAUCCUCGACACCCCCCUUCAAGCAAAGACAAAAUAAAAGCUUGGUUUAUAACUCUAUACUGGAAGAGAUGACCCAAUUGAACACCUUAACCUUUUUUAGUCCACCAUGGCAUAUCGGAUGCACACCAACGAAAAACGAUGUCUUCUCUUCCCCUCCACCCUCUCUGGCGGAGCUCUAAACUGGUAUUGCCGUCUUCCAUCUGAGACAGUAGAUUCAUUUGAGGAACUGAGGAAACUGUUUAUCUCUCAACAUAUCUUCCAGACCGAUCGCUUGCAUUCUGCAGAUGACUUGUACACUAUUCGCCAGAAGCCAGACAAGUCACUACGAGAGUAUGCUGGUCGUUUCAGCCAUGAGUAUUCUCGUUGCGCUGAGGCAGAUGACAAGACCGCCCUCAAGGCCUUCACGGCAGGCCUACGGGAUUGUUUUUUCAAGUACAUGAUCAAUGCCAACACUUGGAAGACUUACUCUGAGGUGAUGGCACAGGCUUACAACAUUGCCUCCGCCGAGGCAAUGACAUAUUAAGGGAAACCCCCCACAACCACCCCUUAUCAGCAAGUAGGGAGUGGAAGCCAGAUCCAACCAAAUGAGAAGACCUCGACCUUCCAAACAGUAGCGGUGCCUCCCCCUGCCUUACUUAAUACUUUGCCAAGUCAACAGACAUAUCAAUCUCAGGGCAAAAGGAAAGAUUUCCAUCCUCACCAGUCUCAUUUUAGUAAAAGAAGUAAGUGACACUAUUGCGAUAACCAAGGGUAUCGCCAUGAUAAUCCCCAACCCUAGGUAGUCAACACAGUGGGUCAAGCACGUGUCAGGACAUCCCCUACCCUGAAAUAUGAGGCAUACACACCUUUGAACGCCACAUGUAUGGCCAUUUACCCCAGCGUAGCAAACUUGAUACCGAAGCCAAAUGUGAGGCACCCGGAUUACAAGUGCACGAAGAACACGGGCACGUUUUGCUGCUACCACGAGCAUAACGGCAAUGACGGCGAGAAGUGUAUCACCUUUCGUGAUCAUGUUGAAGCUUUGGCACGUGAAGGAAAAAUUGAUCAAUUCCUCCUUCACCCUCCAAGGGGUAACCGUAACCAACGUCAGGUGAAUGUGAUAUAUUCCAUAUGUGGUGGCACACCCAUAUCUAAAUCUUCCAACAGGGUUAUGAAAAAUAGUGAACGAGCUUUAAGGUGUGGCCACUAAGUGUUUCACGUGGAAGACAUCAGGGGAGGUAAGUAUAUGUUUCUACCCUGAGGAAGAAAGAGGUAUCAUUUACCCUCACAACGAUCCACUGAUUGUGGAAGCUCACAUAGCCAACUUUGAAGUACGACGAAUUCUGGUAGACACGGGGGCUUCGGUCAAUAUCAUGUUUGCUGAAGCUUUCAGGGCACUUAAUGUAGCUGAACACUUGCUUGAUCGCUCGAUUUCCUCUCUGAUAAGCUUCUCCAGUGAUAUCGUGCAACCUUUGGGGAACAUACACUUACCUUUCACCAUUGAUAUAGGCCCUUACAUAGCUACCAUUAUCACUAACUUCGUGGUGGUUGAUUGCCCAACGGCAUACAAUGUCAUCUUGGGACGCACAUGCAUCAAUGAUCUCAAGGCCAUGGUAUCCACACAUAUGUUGUUGAUGAAAUUUCCAACCCCCUAUGGCAAUGGUUACAUCAUAGAAGAUCAACUUAGUGCAGGAUCAUGUUACAACACUUUGGUCAAGCAACAACACCUGCCUGUGCCCAAGGAAACCCUUUCUAUACAUGACUAAGUCAUAAAGACCAGCCCAGACGAAACCAACUUGGAUCUUCACGGUGGUAACAGUCAACUCGACGAUCCUCGAGAUGACUCUUUCACCCAGCAAGCACAACCCGCUGAAGAGUUGGAGAAGGUCUCUAUCUCAAAAGAUUAUCCGGAUCGUAUAGUGAAGAUUGGCACCACCUUGUCACCACCCAUUCGGUUGGCAUUGAUCUCUUUUUUGCAAGAGAACACUGAGGUCUUUGUCUGAUCAUACGAGGACAUGUCAGGCAUCUCUCCCGAUAUCAUCUGUCAUCGCUUAAGUAUUGACCCCAAGACCAAGCCAGUGAGACAGAAGCGAAGAUCCUAUGACAUUGAACGGUGCGAGGCAAUGAAGGCAGAAGUUGAAAAACUCAAAGGCAUAGGGUUCGUCCGUGAAGUCAAUUUUCCAAUGUGGGUAGCAAAUGUUGUCCUUGUUAAAAAGAAUCCGACCAAGGAAAGUUUCCUGCUCCAAAAGGUCUUGUGGAGAAUGUGUGUCGAUUACACCGACCUAAACAAAGGAUGCCCGAAUGAUAGCUUUCCUCUUCCUCUCAUAGACAGACUUAUAGACUCUACCGCAGGGUGUGAACUUCUGAACUUCAUGGAUGCUUACUCAGGAUACAACCAAAUCCUCAUGAACCCUCCGGACCAAGAACACACAACCUUCACUACUGACAGGGGACUAUAUUGCUAUAAAGUAAUGCCAUUCGGCCUAAAGAAUGCAGGAGCAACUUAUCAGAGACUGGUCAAUUCAAUAUUCACCGAACAUAUUGGGAAGAGCAUGGAAGUUUACGUUGAUGAUAUGUUAAUUAAGAGCAAGCAUGCUGACCAACACAUCACCAACCUAUCUGAAACUUUCACCAUUCUGAAGAGGUAUCGAAUGAGGUUGAACCCCAAUAAAUGUGCCUUCGGCGUAGGCUCUGGCAAAUUCUUAGGCUUUAUGAUAAGCCAACGAGGCAUUAAGGCUCAUACUGAGAAGAUCAAAAUAAUCAUUGGCAUGAAGGAACCGGUAACUUCAAAAGACAUCCAGAGCCUUACUGGCAAGGUGGCAGCCUUAACUAGGUUCAUCUCUAAGGCAACAGACAGAUGUGCUCAUUUCUUCAAAGCACUUAAAGGAAGUAAGAAGUACAUUACAUGGACUGAUGAAUGUGCUGAGGCAUUCAAUAACCUCAAAGACUACAUGAGUAAGGCCUCUUUGCUCUCCAAACUUGAGGUUGGUGACACUCUCAUUAUCUAUUUGUCGGUAUCGGCUUCACAGUAAGUUUCGUUCUCAUUCGAAAUGAUGGUAAUGUCGAACGGCCUGUCUACUACGCUAGCAAGGCCUUACAAGAUGUGGAGACACGAUACUUUAACAUUAAGAAAUUGGCUCUAGCAUUGGUCAUGUCUGCUAAAAACUUUGCCCUUACUUCCAAGCACACUCUAUCAUUGUGCUUACCAAUCAUCCUCUUCGACAGAUACUCAAAAGUCCUGACACUUCUGGGCAAAUGAUCAAAUGGGCGAUAUCAUUGGGUGAGUUUGACAUCUCCUACCAACCAAAGCCAGCUGAGAAGGGCCAAGCAGUGGCAGACUUCAUCGCCGACUUCACAUAUCCUGUUGACAUUGUUUCUACACCUAAAGAAGUGGUUUCAUUACACUUAGAAGCUCAGAAAAUAGAACCAACAGCCCCAGCUUGGAGUCUAUAUGUUGAUGGCUUGUCCAACCAACAGGGUUGUGAAGCAGGACUAGUCCUUACGACCCCUGACAAAGUGGCGAUGAAGUAUGCUCUUCGUUUCAAAUUCAAGGCGUCGAACAAUGAGGCCGAAUAUGAAGCCCUCUUAGCAGGCUUACGUUUGGCCAAACACCUUGGGGUUAAACGAAUUGAUAUCUUCAGUGACUCCCAAUUGGUGGUUAACCAGGUCACCAACAACUUUGACGCUAAGGAUAACUCUAUGGCUGCAUAUCUGGCACAAACACAAUUGUUGCUUAAGCACUUCCACUACCAGAUCACCCAAAUUCCUCGAGCGGCAAACAGUCAUGCAGAUGCUUUGGCUCACCUCGCCUCAGCGAUGGAAGACAAGAUUGGGAGAAAAAUUUGGGUCGAAUUGUUGGCAGCACCAAGAACCAUAGCUGCGGAAGUGUGCAACUUACAACAGGGGGAUAGUUGGAUUACCCCGAUUUAUAGAUUCCUUGCUCAUGGCACCCUUUCAAAUGACAAAGUCCAAGCUAAGCAGAUUUGAUACAAGGCUACCCGUUACUUGAUCAUUAAUGACCAACUCUACAAGCGGGGUUUUAACCUACCAUACCUAAGAUGCCUUACGCCUGUAGAGGCGGAAACUGUCCUUCGGGUUUUAACCUACCAUACCUAAGAUGCCAUAUGAGAAGUUUUCCUCACUCGGAAAAUUAAGGGAGCACUACCUCAACCUACAUGCUUCACUCACAAAGCUUCAACAAAAGGAAAAAUUCAAAUAACUUAGUGAAGAAGGCCUUAGUGUAUUUAACACAAUACAUUGAAAUGAAGCAAAGCUUGUUUAUUGAUAUCUCCGAUAAGUUACAAAUAUGUACAUAUACAUGAAUCAAAAUAUACAAAUAAGAGGGAGCCUUCACAAAGGUUGCUCAAGAGAAGUCUCAGCAGUCGGCAGAGCCCCAGAAAGAGGAGGCACCAGAGGGUGAUUAUUCGAAGCCUCAGUACUAGGUAGAACCCCAGAAGGAGGAGGCACCGAAGGUUGAUCAUUUGGAGCUUCAUUACGCGGUACAGCCCCAGAAGACGAAGCAAUAAAUCCCUUUGGAACAAACCCACAAACCUCUGAUGAUCAAGAAAAAUCUGACCAUCAGAUUCCUGCAGCUGGUCGAGCUUUCUUUUCAUGUUUGUAGCAUAGUCAUGUGCGAGCCUGUGCAACUGUUUAUUCUCAUGCUUGAGCCAUUUGAUCUCCUGUUUGAGACUUAUCACUUCAGCCGCCAAUGAUUCAACUUGGCGGGUUCGAAUAAAUAGGCGUUGGGCCAUAUUAGACAUAGAACCUUCACAAUGAACACCGAGAGCCAGAAAAUCCUUAACAGCCAACUCAUCAGACCGUUUGGAUAGUAGUCUGUUAUCUUUGGGAGUGAGAAUGUUCCUGGCCACCACCACAUCGGUCAUAUCAUUCUUCAUCAUAGAGUCCCCAACGGUAAGAGGACCAGUAUGAGAUAAGAAGGAUGGUCGCCAUAUGUUGUCUUAAGAAGGCAUUGCUGCCUCUUCACAAAAGUUCAAGUCAAAACGACGGUCGGAUGGGCCAGACAUUCUCAGAAAUGAUGAAACACAAAUGAGGUGCAAUAAAUCUCUGAAGUAAGGGGAAAAUUCCUACAAGCAAUAACUCUCUGAAUGUACUUCUUGCACACAAUUGGUGCCCUUAUAAAAGAAAGGGCAACAGAGCCGUUCGUUCAAAAAUCGAAGACGCACCACUCUCCGAAUUUCGAAGAGGCACCACUUUCCACACGCAACAUCAGCUCCUCGAGUACCACAGAUAACUUUGCCAAAGAUUUCUGACAAAGUUUAGACACCUAAAUUUUGAAGAUCCAGCUACCCUACUAUUACCCAUAAGGGUAAAGGAACAGCACCACUGCUUGAUAACUAGAAUGUCCCAAUGUGUGUCAACCUCCGUGCUCCGUGGCAAAGCAGACUGGUAAAAAUACCUAACCUUUACUUAUAUUCGAGAAAACACUCCCAACAAGAUUGCUUGCUCAAAAAUCGAAGAGGCACCACUCUCCGAAUCUCGAGGGCUAGACUCCCAAUAGCAUUACUUUCUCAAAAAUCGAAGAGACACUGUUCUCCGAAUCUUAAUAGUUAGACUCCCAACAGGAUUGCUUUCUCAAAAAUCGAAGAGGCACCGUUAUCUGAAUCUCGAGAGCCAGAUUCCCGACAGGAUUGCUUGUUCAAAAACCGAAAAGGCACCGCUCUCCAAACUUCGAGAGCUAGAUUUCCUUGGAUAAAGCUUGUCUGCAAUCUUCAUAAGCAACAUCAGUUUUCUAGAUACCAUAGACCACUUUUUCAAAGCGCUCUGACAAAGUUAAAACAUGUGAAGCUUGCAGCUCCCACUACAUUGCUAUGACCAAGAAGGGUAAAGGAAUAGCAUUAUUACUUGCUCAAAAAUCGAAGAGGCACCGCCCUCCGAAUCUCUAGAGCCAGGCUCCCAACAGGAUUACUUUCUCAAAAAUCGAAGAGGCACCGCUCUCCGAAUAUUAAGAACUAGAUUCUCAACAUGAUUGCUUUCUCAAAAAUCAAAGAGGCACCAUUCUCCAAAUCUUGAGCCAAAUCCCCGACAGGAUUACUUGUUCAAAAACCGAAGAGGCAUCGCUCUUCGAAUUUCGAGAGCCAGAUUUCCUUGGAUAAAGCUUGUCUGCAAUUUUCACACGCAACAUCAGCUUUCCAAAUACCACAUACCAUUUUUUCAAAGUACUCUGACAAAGUUAAAAUACGUGAAACUUGCAACUCCCACUACAUUGCUAUGACCAAGAAGGGUAAAGGAAUAACAUUACUACUUGUUGUUAAAAAGACUCCUAUAUAUGUCGAUCUCUAUCCUUCACGGACAAGCAGACCUGCAAAAAUGUUCAACCCUUCCUCAUAUCUGAGAGGGCACUCCCAACGAAGUCUCUCGAAAUACUCAGCUUCUUUUCCUCCUGAUAAUACCUCUGCAAACAAGCCACACCUAGAGCAAUAGUAUCUCAUAUCAUCAGGGUUAAAAGCAAGAGUAUCCCAUAUCAUGCUUUUUCCCUAUCUUUUCCUUUGGCCUUGUUCUUACCUGCAAGACAAAGAGAAAGAUAGCAAUCAGUCAGCACUUGGAAUCAAGCUUCCAGUCAGGAACUGACUGCCUGGAAUCCCUUGCCUGAUUACUUACCUGGCAUUGCUCUCGAGUACUCAUCUUCAACAUCUUAUACUUCCAGAGAAGAUACCACAUCUACCUGAGGAACAGAUAUGGCAAGUGAGAAGGAUACAAGCAUGUGGAGACAAGCGUAACAGAACAUGUGCCGAUACAUCCACUACUUUGUCAACAGCAAAAGUAUCCCAUAUCAUCAGGGUCAAACGUACUCUAGAUUUAAUGGACUUGUUUUGACCCUCAAAUUCUUGAGUCGACCUUAUACUUUGGAGGAAACCAGAAAACGCUCCAACCCAGUUCAAGAAUAAGCCUGUGGAAAGUUACUUCUUCAAAAGCAAAAGUAUCUCAUAUCAUCUCUCUCCAUUUGCUUCUCCUUAUCCUUGGUGCUAUUUACGACACAAGGAGAAGGAGAACAAUCAACCGGAAGCCGAAGUCGAACCUCCGAUCCAAGUUGCUUGCUUGGAAGUCUGAUUGCUUACCUUGUCUGUUACCUCUUUCGGCAAAUCUCCUAGCUCGGCGACUUGGGGGACUCAUACUAUAGGGUUUUGUAUCGUACUUGACCAAGCCCGAAACUACAAGUAAGCUUCAAGUGAAAUUGAUACAUUACCUUGCAUCUUCAUCGGUUAAAGAUACCACCCUUGGAUGGAGGAAAAGUACUUCCAGAGAAGAUGCCACAUCUAUGUAUGAGACAGAUAAGGCAAGUGAAAAUGAUACCACACUUCGGUACUUAGAAGUUUCAUGAUUACUCAAUGGCUUUGAUCUUGCAAGUCCCCAACCGAGGAGCUUCCCUCACUCGGGAACUUAAGGGAGCACUGUUUGUACCAUACUUGACCAAUCCCGAAACUACUGAGCACCAGUCAACUUUAUACCGUCAAAGACCCAGAAGAGUUUCCCUCCAACCAGGAGGCCAAUCACAGCGCGACACGUGUCGACAUCAGAAGCCAAUCAUAGCACGACACGUGUCAACAUCAGAAGCCAAUCAUAACACGACACGUGUCAAUGUCAGAAUGAAACUAGAAACUCUCUUCUAUAAAUAAAGAUCAUUCUCUCACAAUAUUUUCUAAUGUCAUUUGUACUAAAUCAUUCACUUGUACUCACUAAAGGAGAGCUUGAACCUAUGUACUUGUGUAAACCCUUCACAAUUAAUGAGAACUCCUCUACUUCGUGGACGUAUCCAAUCUGGGUGAACCACGUACAUCUUGUGUUUGCUUCCCUAUCUCUAUCCAUUUACAUACUUAUCCAUACUAGUGACCAGAGCAAUCUAGCGAAGGUCACAAACUUAACACUUUCUGUUGUACCAAAGUCUUCGCUGAUUUUGUGCAUCAACAAUUUUUGCUUCUAUAAUCGGCCUCGUUUGGUCCCGAUUUAUUGAAUUAAUUAAAAGUGACUUGCAAUCCAUUUAUCCAAUAAUGAAUCCAAAAUUCUUGACAUGAAUAUCACUCUUGGACAUUGACGAUUCAAUAAUUUUUUUUUUUUUUUUUAUACUUUGAACCGUUGACAUACUUUCGUAGUAACGAAGCUCUCACACUUGAAUUCCCGAAAAAACUUAAAUCCUCUACACUUAGUUGUAUUCUGUGUUCUUGCAGGAAUCUCGCUUUUAUGAACUAAACGUUCAUAAACUAAAUUGAACCUGUAAUUUCAAAUUUAGUGCAUUUGAAACCUGAAGUUUUCUUAAAACAAUACACCCAUAAAAACGUAACGUUUUUCAUGAAAACCAUGUCUUAGAACCCAAAUGUUCUAACUUUGAUGCUUAUGGAUGAUUCAUUCCCAUAGCACCAAUUACAAAUCUUGUUCCCUCCAAAUUUAAUGGAUUGUCGAACCGUCAUAAGUUCAAUUUCCCUUAUUUGGAUGUUUCUUAUAGAAACCACUUUAUGUGGAGUACAAGACAUGAAUCUCCACUUGACUAUCAAGAAACUGAGAAACCAUUGUAGCCAACAAUGGCAUGGAAGAGCUGAAUAAGCCUUCGCCAUGAUCUUUAUUUGAAGAUUUAUGCUCGAAGCAUAACAAACAGAAAUACCUCCAGAACUAGGAUUCCAUGACUCUUUGGCUCACUUCUACAGACUGUUUAAUCAUGAAAGACAUUGCCUGAAGCACACCAUGAUUAUGUCCAUAAAUAAGUACAAUUCUGAAGUUUAUAAAUCUGAUCGAAUUUUGACUGGAGAAUACUUUUCUCGUCCUUCCAUGUUUCUAACUCGUUUCUGAAGCAAUAGUGUAGAAAGUGGAAGUUUACCAAAUUCUCAGAUUUGAUUACCACCACAAACAUAUGGUAGACUCAGGGCCUGCCUAGGUGUGGCAUCAUGCCCGAAGCAUGAUCUUUGGUACCUAAGACCUAAAACUUCAAGAAUUAGGGAUAAUAUUCCCAAACUUCAACCCUGCAAAAUCUACUUCCAUCUCGAUAGAAUAGAUCAUUGGUCAUGCAACUGUUCGUGCCUCUACCAAUGUCGUUAAGGAGUGUCAUUCUCGUAGUUAAUAUGUGAGACUAAUUUUUCUCCACCAAACAUCAUUGGAAGAGCAAAAUAUUGACAUGGAUGACCUUGUUGGCCGAAUCCCCUUAGUAAACCAUUUACUUUAUGAACAUUUUUCUAUGUUCUUGAAUUCAAGGUGGGUGUAUGUUUUACUUAUGGAUAAUCUUAUUGAUAUUGUCAUCAAAUACGAAUUAAUUGAAUCAUGUUUCUUAAUACAUGUGAUCGAUUCAAUUAAACACGUGAUUAGGUAGGAAUGUGGGGAAGUUAGUUGUCUGAAUGAAUGCGAUACUACGCGCACCAACUUUAAACCUAAAUCACAUAUCUAACAAUGACUUCAGGUUUAUCCAACCUGAUUAAAAGUAUUGGCACGCUCCUUGUUGUAUGAAUGGUAUUGCAUGACCAUUUAAAGGACAUUAAAUUCUCCCUGUCGUUGAGUUUUUAAGGAUAUUCGUGAUACAAUGACCAUAAAUGAAACCACUGAAGAAAAUAAAGUGGAAUAUCUUUGCACCACCUCCAAAAAUGAGCAUGCAGCUUUGAUUUAGGGCCAAUGGGUUGUCUCCCAACUGGGAACACACCACAUGUGGCUGGUCUGGAGAUUGGUGAUUCAAGCAGUUUACUCGCUUUGGCACGACCUUUUGGAACACUUAGGUCGAAUUAUGAUGCUACAAUGCAUCUCCUUACCCGAAGUAAGGAUCUUAUGCUAACAAGCACACUUUGCCAAGGCCGUUCAUUUGGGAAAUUUGAUUUUUAUAUCAUCCCUCGCAAAGAUACGAAACGACUCUCUUUUAACAGUGGAUUCAAGGGAAUAUAUGUGGACUAAUCCUACCAAAAUGCGGACCAUAUAAAUACUUAUGGUUUUGGUUGAUGAAUCGACAAACUGGUUACAUGUUUGUCCACACACAUUGCUGCUAAACCUCUUGGCCGAUUAAGGGCUCACCACCCUACUUAUCCCAUAAAGUCUGAGAUACUAGAUAACGUCGGAGAGUUUAUAUCGACAGUUUUCAAUAAAGUAUUGCAUGUAUUUUGGGUUUAUAAUUGAACAUUGAAUUCCCAUGAUUCACCCCAAAUGGCCUCGCCUAGUGAUCAUAAAGCGCAAUUUAAAUGAUCACUUGGAUUUUGGUAAACAUACCAAGUUUUCAGUUUUUGCCUAGGGCUAUGCAAUCUUGUACGCAGUUAUGUUAGUCUGCCUUGAGGCCUAUUGCCACUCAACCUAUUGGACGUUACAUUUAGUUACUGGGUACGAACUUGACGUUUUUCGUAUUUACGCAUUUAGGUGUGCAUUCUAUGUGCCAAGUUGCGCCCUUACAACGUACCAACAUGGGUCAUCAAAGAAGGAUGUGAAUCUUUGUCUAUUUUGAUUCUCCUUCACACUAGCUCUAUUCGAGCCCUUGCAUGCGAUCUUUUUACCUCUCAUUUACGGGUUGUCACUUUAAUAAGACAGUUUUCCUGCUGUUAGGAGGAGAUAAGAACGUCAAUGGUCCUGUAGAAUGGCGUGAAUUUGCACGGACUUUGCCCAUUGUCUCAUCUUGAUCCCCGUACCACACAAGUGUGAUAAGCAAGUGCGAUGAAGUCUAGCUUUCAGAAUGUUGCUCCAGACGCAUUCAUUUGGUCUACCUAAAAUGACGAGAUCAUAUACUAGCUGCAAACAUGCAUGCAAGGAUAGACAUAUUUAACAGACGUCGAGUCAACAUCCCUGAAGGAUGUGCCGCCCCUAUUGGACGGUCCGGUACAUUGGUGGGUAGCCAAUCAAUCUGUCUUAGCCUAGAGCAUGACAAAUCACUCGGUUCGUAGGAUUCACUUCCCUAGAAGAGGAAGACACGGCACAAAAAUGAAUCUGUUGAUGCACAAAAUCAGCGAAGACUUUGGUACAACAGAAAGUGUCAGGUUUUGUGACCUUCGCUUGGUUGCUUCGGUCACUAGUGAGGAUAAGUACGUAAAUGAAUAGAGACAGAGAAGCAAACACAGGAUGUACGUGGUUCACCCAGAUUGGCUACGUCCACGGAGUAGAGGAGUUCUUAUUAGUAGUGAAGGGCUUACACAAGUACAAAGGAUCAAGCUCUCAAUUUAGUGAGUUCUUGUGAAUGAUUUAACACAAAAUGGCAUUAGGCAAUAUUGUGGGGGAAUGACCCCUAUUUAUAGAAAAACUUGUAGCUUUGUCACAUUGACAUGUGUCAUGUUAUGAUUGGUUCUUGAUGUCGACACGUGCUGCGCUCUGAUUGGCUUCUAAUCUUGACACGUGUCGAGUAGUGAUUGGCCUCCUGGUCGGAGGGGAACUCUUCUGGGUCCUUGACAGUAUAGCGUUGGCCGGUGCUCGGUAGUUUCGGGAUUGGUCAAGUAUGGUACAAACAGAAUCCAUACUUGAUCGUUGUCUCAAAAUCAUUUCCAUCUCAUGAGAUUAAUCUGGAUUACUCUUAAGACUUCAAGUUCUUAGUCCAGUAUACUAGUUUGGAUAAGCUAAAUGGAAUUGAACUAAGAUUACCAUCAAUGAUGUUUUCACUUACAUGGUAGCUACUGAAGUAAAUGAAAAGCGACGAUAUCGAACCGUGUUCCAUUGAUUAAGUGACAACGUAUAACUGAUUGGACAACCGAAAUUACAAUCCAAGUCAAAUUCCUUACCAAAGUGUGUUUUGGACCUGUCGUUCCUACACUACCCAAGGUAACCCUAUUGUGUUACAAGUAGGAAAGGAAGCGUUAUGACAUGACUGAAAUAGUGUGAUAUGAUGCAUGCCUUACGGUGCAAGGUUUCUCUCAAACGUCAUGUGAUUGAUAGCAGCAUUAUGAAAUUUGGUUAGUGUUUUCUCCAUGGGGAUAUAGAUACGGAGAUUAGCAUGUAAGUUCUCGAAGAAUUACAUGAAUUGGUUCAAAAAGUUCCAAAACCAUGGAACACCCUCUUAACUUGUUUGAGGCAUUCACUUACAAUCCGACGGAUGUGGUUUACCCGUCUAAAUGAUUAUUUGAUCGGUCGGGGAUAAAUUAUGCUCUUAUGUGUUAAAAAUAUGAAGUCUUAUUCUGAAUUGCUAAAGUUACAAUUUAUGUUGUUGACACAAAUCUCACUAAGACUCUAGAAGAGCUUGAGAAAACUGCCUCGCACUUGAAGAUGAAAUUUGAGAUGAAGGAUCUUAGGAAAACUCGUUUAUGCUUUGACUUAAAGUUCAAAACAUUAUUCUGACGGUAUUUUGGUCUACCAAUCUAACUACACCCCGAAUGUGUUACCUUUGAGUAUACCUAUGAUCGUCCAUAUGUUAUAUGCAAAUGAGACCCUUGAAGAGGUUAUGGAAUCCGAAAUUCCAUAUUUGAGUUCAACUUUGCGCUUUGUUGUACUUAGCUCAUUGUAUUUAGAUAGGACAUCUACUUUGCUGUUGAUCUUGGUAAAGAUGCAGCACUACACCUACAUGCAACCAUUGAAUUGAUAUUAAAGACGUACCCUAAAGGUACUACGAAUUUGGGCAAUUCAAAUCUCAUUGCAUCUCGAACGGAUCCAACCCCCUAAUCCUCAUAAUGAUGAUGGUUACUUAUCAAAACCGCACAAGGAAAAAUUCCCGAAUGGUUAUGUCUUUACCAUUAAGGAUAUCGCAAUAUCUUGGAGGUCCACGAUAUGACCUUAGUUACAAAAUCUUCGAAUCAUUCCAAAAACUUGCCUCACUUCACUACGCCACACGUGAAACAUGGUUAAAAGUUCUUGUUGAGCAUAUUCGAAGUACUUGCUAUUUUCGUCCAUCAUUGAGUCCCAACAACGAUUCAUGAAGAUUAUGCUGCACGUAUCCACUCAACCAAGACAUGAUACAUCAACGAAGUCAACGCCAAGACAUAUUGUGUCUACAUCUACAUCAACAAAGCAUCAAGAGAUUGAAGUCAUGCAAGCCGAUCCCAGACAACCUUGUCCGAGGAAUUGGUAUGCCUAACUAUUCAUAUGCAAUGCUUGUAGUUCUCAUUUGGAAGUUAUGUCAAACUCAGGGGGAGUAUCCAGAAGUAUACUCACUUGAUCUUAAUGUACUCUUUUUUCCUACGAUUAGGAGCAUUUUUCCCACUGGGUUUUUGCUACCUAACUAGGUUUUAAUAAGGCAUCCAUCAUGGGCUGAUCAUACCCUUGUAAGCUAUUCUACUUGCGUCCAAAAGACUUAUAGUUUUGACUUAAUACAACUUCUCACUUUUCUCCUUAGUCUAUGGGUUAUAUCCCACCUUAGGUUUUACCAUAACGAGAUUUUGUGAGUUUUAUUUUUUUUUAUACAUUCUUCCAUUGAUUUGAGACUCGCAUUUGCUCAUUGUGUCGACGACUUCAUCAACUAUACUUGCUUGAUCACUGAAGCCAUUUACUUGAGUAUUUACACACUCAAGGGAGAGUGUUGCAGUCCUAAUGUGAUUGUGUAAAUCCUAUUAUAUCUUGGAAUAUCUCUUAUUUCUAUUAGGAGUUGAUUACCUAUUAAGAGUUGUAAUCCUAAAAUGGUAAGGAAUUAACAUUUCCUACUACUAUAAAUAAAGGCACAAUAGGGUGGAAUAGAACACACCUCACAAUUACACAUCUCUCUCUUCUCUCUACUAUUGCCGCACAUUUCUCUCUCUAUAGCCUCCAUAAUUGUUCAGUAAAUUAUACCUACAACAAAAUUAAAAUUGUUGGGUUGCAUUAUAUGUAUACAUAAAUAUAGAAUUUUAGCAAUGUAUUAACUGGGUUUUUUAGAGAGUUUCAAUAAAAAAGGUCUUAUUGUGAUAUACAUUCUAAUACGUGUGAUUGUACAAAUCAUAAAUAGAGAUGAAUUAGGAAUUCUUCGGGAUUUAGAAGAUAUUUCCUAUUAAACUUUGUAUAACCUGAAGAGCAAAGUUUCUCUCCUGCUUAUUGUUAUAAAUAAAGACACUAAGUCUGAGUAAUAACGCGCACAUAAAAUUUCUCAAACCUAUUCUCCAUCUCCCUCUCUUUUGCCGUGUUCCCUCUCUUUUUCCUCAAUUAAUCAUAGAAGAGUCUUCAUCCAAGGCAUGAAAGUUGCAGACCUCAUCGACAAAGAGAGAGAUGGAGUUUUCAUGUUUUUCUUUUUCCAUUUUUCUUAUUUUUCAAUUUUAUUAUUAUUUGGUAUUUGUGUUUUCCUUCUUAGUCAUAAUACACUCAUCAUCCAAGUCAUUUAAUGUUUAAAAAACUGCAAAUCACUCUUAAUCAAGAUCGUUAGUGUUAUAAGAUUUAAAGACUAAAAAGAAGUGUAAAAAUGUUUGUCAAAAUCGUUUUUCCCUUGAUCCAACCUUUUAAUUAUAAAUAUGUAAAUAUUAUGAUCUAAAUCUCCAAUCAUGGCAUAUCCCAAAUAGCCAGUAUAAAUAAGCAACUUAGGCCAUCAAUCAACCACAUAUUCCUUGUGGAGCAAAAAAUAAUCAAGAAAAUUAUGAAGGUGACAUGUGGACUUUUGAGGUGAAAAUGACAAAAUUACCCUUGAGGCACACCGGGACUCCCACGCGCAUGCAACGGACAAUAACGGCUCAAUCAAGGUCAAAGGUGACCUAAAUGGUAUUCUUUUAAACCCUCUCAUCACUCCUCAUCAAAUCUUCAUCCACAAGGUAACUCCCAAUUAUUCUUUUCAAAUUGGGAGUUAUUGUCAAAAUUAAUUGAUUAAUUUCCUAAUUAAUUGAUUAACAUCCAAAUUAAUUCCAAGAUAUUAUUUCACAUAAUAUCUUGCAAUCAAUCCCACAAAUCAACCAAAUGUGGCCAGUCCCAACCACACCCCUAUAUAUAGCCCUUCAUUUUCUAAAAAAAUGUAAGUCCAAUUAUUCUCCUAAAAUUCUCUAAACACUUUCUCUCUCAAAUUCUAACUUUGGCAUCGGAGAUUCUUCGGCCAAAGCCCCCACAUUCAUCGUGAGCGUGUGAGGCUCUUGACCUUGAUCUUAGGUGUUAAUUGUUUUGCAGGUGCAUUUUCGUCCAAGAAGAAGGCAUAAAUUUGCAUCCACAAAUUGGUGCUUUCAUUAUGAGUUUGAUUCACACACUCGAAAAAGACUCUCGCAUUCUACUUUUCUAAUUUUCUUCAUUCAUUCGUAGAUUUUCCCACACGUUCCUACUCCUAGAAUUUUUUUAUAUAAAUUAUUUGAAUAGCCCUCGGGAAGAAAUACGAUGACGAAAAAAUUAUGAAACAACAACAAAAGGCACUCCCUACAAAUUUAGGUUUUCACCCACUCGACGGAUCGCGGAGCAACAAUAGUUGCCACCACCCACUGCUACUGUCGUGGCCUAAUCAAGAAUCGGUGCAAUUUUUUGCAGCUAAAACCUAGCCCAUGCUGGUGUAACCUGUAGCCCAUUACCUCUAGUCCAUGCGUCGAGCCAUUUUAGCUAGGGAUGUAACUUUGGUAGGGCCAACCUGAACUCGUCCAUGUCCAACCCGACUUUAAACCCCGAACAAACAAGUUUAUUUUAGCUAUAACCCGCCCGAACCCAACCCGAUUUCAACCCGUUCAUUGAUUGGUUGAGUUGGGUUGAUCCCGAACCUAAACCGACUUUCUAAUAUAUAUAUUUUUAAUAAAUUACCCCUCUAAACCCUAAAGCUAUAUAUUAAGUUGUUAGUCUCCAAUUUCAUUAUGCGGCUUUGCAAGACUGCAACUCAGUCCCUCUGUCUUAGGUCUCAAGGCUACAAGUCUCCAUCUUUAUUUGAAAGCCCAAGAAAAUUUGUAGUUGAAGUAUGUUAAGUGGUGUUAUGACAAAUUUUAUGAAAGUAAAAAAGGUCACUGAUAUAAUUGCUAAGGUUUAAGAUUUGUCAGUGAAGCUUUAUCAAAUUUAUUUAUUAGAGAACCCACAAGCAUUGGAUACUGGUUUAUCUCAAAGUCCUAAUGUCUCAAGUUUGAAUGAAGUGGAAGAACUCAUUGAGGAAGAAAGCUCGGGUUGGGACAUUCAUAUUGUAUUUUAAUUCAAACAUUGCAUGGUUGAAACAUUCAUAUUUAGUUUAACUUUGUAACAAAUACAAUUUGAAGAAUUGAAUUUUAAUUUUGAAAAAGUUGGGCAACCCAAAUCCUCCCAUGUCCAACCUGAACCCGAUUAAACCCAAUUAAAACCCAACCCGAACCUAAGCCCAAAUUGUAAAAAUUGGGUUAGGGUUGGGUUGACCUUCCAACUCGCCCAACCCACCCGAGUUGCACCCCUAAUUUCAGCAAGCCAGUAGGCUCUAGAAAAGGCUAAGGCGCGGGCCCAAUGUUGAAAACCAUCAAAAUCCCAAUGCUUCAACUAAGCUUUCCAAGCCAUUUCCUAUCUGAGCCCAACAUUGGAUGCAACGGCUACGUGGAGGCAGUCCCAUGGUAGAAGCUACCCAGGCCUAUUCCCGCACUAACCCAAUGCGUAGAAGCCCCAGCACGCAAGCCUCAUCCGUGCGAGCCCAGUGUAAGAAGCCCAUUAAGCGUGAGCCAUGCUCCAGUGCAUCAGGACCUCUCAUAUGCAAACCCAGUGCGUUGUUCCAUCUUGCAGCCACUUGGGCCAAGCUACAUAGCCCAAUCCAACAAAGCCCAAUUGGACAACUAAGGAGGUAGGCCCUAGCGCAAUCAACGCGGGUCAAGUUGACCUAGAUUCGCUCCCACACGCCCAUGAUCUAGAUCCACUACUCCUAGCGCCCAUACAAGCCUAUUUUUGGAUAUUUCGAACCAUUUUUCAAUGUUUCGGACCCCUUGUUUGAUGUUUCAGACCCUUUUUUUCGGUGUUUUUUUAUGUAUAUUUGGCUCAUUGAAGCUCAAAAUAUCGUGCCCGAAAUCUAUUACACUUCUACUACUCAAGGAGACGCAUACCUUCGAAGCUCUUCCAACCCAAAUGACGAACUUUUCCAGCAGCGUCCAUGCAAGCAGCCCUUCGACUAGCCAAGAACCGAGCAUUCGAGCAAUGUACACUCCCGACUAGGCCCUAGAGAUAAUGUAUACUCUUGUCUUAGCACACAUAAGAGUUUGCAUUCUCAGUUAGGCCCACGAACGAGCAUACACUCACAGUUGGGGCCACACUCUGAUAAUCAACAUGAGCAACCUUCCAAGCGAAGUGUUCAUUUGCAGCUAAGCCUACAAGGAGCAUCAUCCACCUCACAUCGAAGUAAGCAGCAUGAUAGACGGAGAUAAACAGUCACUGAAUCCAGCUCAAGUUCAACCUGCAGCCUGCAAGGAAUUCACUCGCCUGUUAAGAACAUACCACAUGCACCGCAACAUAGACGAGCCGAACACAUAGAAGAACAGCCUAGACCAGCAGCUCACGACUAGGGGAAGCCGAGAGCUCCCCUACCCCCAACGAAAGUAAAUUCAGGAAGAAGUAUAGAGGCUCCUAACCAAGCGAUUGCAUGAUUUCCAACACAACGAGGUCAUUGACGAGGCACUACGAAAGGACAUGACCAAUAUAAAUAGAUCACCCUUCAUGGACGAGAUCGAGCAGGCAAAGCCUUCACACAAAUUCAGGAUACCACAUUUCAUAUCAUUCAAAAGAGAUGGAGACUCGAAAAGGCACUUAAAGCACUACUGGAGUGCAAUGAUCUUCUAUCGAAACAACGACGCUUUUAUGUGCAAAAUAUUUGCCACCAUUUUACAAGGCAAGGCGUAAGAUUAGUUCCAUACCUUGGCUUCACAAUCUAUCUAGAGUUUCGAUGAGCUUUCUUUGGUUUUCACCAAGGAGUAUUCAUCUUAUCGCUCGAUCAAGAAGAAGUCUGACCACUUGUUCAACAUCAAGAAACACCCAAAAGAGUCGCUUCGUAACUAUGUGAAGAGGUUAAAAAUAGAGAAGGCUAAGAUAGUCGAAUGCAACGACUCGAUAGUUAGAGCAACCUUCCAAAAAAGACUCUGAGCAGACCCUUUCGCUCGGGCAAAAAAGCAUGCAUUUUGGGAUGAGGCUUGCAGAUACACAUUAAGGACUUGAAUAAGUACCUAACAUCACAUUCCUACUAUCCAAACCAGAAGCAAUGGUUGACCUAUUCACAUGUUUGAUGGUAUUUGAAGCAGCAAUAAGCUCUACCCUCAUACAAGAAGAGUUGGGGGGCCGAUAUUCCACAGUUCAAAAGCUCUCCUCGAUGCAGAAACCAGCUACCAGAAAUUCAAAAGCUAACUUUGGCGCAUGCAGUCAUCCUCAUAAUACAUUAUUCCACCCAAUCCAGACGCGCGAUGAUAAAGGCACAGAAAAUGACAGAUGUAAAGUUUUCUGACGAACGCAACAACUCAGCCUAAAAGGCGCGCCAAGGGCAGAUGAACACUAGAAGGACACACUCGAAAGCAAGUUUUAUCUUCGUCACCCUAGAAGAUUCUACAUAGGAGCAACACGUACCGACAGUUGAGCACCACCUCCUGCUGCGCGUCACCCCAGCCGACCCUUGCUCUAUAAUUCAGCUCUAGAAUAGCCCAAUGCCAACAGGGGAGCAUAUUUUGUUGCGUGUAACAUGGCCCUAGCUCUACGGCUCCCUACCACACCUUUAAUUUUAGCCUAGGUGACGCAACAGAGCGACCUAACAACGCCUCAUAAGCAACCGAGCAUGCCCUAGCCACGCCUGCUUCACCCAAUGGAGAUUUCUAGCAUUUGCUUGUUGACGACGCAUUGAACUACAAGGGAUCGGGAGCAGGUGUGGUCCUUGUCACCCCAGACGGUUUAGGGGUAAAAAAGCUUGCAAUUCAUUCUGAUUCCCAGCUAAUCACCAUCCAGACUACUGGGGAGUACACGGCAAAACAUUCAAAGAUGGCGCAAUACCUAGAGAAUGUAUGAAAGCAACUUGAGACAUUUCAGACAUACAUACUCACUCGAGUUCCGUAGGCAGACAACGCUCAUACGGACGCGCUAGCCGGCCUAGGCUCCGCCCUCGACCACCAACGUAAACGUUAUAUUCCGAUAGAGUAUAUUGACAAGCUAAGCAUAGAGGCGGAGCCAACAACUGAGGUGUCACAGUUUAGUAUAACUCCAAACUGGCAAGAUUCCAUUAUAGACUACAUAGUCAAUUGCACACUCCCCAUGGAAAGAUUGGAGUUUACAAAGCUCCAAACAAAGGUAGCACGCUACUACAUGUGGAACGACAUUUUUGUCCGAAGAUCCUACAUUGGACCACAUCUCCGCAGCCUAGUGCCUCUUGACGACAUAAAGGUUCUAAGCUCAAUCCACGAAAACGUUUGUGGAAAUCACUUCGGAGGUCGAUCCUUAACACAGAAAACUCUAAACGUAGGCUACUACUGGCCUACUAUGCAUCAAGACGCUAAGGAUUUAGUACAAAAGUGCGACCACUACUAACGCUACAAGUUGGUACCAGCAUUGCUUGCCAGCGAACUACACCUGCAGAUGAGUCAUUGGUCGUUCAUGCAGUGGGGAAUUAACUUGGUAGGGACAAUGCCGCCUGCUACUAAGGGCUGAGGCAUGAUGAUUGUGGCAACUGAUUACUUCACCAAGUAAGUGGAAGCAAAGCCCAUGACAACCACAACUUAGAUGGACAUAAAGCACUUCAUAUGGAGGAACAUUAUUUGCCGAUUUGGCAUCCCUCAAUCCAUCGUCACAGACAACGGCCCGCAAUUCUUAGGCAAAGAUUUGGCGAAGUUCUUCCUGAAAUAUGGCAUCAAGCAACGCAUGUCCACGCCGAGGUAUCCCCAAGGCAAUGGGCAAGCCAAACCAUCCAACAAGAUGAUUCUCGACUACUUCAAGAAAUUCCUCUCCAACAAGAAGGGAAAAUGGCCAGACGAACUUCCCGGAUGUCUAUAAGUGUAUUGCACAACCAAACGACAAGAAACCAGUGAGACUCCUUUCUCUUUGGCAUUUGGUUCAUAAGAAAUCAUUCCUCUCAAUGUCGUCGUGCCAUGUAUCAGUACUCUACUGCCAAGCAUCAAGCAGAACAGAAAAGAUAUGGCCACAAACUUAAAUCUGGCAAAGGAGAAACCCGAGAAGGUCAUCACCGCAUCGCAACCUACCAGGACUAAGAUUCGGCAGUUCCAGUCUGGAGAUCUAGUCCUAAGUAAAGCCUUCAUCACUGCCUACAGAGAAUGCCCCAAAAAGAUGGAACGCCUACAAUCUGAGGAAGUACCAUGCAUGACCUUCCACUAAAUCAAAGCCCGAAGAUGCCCCAAAAAGAUGGAACGCCUACAAUUUGAGGAAGUACCAUGCAUGACCUUCCACUAAAUCAAAGCCCGAAGACUCAAGCAGCUCAACGAGCACCACCUCGCAAGCCGAAGACUAUCCAGUUGUUAUGCAGCCUUUACCUUACAGUUAAGUUUUCGUUUGUUUUACUUGUUUUUCAAUGAGGAAUUACAUGCGGGGACAUGGUGUUGGCUGCAGGCCAGGAGAAAUAAUCCCUGGCUUUUGGCCGAGGGCCAUGGAGCAGGCAUUGGGCGAGGAGAAAUAAUCUCUGGCUACGGGCGCAAAAACUUAGGAAUGGGCAUUGGGCCGGGAGAUAUUAUUAUUUGAUACCACUAUUUAGCACACUAUAUACAAGAUAUGCUUUAUGAGAUGUUUUAUGGCAUGCUAGGGUUUUCGAAAAACCUACCACUUAUUAUGCUAUUAGUUUUCAUAAAACUUUGGGGGUUAGUAUGUUGAUAACUGUUUCAGUAUAUUAUAUAUAUAUCAACUUGGUCCACUCAUGUUUGUUUUGCGCCCCCUCAGGACUUAGAAUCGAGGAGUACGAUCCCAAAAUCAAGGUACUUCCACGUCGGCUUCUUCGAGUCCUCUCGGUGUAGGACCCACUCAUUUGUUCAUUCAACUUUUAUAUUAAUUCUUUUAGUGUUCUAGAUUAGAUGUGUGCUCUGAAUACGUUCUUCAUUCGUAUAUUAAUUUUAUUUAAAUUCUUUUACCUUAUUUACAUUUUAGUUCUCAUGUUUUCAAUAAAUGGCUUUCGUUACCUUCGGGUGUCGGUCAACACGUACCUACCUUGGUAUUCAAGGAAUAUCAAGAUCAGAGCAUGUCACGUCUCUUAAGAUAUUUUGAAUGUGUUUAAAAAUAGAGAAAUUGAAUUACAUUAUUGUUAGCCUAUUGUGAGGUACUACAACAACAACAAAGCAUUUUCCCACUAAGUGGGGUCGACUAUAUGAAUCCUAGAACGCCAUUGCGCUCGGUUUUGUGUCAUGUCCUCCGUUAGAUCCAAGUACUCAAGUUUUUUCUUAGGGUCUCUUCCAAAGUUUUCCUAGGUCUUCCUCUACCCCUUCGGCCCUAAACCUCUGUCCCGUAGUCACAUUUUCGAACCGGAGCGUCAGUAGGCCUUCUUUGCACAUGUCCAAACCACCGUAACCGAUUUUCUCUCAUCUUUCCUUCAAUUUCGGCUACUCCUACUUUACCUCGGAUAUCCUCAUUCCCAAUCUUAUCCUUUCUCGUGUGCCCACACAUCCCACGAAGCAUCCUCAUCUCCGCUACACCAUUUUGUGUACGUGUUGAUGCUUCACCGCCUAACAUUCUGUGCCAUACAACAUCGCUGGCCUUAUUGCCGUCCUAUAAAAUUUUCCCUUGAGCUUCAGUGGCCUACGACGGUCACACAACACGCCGGAUGCACUCUUACACUUCAUCCAUCCAGCUUGUAUUCUAUGGUUGAGAUCUCCAUCUAAUUCUCCGUUCUCUUGCAAGAUAGAUCCUAUGUAGCGAAAACGGUCGCUUUUUGUGAUCUUCGCUAGCCUGCUCCGGUCAUUAGUGUGGAUAAGUAUAUAAAUGGAUAGAGAUAGGAAAGCAAACACAAGAUGUACGUGGUUCACCCAGAUUGGCUACGUCCACGGAAUAGAGGAGUUCUCAUUAAUUGUGAAGGGUUUACACAAGUACAUAGGUUCAAGCUCUCCUUUAGUGAGUACAAGUGAAUGAUUUAGUACAAAUGACAUUAGGAAAUAUUGUGGGAGAAUGAUCUCGUAAUCACGAAACUUCUAAGUACCGGAGUGUGGUAUCGUCUUGACUUGCCUUAUCUGUCUCAUAGGUAGAUGUGGCAUCUUCUCUCGAAGUACUCUUCCUCCAUCCAUGGGUGGUAUCUUUAACUGGUGGAGAUGCACAAGGUAAUGUAUCAAUUUCACUUGAAGCUUACUUGUAGUUUCAGGCUUGGUCAAGCGCGAUACAAACCAUGUAGUAGGAGUCCCCCAAGUCGCCGAGCUAGGGGAUCUGCUGAAAGAGGUGACAGACAAGGUAAGCAAUCAGAGCUCCGGCUGAUUGUUCACAUUCUCCCUAUCUUGCAGGCAGCAUGAAGGAUAAAGAGAAGAAAAAUGAGAAGAGAUGAUAUGGGAUACUUUUGCUUUUGAAGAAGUAACUUUCCACAGGCUUAUUCUUGAACUGGGCUGGAGGGUUUUCUGGUUUCCUCCAGAGUAUAAGGCCGACUGAAGAAUUUGAGGGUCAAAACAAGUCCAUCAAAUCUAGAGUACGUUCGACCCUGCUGAUAUGGGAUACUUUUGCUUUUGACAGAGUAGUGGAUGUAUCGGCACAUGUGCUGUUACGCUUGUCUCCACAUGCUUCCUUGUAUCCUUCUCACUUGCCCUAUAUGUUCCUCAGGCAGAUGCGGUAUCUUCCCUGGAAGCAUAAGAUGUUGAAGAUGAGUACUCGAGAGCAAUGCCAGGUAAGUAAUCAGGUAAGGGGUUCCAGGCAGUCAGUUCUUGGUUGGAAGCUUGAUUCCAAGUGCUGACUGAUUGCUCUCUUUCUCCUUGUCUUGCAGGUAAGAACAAGGCCAAAGGAAAAGACAGGGAAAAAGCAUGAUAUGGGAUACUCUUGCUUUUAACCCUGAUGAUAUGAGAUAUUCUUGCUCUAGUAUAGCUUGUUUGCAGAGGUAUUAUCGGGGGGAAAGAAAGCUGAAUAUUUCGAAAGGCUUCGUUGGGAGUGCCCUCUCAGAUAAGAGGAAGGGUUGAGCAUUUUUGCAGGUCUGCCUGUCUGUUGGGGAUGGAGGUCGACAUAUAUAGGAGUCUCCCUAACAUCAAGUAAUAAUGCUAUUCCUUUACCCUGCUUGGUCAUAGCACGGUAGUGGGAGCUGCCAGCUUCACAUGUUUUAACUCUGUCAGAGCACUUUGAAAAAGUGGUUUGCCUCUUCGGUUUUCGAACAAGCAAUCCUGUCGGGGAUCUGGCUCUCGAGAUUCGGAGAACGAUGCCUUUUCGAUUUUUGAGAAAGCAAUCCUGUUGGGGGUCUGGCUCUCGAGAUUCGGAGAGCGGUGUCUCUUCAAUUUUUGAGAAAUUAAUCAUGUUGGGAGUCUGGCUAUCGAAAUUCGGAGGGCGGUGCCUCUUCGAUUUUGGAGCAAGCAAUCUUGUUGGAGUGUUUUCUCGAAUGUGAGUAAAGGUUGGGCAUGUUUGCUAGUCUACCUUGCCACGAAGCACAGAGGUUGACACACAGGGACUUUCCAAUUAUCCAGCAGUGGUACUGUUCCUUUACCCUCUCUUCGAUUUUUGAGAAAGUAAUCAUAUUGGGAGUCUGGCUCUCGAGAUUCGGAGGGCGGUGCCUCUUCGAUUUUGGAGCAAGCAAUCUUGUUGGGAGUGUUUUCUCGAAUGUGAGUAAAGGUUGGGCAUGUUUACUAGUCUACCUUGCCACGAAGCACAGAGGUUGACACACAGGGACUUUCCAAUUAUCCAGCAGUGGUACUGUCCCUUUACCCUCUCUUCGAUUUUUGAGAAAGUAAUCAUGUUGGGAGUCUGGCUCUCGAGAUUCGGAGGGCGGUGCCUCUUCGAUUUUGGAGCAAGCAAUCUUGUUGGGAGUGUUUUCUCGAAUAUGAGUAAAGGUUGGGCAUGUUUGCUAGUCUACCUUGCCACAAAGCACAAAGGUUGAUACACCGGGACUUUCCAAUUAUCCAGCAGUGGUACUGUUCCUUUACCCUUGUGGGUAAUAAUAUGGUAGCUAGACCUUCAAAAUUUAUGUGUCUAAACUUUGUUAGUGUUGUUUCUUUGUUAUUCUUUUACCCUUCUUGGUCAGAGCGAUGUAGUGGGAGCUGCAAGCUUCACGUGUCUCAACUUUGUCAGUUAACUUUGGCAAAGUUAUCUGUGGUACCCAUGAGCUACUGUUGCGUGUGGGAAGUGGGUGAUUGAACAGUACGAUUCAUGUGCUUUCUACUUCACCAGAAAUUUUCGACAGAAUGCCCAUAAUUUCCGCAAAGCUGAGUGUGUGUGUGACAGGUGAUGACAAGGCUGAAAAAGUAGGUGCCUCUUCGAUUUCUGAGAUCGGCCCUCGUGGUCUCUGAGCAGCCCAGCUUUUGAGAAAGCAAGCCUCUUCGAUUUCUGAGAUCGGCCUUCGUGGUCUUUGAGCAGCCCAGCUUUUGAGAAAGCAAACGCCUCUUCGAUUUCUGAGAUCGACCCUCGUGGUCUCUGAGCAGCCCAGCUUUUGAGAAAGCAAACGCCUCUUCGAUUUCUGAGCAGGCGCCUCUUCGAUUUCUGAAGCUUCGUCGAGUGCAGAUUUUUAUAGGGGCUGGCAUUAAGUUCCAAAGCACACUUGAAUCUCCACUAGUAGAAGCUCUAUUCUUGCACUUCUAAGAUCUUGAUUUGUCCGACCUCUUCUCUCUUCAACACCUUUGAAAAUGUAUGGCCCCUCCGACCGUCGUUUUGACUUGAACCUUGUUGAAGAGGCAGCCUCGCCUUCUCUAGACAACAUAUGGCGCCCAUCCUUCGUCUCCUCUACUGGUCCUCUUACCGUUGGGGAUUCCGUGAUGAAGAAUGAUAUGACCGCUGCGGUAGUGGCCAGGAACCUUCUCACUCCCAAAGAUAACAGACUACUUUCCAAACGGUCUGAUGAGUUGGCUGUUAAGGAUUCUCUGGCUCUCAGUGUUCAGUGUGCAGGUUCUGUGUCUAAUAUGGCCCAACGCCUAUUUGCUCGAACCCGCCAAGUUGAAUCAUUGGCGGCUGAAGUGAUGAGUCUCAAACAGGAGAUUAGAGGGCUCAAGCAUGAGAAUAAACAGUUGCACCGGCUCGCACAUGACUAUGCUACAAACAUGAAGAGGAAGCUUGACCAGAUGAAGGAAUCUGAUGGUCAGGUUUUACUUGAUCAUCAGAGAUUUGUGGGUUUGUUCCAAAAGCAUUUAUUGUCUUCGUCUUCUGGGGUUGUAACGCGUAAUGAAGCUCCAAAUGAUCAACCUCUGAUGCCUCCUCCUUCUAGGGUUCUAUCCAGUACUGAGGCUCCGAAUGAUCCCCUCCGGUGCCUUCUCUUUCUGGGACUCUACCGACUGCUGAGACUUCUCCUAAGCAACCUUUGUGAAGGCUCCCUCUUGUUUGUUUAUUUUGACUCAUGUAUAUGUACAUAUUUUUAACUUAUCGGGGAUAUCAAUAAAUAAGCUUUCCUUCAUUUCAACGUAUUGUGUUAAAUACACCAAAGUCUUCUUCGCUAAGUUAUUUGAAUUUUCUUUCGUUGAAGCUUGUAUGUUGAAGCUUGUAUCCGAACGCAGAUUGAUGAUUUAUGAUGGAAGAUGAUCCUCUCGAAAAUACUAAUGCCUUAUUUGAUGCAUUAUUUUGGGAUGCCCUUGAAGUUUUUUUUUUUUUAUCUUGAAGGCAUUUUUGUUCAAAAUUUUUUGUUGAAGCUUGGUAACACCAAAAUCACUAUUCACCUUUGUAUUAGCGUUAUAUAUAAAAUGUUUAAUAGAGGAUGAUUAUCUACCCUCAUAAUCUCUCUACCCUUCCAUGCCCUUUAUUUGAACGGUCACGGUUAAAUCACGUCAACAUCUUAUAUUAAUUUUUUUAUAGAGAUAAUAAGAUAAAAAAUAAUAUGUAAGAUGAGGGAAUGAAAGGAGAUGUGAAUAAAAGGGUAAAGAAUCCUCCUUCAUGUUAAUAGUCACAGUCAGUCAGUCAGUCAUCACCCUGUCCUCUGCCUGCCUCCUGUCAACCCUUUUCAUAUAAUCCGGCACAGGAGAUCUCAAAGUUACAGCUAACGUUGGCGUGGCACCAUUUGUCUAAAGUGUGAAGUCAUAAAGUUGUGAAACGUGUCCUUUAUUGCUUUUUGCUAAAUGUGAAUCAUGACCUGAGGAAAAAAAAAAAAUUCCACCGAUCCAAUAAUACCACCACAUGUAUGAAAUUAACUUACUAAUGAAAACAAAUAUUACCAACUUUUUACUAUUUUCUGGUCCCCAAAAGAACUAUUCUUACAUGAAAAGUCGUUGAUAAGAUGUAUUGAGGAAAGCCCUUAGAUUAGCUUAGAAGGAAGUACUUAGUCUAAAGUUCAAUGUAGGUUAAGUCGGACUCUGCUGAAUUUGCCAUUAAUACUGGGUACGGUGGUAUUUUUCUAGUAAAGAGUAAUGGUGUUAUUUUACUUGAACGAUAGUAAAAUGGAGUCAUUGGUAGAAGCGUGGUCAAUAAAAGUUGUUAACUACAGUUGGAAAGUCAAAAGUAAUUAGGAUUUGAUACUCAGUAAUUAUAUCCAAUUUCUAAACUACAGUCGGAAAGUCAAGAGUAAUUAUUUUUUUUAAUGAUUUAUUUUAUAUAUUAUUUCUUAAUGGCACAAGUGGAUUGCCACGUCAGCAAAUAUAUGGACCCUCCAUUUGCUAAAUCAUCACUUAAUGGUCAGUUUGACAGAAUCACUAUCGGAUAUAUGACAUUGCAACGAAUUCAUAAGUUAAGGUAUGACAUUGCAAUGUUUAAAACAUGAUGUAUGAAAUUAUGGUGCAACCCAUAUUUGAGGUAGUUUUGUGUAAUUUACCCUUAUAUUUUUUGUGGUGUACGAUUUUCUUCCUUCCACAUUCCUCCCCCUCCCUCCCCUUCUCUCUUUCCUUUUUGUCUCUCUCUAAAAAAAAGUCAACACAACGUGACUUAAUUAUGGUCAUUCAAAUAGGAGGUGAGGAAGGAGAUGAGAGAAUCUUAUUCUAUUUUUCAUACCAUAUUUGUACUACCUCUCUAAUAAAGGUAGGAUCAACCAAUACAAAUGGUUCUCACCUCUAUUAGAAGAAUUAUACUAAUAUGAUAUAAAAAUCUACUAUUUUUUAUAAAAUAAUGUACACUCCUAUCCUUGUUUUAAUGUAAAAUGACAUACAACUACUCCAAAUAUCGAUAACAUUAAUGAUAUAAACCCCUAUUCUAGAGCUGGCCAAUAUUCUACACUCUAAAGGCGUCUCCAUAACUAUUAUCCACACCCGUUCCAACUCCAUCAACCUUUCAGCUCUAAACAUAGAAAAAUCCUACUUUUUCAACCACAAGUCACAACUAGUUAUCCGAAAUCACCAAACCCCAAUUGGAGCACAUAAGCCAAAUUCAAAAUCAAUGCACCAAUUUGUCUUCACUCUUAAAGGUUUAAUGUUUAAUAGUCACAGUCAGUCGGCCAGUCACCACCCUGUCCUUUGCCUACCUCCGAUCGUUGGUGGCACCAUUUGUUUAAUGUGUACCAUUUGUUUAAUGUGUAUUGAGAGCAACUCCACUGUGGGUUGCUGCUCGGGGGACAGUGGACCAAACAGGGCAUGAUAGCCUGGUUGAAGCCCUCCAGCGUGGGGAGCCCAAGGGACUAGGCCGGCCCGAGCAACAGGCUUGUGAGGAAUCGCUAGCCCGCAAGCCCGAGGUGGACCUGACUCAGGGCUGACGUUAGCCUAGCGUCAGUCUCAUUUUUAAUUUUUUUUCUGUCAGGCGCGUGCGCCUCACCUGCGCGUGGGGGCGAGUCAGCCGACAAAUUUCAGACCCCAGGGGCCCGCGAUGCAGUCUGCCUACCGUUGGGAAGCCACGUGGCUUCCCACGGUCCGUUCGAUCUCAACGGCUCUUUAAAAUAGGCCGUUCGAUUUGCAACGGUAAUAAAAAUAAAAUAAAAAAACUUAUUUAAUAUCAACCAUUGGAUCUGAGAUCGACGGUUGAUAUUAUUCUGAUUUAUAAAUAAAUAAAUAAAUGAAAAAUAGUUUUAAAAUUUUAAAAAGUUACUGUUGUGACACAUGGCACAAUCUGGAGUGUUGGAAUUCAAUUUUUUUUUAAAUCCAACGACAGAGAUUAAUUAGUUCAAUAAAAAAUUUAAAAAAUUGUAAAAAAUCUGAAUUUUUUUAAAAAAAAUUGUUUUUACUUUUCUAUAAAUACUUCUCAUUAUCAUCUACCUUACACCACAAUUUCAUAUUUUCUUAACUACUUUCAAUCAAAUUCCUAUCUUUCUCUCAAAGUUUCAAUCCAUUUUUUUUCAACAAAAUGACUACUACUGCAGGUACGAAUUGGUCGCUUCUUGAAGAUGUUGCGUUGUGUACUAGCUGGGUUGAAGUUACUCAUAGUUCGCUUAUGGGUAAUGAGAUGCAGUUGCGAGAAAUGUGGAGUCUUAUUCAUGCUACGUGGCAUGCCGUCAUUUGUUAAAAAUCUGAUGGAAAUCUAUCCUCAAAUAUUGUAAACAAAUUAUGACACGUGGCGCGACGUGAUUGGUUAAUAAUCUUAUCUGAAAUCCAUCACCAAUAAUUGUAUUUUUGGAUAAUGACACGUGACGCAAUGAGAACGAUUAAAAAUCUUAUCGGAAAUCCAUCACCAAUAAUUGUUUUUUCGGAUUAUGACACGUAGCGCAACGAGAACGAUUAAAAAUCUUAUCCGAAAUUACAAAUAAAAUUAUUUUGUAUUAUUUUAUUACCUAUAGCCAAGGGGAGGGCUCCCACACUGGAGGUGCAAAAAGCAGUUACUGUUCAUUAAGGGGAGUUACUGUUCACCUCCCACGCUGGAACUGCUAAGAGGAAAGCCUCUGAAUUGGCUUAGAAGAAAGUAUUUGGUCGAAAUUUCAAUGUAAGUCAAGUUAGAUUUGAUUGAAUUCGCCAUUAAUAUUAGGUACGGAAGGUAUUUUCUUAGUAAAAAGUAAUGUUGUCAUUUUACUUGAGCAUUAGUAAAAUGGAGUCAUUGAUAAAAACGCGGUCGGUAAAACUGGUCAAAGCGUGAGCACGUAUAAGCCGAACCACAGAUUAACAGCAGUUUACAAAUGUUUGUAAACUAUGGUUGGAAAGUCAUGAGUAAUUAGGAUUUGAUACUCAGUAAUGAUCCAAUCUGCAUAGCCAACGAAAUCUUACAUCAUCAAGAUUAAGUAGGAAUUGUUGGAAUAUAAUCAUGAUGAUGUUAGCUUUACUAUAUAUGUAUUUGAUGUAUGGAGGUGCACCAUAAGAAUGGUGUAUAAGAGGUAUGACUUAAUAAGGGUUAUACCAUUCUAUAAGUGAACUGUCUUAUCAUGAAGGGAUAAAACCAUUCAGAGAAGUUUCACAACUCUCUAAAAAUGGUACGAUGAAGUCUAUAAAGGGAGGAUUCAUUUCUCAAACAAAUCAAUCCAACGUGAAAUGCAUUUUCUCUUCUUCCCGUUGGUGUUCUAUUUCUCCUUUGGCACUACCGCAUAGUAAUCAAUAGUCUAACGACAUUAGAGAUUGAUCUUGUGAUCCAUCAAAUUGUACAUUGAAAAGUAUUAGUGAGGGGGUCCCUAUGAUUUGCACGUGAUGUUUACUGACCAAAUGGUGAAUGCAAGAAAUGUGAGUGAUGUUUGGAAGGUAGGGCUGCAGUUGAGCAUGGAAUUGAGAGAGGUGAGGUUGAAAGAACAAUUAGAAGACUGAUGGUUGAGAAAGAAGGGGAAGAGAUCAAAGGGAUUGAAUUAAAGUGGAUGGAAAAAAGCAAAUCAUUGCCUCAAAGAGGUGGCUCUUCCUACCAAUCUUUGGAUGGCUUGGUUAAACACAUCUUAUCAUUAUAAAUCGUUUGUUUAAGAAACUCAGUAUGAAGUAUUCAAUAAAAUUAAAAUUAAAAUAAACCGACAUAUGGUUAAUCAAAAUAUCAAUAAUAUUAAUGAUAUAAAUAAUAAUCGUGGAUCCAUGAAAUAUUAAUGUAAUUAUCAGUAUCAUUAGACAUGUGACGUAACGAGAUAACAUAACCUAAAUUGCACUCCUUUUUAUAAAGUCAUGAAGUUGUGAAACUUUUUUUUUUUUUUUCUGUUAAAGGUUAAACGCUUAACUUGAGGUAAAACAACAGUUUCCACUGACCCAAUAAUCUAUAUAUACAUGAAAUUCAUAAGCAAAAACUAACAUUCUUUGACCAAAAAAAAAAAAGCAAAAAUAAACAUUCUCGAUUCAAAAAUGGAACAAAGCAAAGGCAGGAGAGUGAUCAUCUUCCCACUGCCGUUUCAAGGCCACAUAAAUUCUAUGCUAGAACUGGCCAACGUUCUACACUCCAGAGGCUUCUCCAUAACCAUUAUUCACACACGCUUCAACUCCCUCAACCCUUCUACCCUAAACCCACAGUUCACGUACCAUUCAAUCCCUGUCGACUUCUCCGAAACCGAGGCCGCCUCGAGGGAUCCCAAAGGUUUUCUUUAUCUUCUCAAUGUUAGAUGUGUCGAGCCUUUCAGAGAAUGCUUGGCCGGAUUGUUAUCGGAUGACGUUAAGUUGGAAGGCCCCGUUGCUUGCUUGAUCUCGGACACUCUCCUUCACUUCACUCGACCCAUUGCGGAGAGUUUUAAGCUUCCGAGGAUCUUGUUGGAUGUCUCGUGCGCCACUAAUUUUGCCGUUUUGGCUGCGUUUCCGCUUCUCAAGGAAAAGGGUUACCUGCCAAUACAAGGUACAUCAGAUAUAUGCUUCUUUCUUUCUAUGUUGGUUACAACAAAAUAACUCAAUACCACUAUUAGUUGCACAAAAUAGAGUUGCUAAAUUUAUUUAUUUUUUGACACAGAUAGUGCUUUUAUCGGAAUAAUUGUCAAAUAUUACAAAAUGUCUUUUUACUCGCCAUUGGUACCUAGUAUUACUAAUUCACUGGUUAUAAACACGAGUGGACUGAUGAUAAUAUACAAAUACUUGAACAACUUAUAUUUGGCUUUCUAUUAUAUUGGCAAUAAUUAGAUUCUCGACUAGAAGAGGUAAUCACAGAACUAUCACCUAUCAAAGUUAAAGACCUGCCAAAGGCGCCCGGUUCCGAUCCUGAGAAUUAUUAUCAACUGGCCAUCCAAGUGUCAAAUGAACCAAAGUCUUCUUAUGGACUCAUCUUAAAUACAUUUGAAGAUCUUGAAGGACAUGCUCUGGCCAGAAUCCGCCGACACCUGCCCAAUGUUCCCAUUUUCCCAAUAGGUCCAUUUCACAAGUGUUGCCGUACAAUAUCCUCUUCAAGUAGUUUAUUGGCACAAGAUCAGAGUUGCAUUUCAUGGCUGAACACUCAAGCGCCAAAAUCUGUUGUUUAUGUUAGCUUUGGGAGCAUUAUACAGAUAGAGGAAGCUCAAUUUUUGGAGAUAGCUUGGGGGCUGGCCAACAGCAAUCAACCCUUUUUGUGGGUUGUUCGACCCGGGUUGGUUAACGGGUUUGAUUGGCUCGAAGCGUUACCUAACGGGUUUUUAGAAGCAUUGAACGGGAGAGCUUACAUUGUGAAAUGGGCUCCACAAAAAGAAGUAUUGGCCCACCUAGCAGUUGGAGUCUUUUGGACUCACAAUGGUUGGAAUUCUACAAUAGAGAGCAUUUGUGAAGGGGUCCCUAUGAUUUGUACGCCAGGUUACAUUGAGCAAAUGCUGAUUGCAAGAAAUGUGAGUGAUGUUUGGAAGGUAGGGCUGCAGUUGGAGCAUGGGAUUGAGAGAGGUGAUGUUGAAAGAACAAUUAGAAGACUGAUGCUUGAAAAAGAAGGGGAAGAGAUCAAAGAGAGAUCCUUAAAGUUGAUGGAAAAGGCAAAUCGUUGCCUCAAAGAAGGUGGCUCUUCGUACCAAUAUUUGGAUGGCUUGGCCAAGCACAUUUUAUCGUUAUAAAUCGUUUGUGUAAGAAAUUAAGUGGUAUUGCAAGUAGCCAUUUACCAUAGUGGUAAAAAUGAGUUGAGCUCUUACAUGAGGAUGUGAGUUCGAACUUCAUCGGUGACUAAAUAAAAGAAAAUCUAUCGUUUAACAAAAAAAAAAAAAGUACUAAGUGGUAUUAUUUAUUCAAUAAAAUUGUUGGGUUGCAUUAUGUGUUUACAUAAAUAGAGGCUUUUAGCAAUGUGUUAACUACAGUAUGUGUAUAAAAUAAAAUCUCGACAAAAGCCAGUCUUCACUUUACUACCAGAUUUGCACGUUUCAACUUAAUCUUCAACUCAUUCGAACAUGUGAUGUAGGUCAGAAUACCAACAAACCAAAAAACAAUAAUGGUUCUAAUUAGAUCUGGUAAAUUUUUAAACGACACGAAAAUAAAAGGUUUAGGGUAGUUACUAAGUCACCCGUUAAUAACGGGUUUACACACAGGUAACCAAUGGGUAACCCGUUUCAACCCGUUAAGAAAAAAAUAUUUUGAUGAUUUUAAAAUUAAGCUACUAAACAAACUUACUAUAAAAUAUAGUAUAUUAAAUAUGUAUUAUUGUAUUACUAUUCUACAUAAGUUAAAAAAAUAAAAAGUUUUAUUUAUUUUUAUUAUGAGAGUUUCUUAUCAUUACUAAGAUAAAUUUUACUUGACCUACUGUCUUAAAUUCAAAUCAACUAGUAUAAUAUUAGUAUAAGCAAAAUCACAGUCUUUCAAUUUCAGAGUCAACGACGUAGCAAAGCUUUUACUCUCUCUCUCUCAUACAAUCAUACUCAUAAAUGUUUUAUCCUCUUAAACGUGAGAUUAAAACAUUAUAAAACACAUUAAAAAAUUAAAUAUCAAAGUAAUUUAAAAAUACUAAACAAAUUAAAAAAUUAUAAUAAUUAAUUUACAAGUGCAAAAAAUGUGAAAAAAGAAUAUGCAAAUACUUGUGAUCACAUCCUCUAUGCUUUGAGAUGGGUACAUCAUUGUUUGAAUUUUUAAAACCGUACAAAGCCUCAUGAAUAGUAUUUUUAGGGGAGUUCAAAAUAAAUAAAAUUUCAUAAUAAUUAGUGUACAAGUGAAAAAUGUGAAAGAAUAUAUAAAUGCUCGUGAUUGCAUCCUCCACACAUAGAUGAUGGAUACAUUGUCGUUUAGAAUUUUAAAACCCUCCAAACCCUCAUGAAUAGUGUUUUUAUUUGAGUUCAAAAUUAAUAAAAUUCGUAAUAAUUAUUUUAUAAGUGUGAAAAUGUGAACAAAAAAAAAUAUACAAUCACUUAUAAUGAUAAGCUUUACAACUUUCGUGAAGGGAUCCAACUCCGAAAUCUAACACCAUAAUCCAUGAACCUUAGAUUUAUAUUUAAUCGUCGAUUAUCGUUUAUGCUUUACUCUUUCACUAAAUUUUGUUUUUCAUAUUUUCUCUUUUGAAAACAUGAUCUUUUAGCGGAUAUAGAAACAUGAAUGGUUCGGGUUGUUGAUAUUACGUUCCAAUAUGUACGGUUACCUGAAUAUGAGUCAAUGUUAUAUAGUUUUUGGAGACUUUAUAAACUCUGAGCAAUAUUUUCACUAACAGUGAAACUUUGAACGUAAUAUCAAUGAUCUGAAUUGUUCAUCUUCCUGCAUCCUCUAAAAGAUCAUGUUUUCAAAAAAGAAAACUUAAAAAAAAAUUGGUGAGAAGAAUUGAGCGUAAAUGUAAAUGAUAAUCAAUGGUUAAAUUUCAAUCUAUAGUUUAUGUGAUUAUAGUGGCAAAUUUCGAAGUUAAACCCAUCAUGAAAGUUGUAAAGCUUGUCUGUACGAGCGUUUAUAUAUAUAUAUAUAUAUAUAUAUAUAUAUAUAUAUAUAUUAAUAUCUUUCACACUUCUACAUUAAUUAAUAUUUAUGUGAUACGUGAAAGACAAAUGUGACACACCCCGACUGAGGCCAAGGCAUGUUGGCCGUCACGUGAGAGUGACGUAGCCAUGUGCACAGUGUGGAAGCGAUAAAGAUAGCAAAUAUACGAAUAACUAAAAACCACAUUACUAGAGUACACUACUAAACAGAAAAUGAUAAGAGUUAGUUACAACAAUAAACACUCAUAAUCAGAGCAUAAAGUCUAGGUGCAGUCCAAUAGGACAAGUACUAGUUACACAGUACCAGGAAUGUCCUACUAUUAUUCAAAUAGGUCAGAACUGCUGAAGAUCCCGAGCCACCAACAGCAAUCUUACUUAGAACCUGGAGGGGCGUAAAACAGAAAGCGUGAGUGGGCAAAAACAAAUGUUUUAAAAACCAUUUCAUUAUUCAGCAUAACUAACCCCUCGCUGUAAAACAUGUAUAAUUUUUCUAGAAUCAAGAUAUGAGCAUAUACAUACAUAUACAUAUAGAUAUAUCUAUAUACAUAUAGAUAUAUCUAUAUAUAUAUAUAUAUAUCUAUAUAUAGAUAUAUCUAUAUAUCUGAAAUCAUAUCAAUUUAGUUCAUGCUUCACAUAAUCAUUUUCAUAUGUAUGCCAUGCCAAAAUAUAACAAAGUAAACAAUCCGGGUAAGAAUAAUUUCAUAGAAAUGUGAUAUGUUAGCCGGAACUCCUGUGGUAGUCUGUACGGCUGAAUUCCUAGCUCAAACUCAAUCUAGCCGGAGUCACUUCUAUGACCUAUACGGCAAUAUACUGCACAUAAGUCAGAACCACUGAAAUGGUAUGUACGACAAGGUUAGGUGUAAUAUAGUUAUGCUUAAUGCUACGCCCUUACGCUAGUUAUGCGAUAAAUCGUUAGUCACCUACGAGUCAGAACCACCUAUAGUGGUCUGUAUGACAAGACUGUGCACCUAAAUUGGAUCCAAUGUGAGCAUAUGGUGUGGGAGGUGACAUAAUAUACAGGCUUGUGCCAACUCUCUUUGACUAAAUCGCAAUCACCCUGGUGCAGGUUAUGAGUUCAAUGUUCAUCAAUACAUUUAUAAUCAUUCUAUUCAUAACUAAGGCCUUUGUUUUAAUCACAUCUCAUAUAGACAAUCAACAUGUUCAUCUCAUUUAUUGAAUGGAUGCAUCUAACCUCUCGUUAGACUGCCUAUGUACCCUAAAUAAGGAUCAAGUCGUUCAUAGUUCACCUAAUCAAACAUAACUUACCCAAACUUACUUGUGCCUCCACAACACCACAUUUAUAUAUAUAUGCAACCAUGGAAAUGCAUAUUCAGAAUAUAAAGUCAUUUAGCAUAUUGUUUCAAAGCAUACUUUCAUUUAAAACAAAUUUCUGGGAAAUAAAUCAAGUAUAUAAAUAUAUACCGAAAACAAAAGCCCACUCACUGUUAUGUCGACGGGUCGUAACCCCCGAGUCGCCCGUGGAUACGCUCGUCCUCGGAAUAAGUCUCACCUAUAUGCGAAUUAACUAUAAAAACGUUAUUUUAAAGCAUAUAGGCAAAACUAGCUACUAACUUCUCAUACAUAGCUCAAAAUGGGUAUAUGAAUAUACCAACGUGACCUACACAACCUCACGAACAUCUUGAUAUUUUUAGAAAAAAAUUCCUAUAGCUUACGCGCCCUCACGCGCUGGGGAGGGCACGGCAUCACGCGCCCUCAUGCACAUCACCUUCAACCUCCAGACGCCGGAAUAGUGCCACCGGCCCCGGAUUCUGGGCAGACCUGCAACUGCCCAUUUCUCUCUCGUUUUUGCACCAUUUUCUAUGAAAUUUUCACCCAAAUGUCACAAAUUUCAAGAGGAAGAAGGUUAUACCUCUUUGGAGCCUCAAAUCCUUCGAAAACACGUCAGAAAAAUCUCAACAAAAUCGACCACCUUCGAACCUCAUGAUCCCGACGUCAAAACCAAGCUAACGAAGCACUCCGAGCUUCAUGAGAACCUCCUAGAGUUCGCUGAAGGCUUGGAUUGUCCUAAAACAUAACCAUUCAAAAGUUCAUGAAUAGUGUUCAACUCGGAGCUUGAGUUUUCAACGUGAAAUCGAACGAGUUCUUACCUGAAAUUGGUACUUUUGAACUUGUAGGGUCAUCACGAACACAACGGUACCAUUUUCUUCCUCGAUAUAUGAAGAUUUGGCUCAGUUUCAAGGUGGUCCGUACGGAGGAGAGUGAAGAGAGAGUCUGCGAGAUGAGAGAGAGAGCACGGGAAGAGAGAGAAGGGUAUGUAUUUGUGUGGUCCAAAAAUGCACACCAAUCCCAACUCUUUAAUUUUUUAGUUCUAAUUGGGUCCAAUUAGUUAGGGAUAGAACUAAUUGACUCAAUUCUUUAAUUCCACACAAACACACAUCCGACGCUCAAGGGUAAAUCUAUCUUUUCACAACCACAAUGAUAAAAUAAAGUACAUUUCUGGGACGGGCUGUGACAAAUGUGUUUUUAUGUUUUGAAGUAAUAUUUAUAUGAUAAUGUGGUAUGUAUUUACUAAUUUAGUAUUAUGUUUUUUUAUUUGAUUAUUUACUGGUUUAAAAUAAAUUUUCUUUAAUGGGUAAUGGGUCGGACCAUAUUAUCUAUUAAUAUUAACGAGUCGAGUUUCGACUUGGUCAUAUUACCUGUUCAUUUUAACAGGUGUUACACGACACAACCCGUUAAAAUAUCGAGUAUGACAUGAAAACGACACAAAUAUGAAAAACACUACACGAAUGCCAAAUCUAGUUUUAAUAACAUGGAAGAAAGUUGUCUCAGAGCCUCCUAUAGGGCAUCCAAUUCGUCACAGUGAAUGCUUCCAAUCAAUAUACAUAUAUAGUAAUCGUCAUACUUACCUUGUCUACUUUUGUGGAUCCAAAUUAUAGGCAUACAGGAAUUGUGGCAAAAAAACUCUUUCUGUGUGAGUUCUCUCUUCCUGAGAGUCGUUCUCACUAUUGUGUGAGUGGUUUCCCUUCCGUCUGAUUAUGUCACUGUCGACCCUUGCUGUGGCGGAGAUCAGUAACAGAUCAUUCCUUGUAAACUUUUAUGGAAGGCUUUUUGAAAAACUUUGCAGUUGUAGCCCUGUUGGUAGGACUGGGGGAUUAUUCUUGUUCUGGAAUUCUUGUAAGGUGGAUGUUAAUGUUAUCUCUUCCUCUUCUUGUUUUUUACACUGUGUGGUUAUUGAUUUUUCUCAAAGGUUGAACAUUAUUUCACUUUUGUGUGUGCAUAACCACGAAAACACUUGCAAUCUAUUAUGUUGGAGGACAUUUUAUUGCUUAGUCCUAAAGUUAAACCGGGGUGUUUAAUGGCAGAUUUUAACAACAUUAUGGACAUUUCUGAAGAAAAAAAAGAAGGAAGUUGCCAGGUUACUACAACUUUUAUGAACAAAUUCCUCCAAUUUCUUAACAACGGUAACCUCUUAUCUCUUAAUGCUUCUGGGGUGCCUUUUACUUGGUGCAAUAAUCAGGAAGGUAGUAAUCGAAUUUAUGAAAGACUUGAUCGUGCCUUGGGUAAUUCAUAUUGGUUAAAUGAAAAUCCUAAUUAUAAUCUUCAUAAUUAUCCUAUUUUCGGGUAACUUUUAAUUCAACAAACAUUAGUAGUAGACAUAAUAAUUCCUUCAAAUUUGAAGCGAUGUGGCUGUUGCAUCCUGAUUUCAAGGAGUUUGUGAAUGAUGCUUGGAAAUGUAAUGGUGGUUUCAAUCCUAUGAAUAAUUUUAGAGUUUGUGCAAAUAUGUUUAAUUACUUAGUAAAGAAUUGGAAUAAGACUACUUUUGGUAAUUUGAAAGUUCACAAGGAAUGCAUCCUUGGUGAACUGGCUGUGAUCCAAGAGACCAUUAUGAGAAAUAAAAAUGUUGAUGUUGAAUUGGAACUCGAAACUAAGAUAAGUGAAGAACUAAAUUCGAUACUAAAGCAAGAGGAAAUUAUGUGGGCACAAAAAGCUAAAGUCAAUUCUCUCCAGUUAGGUGAUAAGAACACUAGGUUCUUUCAAACGGUAGCAACUAUACGGAAGAAAAGACACGAAAUUAAGAGGAUGAAGGACAAUAAUGGGUUUUGGUGGAAUGUGGAUGAAAGACUUGAACAAGUUUUUGUACAGGAAUUUAAACUGUGUUUUUCUUGUGAUUGUCCUCCUUCACCCGUUGAUAUUUCUUCUUGUGCUAAUAUUAUUACCCCUUGCAUUGAUAAUAGUCAAAAUGAAAUGCUUCUCAAACCUAUGGAGGACGUUGAGGUUUGGGAGGCGAUGAAAAGCAUUCGUGCACUAAAGGCACCAGGGCCUGAUGGUAUUAAUGCAAGUUUCUACCAUGAAUGCUGGGAUACCAUUAAAGAUUUAGUUAGUGCAAUGGUGAAGGAUUUUUUCCUUAAUAAUUUCAGUCUAAAAUUGAUUAAUCAUACCAACAUAGUUCUUAUUCCCAAAGUGGAGAAUCCGGAGGUGGUAAGUAACUACAAACCAAUUAGCCUUUGUAAUGUUAGUUACAAAAUUAUUAUGAAAAUCAUUAUCAAAAGGUUAAGACCUUUGCUUGAUUUGUUCAUAUCUAACUGUCAAGGGGCUUUUGCCCCAGGGUGUUCUAUUCAUGAUAAUAUCUUGAUAGAUCAUGAGAUGUUCUCUAGCUUUAAAGUAUAAAAAAUUAAAAAAUUAAAAAAUUAAAAAAUUAAAAAUUAAAAAAAGAAGAGAAGGAAGGAUUGGAGCAACGGGAAUAAAAUUAGAUCUUGAAAAGGCCUAUGAUUUCCUUAUUGGGAUUAUAUUGUUUAGGUGCUUUUGAGAUUUGGUUUUGCGGUAAGGUGGGUCGAUUUAGUUAUGGUGUGCAUUAAGUCCUCUUCAUUCUCAGUCUUAAUAAAUGGUUCUACCCAUGGUUAUUUCUACCCGAAAAUAGGGAUUAGGCAAGGGGAUCCUUUAUCGCCUUAUAUUUUUAUGCUUUGCAUGUAACAUGUAAUUAGACAUUUUAACAGUAUGGCCAAUAACCCUAAGUCUCAUAUUGGUAUUUUAUCCUCUCCCGGGGGAUUUAGAAUUUCUAAUCUAGUGUUUGCAGAUGACUAUCUUUUGUUUGCCAAUGCAACUACUAAGGGUGCGCGGAAUGUCCUCCAAAUUUGUAAUAUGUUUGCUAAAGCUUCUGGUCAGCAGGUAAAUUUUCAUAAAUCAUCUUUAUACUUUUCAAACAAUACUAGUGCUCAAACUAGAAAUGCAAUUGUCAAUAUCCUACAUAUACAACACAAAACAACAAUUGGUAAGUACUUGGAAAUUCAUAACAUUGUGUUCUGGAGAGAUCUAGUUAAUGAACAAGAAUUAUUGAGAAGAGUGAAACAAAAGUUAGUGGGUUGGAAGGCAAAUACUCAUUCUAAAGCAGGUAGAUUAACUCUUAUUAAGUCUAAUCUAACUGGUAUGCCUAACCAUAUCAUAUCUUGUUUUAAGUGUCCCCCUAGUGUAACAAAGAAUUUAAACAAGGAAUAGGAAAUUUUAUCCUUUAGCUUGGGAUAAAGUUUGCAUGGCUAAAGACCAAGGGGGUGGUUAGGAAUUAGAAGAGUGGAUCAUUUCAAUAAUGCUUGUUUGGCUAAGUUAGGUUGGAAAGUUGUAAAAAAUGAGAACAAUUGGUGGGUGGAAGUGGUUAAAAGGAAAUACUUAAGGAAUAAUAUUUUUUUAAGUUGUAAGGUUAGACAAAACUAUUCUAUAGCCUGGAAAGGAAUUUUAAAUAGUAGACAUGUUAUCCACAUGGGAAUGAGAUGGGUGGUGGGUAAUGGUAGGGACAUCCUUUUUUUGGACCCAUUGUUAGGUUUUUCCUUAUCCGCUUGCCCACCUCAUUCAAGUUAAUUAGCGUCAGAAUAUUAAUUGGGAAGCUAAAGUUUGUGCUUUAUUGAUAAUGGGAACUGGGACAAAGUCCGACUUUCUCAAGUAUUAGAUUUAGAUGUUGUGAAAAAAUUCUAUUUGGUAACUAUUCCCUAGCAGAAUAAGGAAGAUUACUUCAUUUGGGAUCAUUCAUCAACUGGUGAUUUCUCAAUUAAAUCAGCUACUUGGAUUCAGAGUAAUCAAAACCAUGAAGUGAAGAGACAAAAGCUCCUUAAGAGGUUGUGGAGGUUAAUCAUUCCCCCUAAGGUAAUUUUUUUUACAUGGUUGCUUAUUCAAGGAAAAUUGCAUACUAAGGUAAGAUUGAGUAAAUUCAUUCAAAAUGCUAACAAAGAUUUCUUGUUAUGUGGCAAGGAGGAAGAAACACAAAGUCAUCUUCUUCGGAAUUGUGAUUUUGCAAAAGAAGUCUGGAACAAAUCCCCGUUAAUACACGACAGAGUAAUGUUGGUCAUACAAAUGAUUUUUUAGAUUGGUUAGAAUUAAUUAACAAUGAUGAAUGCAUUGGUUUGAGUGAGCUUAGUAAGGCUCUUCUGAAUUGUUGGCAAAUUUGGAAUGACAGGAAUAAUAAAGUUUUCAGAAGCAUAAGUCCUCAUCAUGUCAGAAGUAUUGCCAUUACAGCUAGAGUGGGUUUAUAUUAUUUUGAGGCCAAUUGCAAAAGGACUAACAAAAGCAACCUUUGUAAUCAAGCAAACAUUCGUUGGAAGCCUCCGCCCCAAGGUUUUGUGAAGUUAAAUUUUGAUGGCUCGGUUUGUUUAAAUAAAGUGGUUGCUGGGUUUGUUUUAAGGAACGAGGCUGGACAACCUGUUGGAGUUGGUGCUUUUAAUCUCAAUGGGGCCACCAUCUUGCUUGUGAAAGCCACUGCUUUAAAGGAGGGUCUUUCUUUUGCCAAGUGCAAAGGUGCGAGAAAGCUUGUUGUGGAUGGAGAUUCCAAGCUCAUCAUUUAGGUGGUGCAGGGGGAGUGGAACCCCCCUUGGCAUCUUAUACCGAUCAUUGAGGACAUCAAGUGGCUAGUAUCGGGAUUUCCGUGCAUUAGAUGGCAUCACAUUUUUAGGGAGGCAAAUUUUGUCACGGACAACUUAGCUCACGUGGGCCUAUCAGUGACGAAUCCAUAUUUUUAGGAUUAUUGCCUUCCUGCUUCGGCCUUGGAUGCUUUUAGAUUUGAUUGUUUGGGAAUCGAUUAUACUAGAGGCUUUUCUGUUUAAUGAAAUCUUUUUUCCUAUAACAAUAAAAAAAAACAUAUUUAAUUUUCCAAAUUUUUUAAUAAACCUUAAAAAAAAUUUAAAAAAUUAAACAAACACCACAAUUCCAAAUCAAACCUAAAACUUAAUUCGGAAUUUUUGUGAGUGCUCAAAUUGUUCCCAGUAGAAAAAUAAGCCCAAAACCCAAAUGGUAAAUAUAGACAAAACAAUGAUAUUCCUUGUGUAUCUUUGUAAGCAAUAUGCUAAUACCAAAUUCUUUCAUCAAUCCACUCUGCAUAGAAGAAGAAGAAAUACGGUGUUAGCUUUAAAAAACAGACAUGGGAAUUGGACUGAAAACCCUCCUCAGGUUAGGCGGUUGUUUGAUGAGUACUUCAUGGAUCUCUUCACGUCUUCUGGUCACAGGGAGUGGGGCAAUUUAUUAGACUGUGUUGUCUCAAAAAUUUCAGAUGAAUUGAAUGAGUCUCUAAUGGCAGUGGUCUCGAGUGAUGAGGUCAGAGUUGCUGCCAUGCAAAUGGGAAGUUUAAAGCUCCGGGCCCUGACGGCUUUCCGGGAAUCUUUUAUCAAACUAAUUGGGACACCAUUGCUGCAGAGGUGAAUGAAUUAAUUUGGGAUAUGAUGAAUGGAACGGAAAUCCCAGGGGGAAUUAACGCUACACACUUGGUGCUGAUUCCGAAGGUGCCUAAACCGGAAUCUGUGGAGCAAUUUCGUCCCAUUAGCCUCUGCAACUAUUCUUAUAAGGUGUUUUCCAAGGUUUUGGCAAAUCGUCUCAAAAUGGUUAUUCCGGAUUUGAUUUCUCCUUCCCAAAAUGCUUUUGUGGCGGAGAGGCAAAUUCAAGACAAUAUUGGAAUUGCUCAUGAGCUUUUUCAUUUCCUAAAGACUAGAAAAGCUAGGAGUCAAUUCGAAUUGGGAAUAAAGUUGGAUAUGCAAAAGGCCUAUGAUAGGGUGGAGUGGGACUUUUUAAUGGCUGUCAUGGAGAAGAUGGGAUUCGAUGAAAGAUGGCGAAAGUUGAUUUUGGGAUGUAUAUCGUCGGUGAACUUUUCCAUCUUGCUAAAUGGUCAACCGGGAUCUAAAUUUGCUCCGUCUCGCGGGCUUCAGCAAGGAGAUCCUCUUUCCCCUUACUUGUUCCUUUUGGUUAGUGAAGUUCUAUCUCUUAUUAUCCAACAGGCUUGUGAGAGGAAGUGGUUAAGGGGGGUGCAGAUGAACCCGGCAGGUCCGUGUAUUUCCCAUAUUCUCUUUGCUGAUGAUACUCUGAUCUUUAUUAAGGCUGAGGAAGAGAAUUGUAGGAAUCUUAUUCAGCUGAUUGAUAAUUUUUGUGCGGCUUCUGGACAACAUGUGAAUAAGUCUAAAUCCAGUGUGUGUUUUGGUUCCAAUGUCCCUGAGGAGGUCUCUCGACAUCUAUCUAAUAUUCUUGGUUUUGAGUGGGUGGGUGAUCCGGGGAUGUAUCUCGGGGUUCCAGCUAUAUGGGGAAGAUCUAAAAAAGCCGGGUUGGCCUAUGUUAAAGGCAGGCUUCUGGAUAAAUUGCAGGGAUGGAAAAAAUCCACUCUCUCCCAAGCCGGCCGGGAGAUCCUGAUUAAGGCGGUGGCACAAGCCAUUCCAGCUUAUCCUAUGAAUUUGUUCAAAUUUCCUGUUUCUUUUUGCAAUGAAAUGGAUGCAUUGAUAACUAAAUUCUGGUGGGGUCAAAAACUUGGUGAAAAUCGGAUCCAUUGGGUUUCCAGGGAGAGAUUGGGUCGGUCUAAGGAGGAAGGAGGUCUCGGCCUAAGGAGUUUUACGAUUUUCAAUGAUGCUCUGUUGGCCAAACAGUGUUGGAGAUUGAUCUCUGAACCUAACACAUUAUGGGCCCUUGUUCUCAAGGCCCGUUAUUUUCCUAAUAGCUCAUUCCUUGAUGCUAAGAAUGGUGGGAGAGCUUCUUGGGUUUGGGCUAGCCUUCUUGCUGGAAGAGAGAUUCUUAGGGCAGGUGCUCAUUGGCAGAUUAUGGACGGAAAUGACACGAGGGUUUGGGUGGAUAGAUGGAUCCCCCCCAUCCCUUUAGGGAGACCGUCCCCGUUGGGGUCAGUUCAAGUUUCGAAAAAUCUAAAGGUGAAGUCCCUUAUCUGUCCGGUGAGUGGGGAAUGGGACUUGGAUUUUUUAAAACCUUUCUUGGCGGAUUCUGAAGUUGAGGCGAUUUUGGAUUUGCAAACCGGUGAUCCGAUGCUUAAGGAUAGAUUGGUUUGGCCCUUUGAUAAGAGGGGGUCUUAUUCUGUGAAAUCAGGCUACUAUUGGAGUCUCAAUCGAUCCCAAGUUCGCUGCCAACAACCUACCAGGUUGGUCUCCAUUCCUUCUACCUUAUGGAAAACUGUAUGGAAGUUGAAGGUUCCUCCUAAAAUUCGAACUUUCAUGUGGAAGACCCUGCAUGCGGCUUUAGCUACAAUGAAGAAUUUAUAUAUUCGAAGAUCUUCCCCCUCUCCCAUCUGCCCUCUGUGUAACUCCUUUGAUGAGUCCAUAGAACACCUCUUUCUUUUCUGUCCUUGGGUGGAGGUGGUAUGGUUUGGAGGAAGGCUGAAUCUGAGACCUAACCGGCAGCAAGUUUCGAGUUGGGCUAGUUGGCUCAUGCAAAUGGGUGCGGCAGAGAAUGGGUCAGCGGAGGUGAGGAUUGAUCGAAUUUCCUAUAUUGCUUUUACAUGCUGGCAUAUUUGGAAAUCUAGAUGUGAUUUUCAGUUCAACAAUCAGGUUAUCUAUCCCAGCAGGGUGGUUGCUGCUGUCUCCAGAUCGGUCUCGGAUUACCAGGGGACAAUCUUAAGGCAGAGUUCCCGUUCUUUGCUAAACCAUUCGAGUUUGGGAGAUGGAGUUAAGUGGUCUCAUCCGGAUCAUGGUGUUAUCAAAAUAAACGUGGAUGCCAAUUGGGAGGCAAAGUCGGGGGUGGGUUUCACGGGGGUUGUGGCGAGGGAUGAGCAGGGUUGUUUUUUGGCUGCCUCUAGGCAGAAGAUUAAGGCUACUGGUGCUACUAUGGCGGAAGCUUUGGCCAUUUUGCAUGGGUGUAAUCUGGGGGUUAGCAAUGGAUGGAAUUCAAUAUGUGUUGAAUCUGACUCAUACGAUGCUAUCUCCUGUUUGUGGGAUCCGGCUUUGAAGGGCAAUUGGGAUGCUUUUCCAGUUCUCAGGAAGUGCCUUAGAUUGGGAAGGGCUUUUCAAGCUUGCCGCUGGUCUUGGGUUCCAAGACUAGCCAAUUCGGUAGCGGACUGUUUGGCGUCGCUGAUCGGAUCAUAUUUAUAUAUAUUUUUACUUCGAAUUCACUCGUCUUUUCUUAGUUAGUUCCUUAUAUUUUUGAGCUAUUUACGUUAUUUUUGUGUUUAUAGGAUUUGUUAUGCAAAGAAAAUAAAAAUAGAACAAGUGAAAUUUUAUGUAAUAAAUUCGUCAAAACUGUCUGUGUAGAUCAGCUUUUAAAUUAAAUUAAAAAUUAUAUUUAAUAAUGAUAAGUCAUGAUGAUGUUUGAAACAUCAUCAUGAUGGUUUUGUUUUGUAGAAGAAAAGAAAGGAACGGAUGGAGAAGAAGAAAAAAAAAGGGAAUAAAAGUAUGGAAAGCAAAGGCAUACGACGGAGAAAGAAAUCAGAAAAGGAGGGAUCCAAAGCGUGAGGGAGGAGAGGAGUAAGCUGCCCUUGCAGCUUUGAGAAGGUAAGAAAAGAGAUAUAAAAAAAUAUAGAAAGAAAGGAGAGGUCAGAGAGGAUAGGGAGACUGGCAAGGUCAGAAACAAGAAAGAAAAAUAUAAAAAAGGCAGGAAGCUGCCUUAGCAGCGGAGAAAGAAAGAAAAAAAAAGAUAAAAAAAUAAAGGAAGUAGUAAGGAGGUGAGAAGUCAGUAAGGGGCGGACAGGAGCAGAAAACAGGAAGCAGCUUGCUGCCUUGCGGGAGCAAGAACGAGAGGGAGAGAACCGAGAGCUGAGCUGCCCUUGCAGCUUUGGAAAGGUCAGAGGUGAAUAAAGAAAUAGCUGCUUUGCAGCUGGAGGAAAGAGGGGGCAGCGCAGAAAAAUGGGGGAAUAAUCAGCAGCAGAUCACAGAGGCACGGACGCAGCAGAUCUUCUUUUCUUGGUUAAAUCUUUCCAAACUUAUAUUUUAUUUCUAUUUUAAUAAUGUGUAACUAAGUUUAUUUUGGCUAGAGGUUAAUUCAAAGCCAUGAAUAUAUUUGUAAUAUGAAUUGAUUACCUUCAGUUGUGAUUUCUGAGUUGUGAUUUAAUUUGCUUAACUGCUUGAUUGAUAACUUAUUUUUGUAUGUCGAUUAAGGAUGCAUACUUAAUUUACAUGCAUGAAUUUGAUGCUAGAAUAUAAGUGAAUUUCACCUCAUCGUUAUGAACUUAUAUUCACAAGUAGUAAAGGUUGCUAGUCACAAUCACGUUAAGUAAAUUCUUGGCAAGAGUAUCAUGCUUUUCAUAGUUACGAAUGCCUCAUCAAUGCUUAUAGUUUUCACAAAGUUUAAUGAUCUUUGAUUGUAUCUCUAUUGUGCUUUUCACGUAGGGGACUUUUGAAGAAUGUUUUGAAUUGUUGUAUGCGUUUUCCCGUCCAAUUCAAUAACUUAAGGAAAACUUGAAGAUUAAAAAAAGGGCUAUUCACGGUUAAUCUGAAGUGUUGAAAUUCACAACUUAUUGAAAGAACAACUGAAAAUCAAUUUAGAUUGCAUAUGUGUCAUGUGUGGAGAAAACCUUCUAGCUAGUCCGUCAUUUAUCCUUUCACCUUAAUUUCAUGUUUUUGUCAAUUCUGUAAUUUAUUUAAGUUUAAUUUACUUCUAGUCAAAACCAAACACCCUUCCAUUAUUAAAUUAUAUUAUUUAGUUAGUUUUCAUUGUUGUUAGUUUUUUAAUUCAAUUUCCGUCCAUUGCAGUUCCUAGUGUCUAAUUUGAUUGUUUUCAUUAUUUUGAGUUAUCCUAAGUGUGUUUUGAGUUAUUAGAGUUUUUAGCCUAGUUUUGUGUCCUUGAGUCUUAUUUAAUAUUUUUAAAUUAAUUUAGAAUAGAUUAGCAAUCCCUCCUAAUCCCCGGCCUAGAACGAUACCCUACUUAUAUCUAUACUACAAUUGUCAAAAGAGGGUUUAAUUUGUGUGUCAAGUAAUUCACGCAUCAGUCGCGCAAGUGUAAGGAAGUAUGUGAUCAUGUUUGGGUCAUUAGACCCCCAUCUUCCCUGGUCCAUGUUUUAAGUAAUGAUGGCCUUCCUUGCCCUCCGUAGAUUUUUUUGUUAGUUUGAGAAGGGACGCUUUAGCAUUUGGUGCGGCGUCAUGGUUCCUUGUACCUUCUUUUUCUCCUUACUGCUGUGGUGUAGUUGUCUGUUUGCCUCUUUGUUUGGCUUUCGUGUUCCUGUUUGGCAUCUUUGCCCGGUUAUGAAAAACUGUUUGCCAAAAAAAAUAACAUAAAAAGAGGUAACGACAAAAGGAGCUGGCAGUGGACAGUGGGAUUUAGGAAAAAAACAGAAAAAUGGAUUAUCUCCGGAUCUCUUCCACCUAAUCUUCCUUAUCAAACAAUCCGCACUCUUGAAAUUUGAUCAAACGGCAAAAGUUACUAUAACUUUUAAAAUAAGCCCGUAUUUUUAGCCGUUGGAUCAGCAGAGCCAUCAAUAAGAUAAGAUUCCAGCCUGGAAUUUCCAGGGUUGCGUCAUGCGUGAGCAAAAUUCCCAUAUAGUACAUUUGCCCAAGCUCAAGCUCGGCCGCCUCAGCAUUCCCCAAUAAGUUCACAACUCACAAGCUAAACGAUUGUCGAUUCAAAAAUGGAGCAAAGCAAAGGCAGGAGAGUCAUCCUCUUCCCACUACCCUACCAAGGGCACAUAAACCCUAUGCUACAACUGGCCAACAUUCUGCAUUCCAAAGGCUUCUUCAUAGCCAUCCUCCACACCAACUUCAACUCCCUCAAUCCUUCAACCCUAAACACAAACUUCACCUACCAUUCAAUCCCUGUUGACUUGACAGAAAACGAAGCCUCCAUCAAGGAUCCCACCCUUCGUCUUUCUAUUCUAAAUGCUAAAUGUGUUGAGCCUUUCAGAGGAUACUUGGCCGGGUCGUUAUCCGACGAUGUUAAUUCGGAGGACCCCAUUGCAUGCUUGAUCUCGGAUCCUAUCUUCGACUUCACUCGGUCGGUUGCAGAGAGCUUUAAGCUGCCGAGGAUCGUGUUAAGGACCGGGGGUGCCGCUUCCUCGCUGUUUAUGCUGCAUUUCCACUUCUCAAGGAAAAGGGUUACCUACCAAUAUCAGGUGCAAUCUCAAGCCAACAAAACCCUAUUAUCAAAUGUUUUUUUAUCUCAUCGUUGUUACUAUGCAAUAUGAGUAGAUUGAAAACACCACACCGUGACUGAUGACUCGUUUCAAAUUCUUUUUAUACGUAGCACUUUUGUUCUUUGUUCGUAAGAGAUCAUGCAACAUGUACAACAUGUCAAAAACAUUAUUAAAAACUCAGGUGCUUCUUAGGUAGGAAAAAAAACUUCAAAGUGAUUCUUGUUCUUCUUCUUCAGAAAUCACUCUAUAGAUCCAAAAAUGUUUUUUGUUACCAGAAAGCACUUUUAGCACUUCUAGAAGCGAUACUAGAUUGACACUUAAACAACUUAUGCAAAUUUAAGUUAAGCUAGUUAGCCAGGUUAGCAUUUUUAUUCCUCGCUCUACCUCAUAAAUUUUCAUUUUAGGAUAUGCAUUAAAAGGCAAAAUAUAUAUACUUACUAGGAACCUUAUAUUUGGCUUUUUAUUUCGACAAUUAGAUUCUCGACUAGAAGAGCCAAUGAUGGAGCUUUCACAUAUCAAAGUAAAAGAUCUACCAAUGAUGCCCACACUAGUAGAAAAAUCACUUUGCACGACGUAGGUACCUUUGUCGCGCAAAGUCAAAAUUCGUUGCCUAAAAACUAGCGCAACGAAACCUUCGUCGCACGCUAACCGUCGUGCCAAGUCAAUGACAGUAAGGUUUGGGCGACAAAGUAAAUACAUACGUCGCGCAAAGUCAAAAUUCAUUGCCUAAAAACUAGCGCAACGAAACCUUCGUCUCGUGCUAACCAUCGUGCCAAGUCAAUGACAGUAAGGUUUGCGCGACGAAGUAAAUACAUACGUCGCGCAAAGUCGACGGACGUCCUACGUCGCACAAAGUGACUUUGCGCGACGUAGAAAAUGCGUCGCGCAAAGUGGUUUGGAUGGCUUUGCACGACGCAUGACCUACGUCACGCAAAGUUGUCAGUGGCUUUGCGCAACGUAGGUCAUGCGUCGCUCAAAGUGGCUUAGGUCGCUUUGCGCAACAUAGGAAUGCAUCGCUCAAAGUGGCUUAGGUCACUUUGCGUGACGCAUGACCUACGUCGUGCAAAAUGGCUUAGUGGCUAGCCAUGCAUCGCGCAAAUCCUUUUUUUUUUUUUGGUCCAAAUAUUUUUUUUUAAAUUUUUAAUAAAUAUUGUAAUUAAAUUCUAAACAAUAAUUAAUUAACCAAGCAAAAAUAUUUAAUUAUAAAAUAUAUGAAAAUGUACAUACAAGAUGUCCGAACAAAAAAGAAAAAACUACAAGUAGUCUUCUAGGUUUGAUACAUUAGGCUACUGGGUAUCAGUAGGGCGAGAUGGCUCUGAGAUCGAAUGUGGAGCAAGAUGAAUUGCUGGUAGCGAGAUUUGGAGGCCGGACAUCUGUAUGGCUCGUACAAGGUCUCUCACCAUCCCGGCAUAGGCCCUCAUCUCCUCGCCCUGGGCUGCAAACUGACCUUUUAGGGUUGUCACUUCCUCCUUCAAUGCAUCAACUUCUGCUGUGUUCGAUCUGGAAGAAGAGGCACCCGUCUCACGAACCCGCACUUUCCCCAUACAUGGAACAACCUUGCCAUGACGACAACCAAAGUUAUGAUCCAGGACAUUAGUCAUGAUUUGAAACCUACAUCCUCGGGUACCGUGACGUCCUCAAUCGGGGUCUCCAGGGGAAGCUGCAAUGUUGCUUCUUGGAGAACAGCAGUGCUUUUUUCCACCAUAGCAACUUGUAAUAAUAAAGAAAAAACAUAUAAUGUUUAAUAACAAAAUAUAAAUAAUAUUUGAACGAUUCAUACAUAUAAGAAUAAUAAUAAUUACAUAUACUUACAUGAAGCUGCUCAGUGGUCUCAUUACCAGGUCGAACGUAAACGUCCUUGAACAUGUCGCUCUUUGGGAACUUAGAACCCUCCUGAAGAAAAAAACAUUAAGAAAAUUUUAUUAAUCAAUAAUAAUAAAUAAAUUGUAUAAAAUUUCAAAGUUAAUAUACUUUUACCUAACGUCGUGCCUUAAGCCUAUACGAAAAGGGCUUAGAACCGGAAUGGUGGAGAAGUUUCUUUGACUCCCAAGCUUUCUUGCCAGCAAUAGAUUUCGUCUGUUAAACACACAAUAUACAUGUUAGUGCGACUAUUUGAAAUAAAUUAGUAAAAAAAGCUUAAAAAAUAAGUAAAACAAUAAUAAAUUAUUUUUAAAAUAUUAUGUACAUACCACAAAUUUUGGGUCCGUAAAAUGUUUGCAAAGUCACUCCCAAUCCUCCGACCGAUCCUGCAACUCGCUUGGAACAUGUAGGCGAGCAAUCUCCGGAUCAUCCCAUCACUUAAAAUACGUGUGAAAAUUGUUCUUCCAAUGUUUGUACCGGGUUGCUAAGAUCUCCUCUAAGUAGGCCAUGGUCUCGGGGGAUAUGUCCUGAAGAUCAUAAAUGACCUACGAAUAUGAAAAACAAUAAAAUAAUUGCAAGAAUUUAAUAAUAUUAGAUAAUAUAUUUGGUUUUUAAUAUUUGUAAACAAAAUUAAAAAAAUGAUAAAGGCUAAAAAUUAAUAUACUAACUGACAACUUGUCUCGCACCAGUUUCUUCAUCUCCUCGGGAAUUUCUGCCCAAGACUCCCAUUGAAAAGGACAAUUUUGUCGAAUAACAACACCACAGCUACUAGCGACGCUGCUAUGCUCCUGUGAGGUAGCCGUUCCACGAUAUUGCGAGUCAUACACAAUCUUGAUCUUGGAGGCGGCCUGAUGUGCGUUCUGUGCCUGCUUCAGCAUUCAACUAGGCCCCUGGUGUUUUUUUUAACUGGCCAAAAAUACUAAAAUGGUGAAAACCCUAAGCUUAAAUUUGUACAAAAAAAAAAUCGACACAACCUCCCCUAAUAGUAUAGCAUUUCCCAAAACCUUAAAACAGUAAAAUAACAGUAAUUCACAACCUACAACACAUUUUCAUAAUCCAGCAAAUUUUCACCAUCAUAAAAAUAAUAGUUUAAAAAAAUACAACGUACUGAGAAUUAGAAAAAAACUACAUGGCUGGGAGGGCUCACCCUCGACUCUGGAUGCCGAGGAAGUUUGAUCAGAAGGCUCCGGCUCGCGAGGGCACCAGUGAGGCCGCCGUGCAUUGAACGGUUGAACCGACACUGAUGACGUUGAUGAGACAGGCACCUGGGACGCCGUAGGAGUAGCCUCAGUAAGGGGUGUAGGCUCCCCAAUCAAUGGAGCACUCACGGCUAGAGCAAUAGAUGCUAAUAAUGCGGGAGGCGCAUUGGUCACACUCCGACGACGAGUGAUCAACUGAGACAUCUAUACACUUUUUGAACCAUAAAAAUAUAACAUUAGAAACUAAUCCUUGCAUUUGAAACUAGAAGAAAAAAGCAAAGAAAACUGAACAAAUAAACCAUGUGUGAAAAAUGCAAAGAAAACUGAACAAACAUUAACCAAAGAUUAAAAAGUGUAAUGAAUCCAAGGAAGCACGAUUGAUUAAAAAGAGUCAAACCUAAACCAAGAGACCUAUCCUAAUCUGUCAAACCCCAACCCAACUUUCUAUAAUUUGAUCUCCCAGGCUUAGUGUGUUUAAUCACAACAAUUAUUAAUCGAAGGCAGCACGAUGGACUGUUUUUUUUUUACUGCGUGUAAUUUGAUCUCCCAGGCUUAGUGUGUUUAAUCACAACAAUUACUAAUCGAAACGAAGAAAACAAAUUACCAAAUCCAUAAUCCUUUGCAAACAGAGCCAGUCAAAGUUAGUACCUCUACUUAUCAAGAACUCAAUUCUGUGUACACACGAAGAUCGACUUAAGACAAUAUCAGAUCACUAUCCAAUGCUCAAUUCACAUCCAAAUAUCCAAUUUCCUCAAACAAAAAAAAUAUACGAUUUAAGCAAAUAACCUGCAGACAAGAUUCACUUUAAUCAAAAUCCACAUCCGAUUACUGGUUUUCUCAUCAAAAUUCAAGCAUCAGCAUAUGACUUGCAGAAAACAAACAGAAACCAACACGUCAAAGAAAACUGAUCCUUUCUUGCAUUUGAAAGUAGAAGAAAAAAGCAAAGAAAACUGAACAAAUAAACCAGGCCCUGUUUGCUUUGGAAUUUUGGGAAAAACAAAAAGUACACACUGCCUGCAGUAACAUGUAGCAAUGGACCUUUGGGGAUGAAAGGAAAGCAUUUUCCUUCUGGUCUAUGGUGAGAUUAAAUUGUUAGCAUCUAAUCAAACUGCUGUGAAAAAAUACAACAAUUGUGAUUGACAUAUAAGUAGGAAUGAAUCUUCCCAAACUCCCUCAGUCCUAACAUGAAUUGUCAACAGACCUAAACCAAGAGACCUAUCCUAAUCUGUCAAACCCCCAACCCAACUUUCUAUUUGUUAGUAUGUAUGUACAUUUUGUGUGUGUGCAUGUGUAUGUGUGUGUGUUUGAGAGACAGAGGAGAGAGAUGGAGGUGUUGCUUCCUGCAAUUUAAAAAUACAAUAUACACCAAAAAAAGCCAGAUAUGUUUUGAUAGGUUAAAAUUUCUAAAUGACAUCACCAGAGGAAGCCUUCGUUGCCAGGCUAGCAUAUCAGGACGCUUAACCAUGCAAAUUUUGUCAAAGCAUACUACAAAUAUCCUUUUGUAGAUGAAGCCCAUUCAUAUUGGUAAAACCAAAAGACUGAUAGAUUUCUUGUUUUUGCCAACAAGUCCUCGACAUCUACGUGUUCCCACAAGGCAUUCUGUUGUUUUGUUGUUCGACAUGAGAAGGAAUGAAGGCAAAAGACAAAGUGAUAAAUGGGAGGUACACUAAAAAAGAAUGACUAUGACCUUGCAUCUAAUAAUAAUAUCAAAGGAUGAGAGGAUGUCUCCCAUUCCUCUCUAUCUCAUUCCAACUCAUCUUGUAAUCUCAUGCAUUCAGACAACACUCACAAUACACACACACAUUCAAUAAAUUAAAUAUAAUUAAUUAGCAUAAGCAUAUGGACAUUCUAAUUGUAACAUAUAUGUAAUAUGCACUAUUUUAAGGGGUGUGCUAUCCACACACCCUUUUUUACUUCUCACACACCCCUUGUUAAUUUAUGUCCGUUGAUCUUCUUCAUUUCAUCCGAUCUAACGGCCGAAAAUUAAAAGGGUGUGUGAGAAGUAAAAAGGGGUGUGUGGAUAUCACACCCCUAUUUUAAAUGCAUUUUCUCGAACUAAUAAGGAGACACAUGCAGAGAUAAGAAAGGAAAUGUUCAGUUAUUACAUAAAUAUAUAGAGCUCUCAUAUAGCUUCAGCCUGAAUUAGAAAUAUAUAGAGCUAGUUGAUUGCAAUUAAAAGAGUGUAGACGAUAAAAAAUUGUGCCAAAAGCUUAUUUGUUUUGUUCUGUUUGUAUCUUUGUUAGUGUGAGAGAACUAAGAUUUUGCUAGGCAAAUGAGAAUUUGAUGAUGUUAGAGAAAAUUUAAACAUUCAUAGAACAAAAUCAACAGACCCCCAAAUCAUAUCCAAAUCAAGAAAGCAAAAUGAUAUCCAUAAUUCUCUAAACAACCGCAGCUUGCUCCUUCCAACAGACAAACUGGGUGCAGAGGCAAAAUUUUCAAAGCAUAUCAUAGGAAAGUACCAUUUGAAAGGCAGCAGAGACAGUCAAAAUUUUAAUUUCUAUUCUGGAGAUAUAUAUUAUGUAUCUUCUCAGCUUUUUCAUGCAUUUAGAUAUCUUUUGAGAGAAAGUCGCAUGCUAUUUUAUUUCCAUUUUGUGGUGUUCUAAUCUGUCAAAAGUACUGCACACAUGCAGCGCUUCUUCAAAAAUGGAAAGAAAAAAAAAACAGGGAAACUAUGCGCCCAGUCUGAUUUUAAAGUAAGUUUGAAAGUCAUUAUACCUUCUGUUAGUUUUUCCUGACAGUUCCUUCUAUAAGUGUUCCCUCCUUAAGGUAUAACAGUUCCUGAAACAUUAUAUGGCAAACCAAUGUCAAUUCUUAAGAAAAAUAAGAUCACAGAAUCUCAGAACAAACAAUGAGAGAACAUUGCAAGCAACAAAAAACAUGAAUAAAUUAAAUGUCAAAAUCCAACUGACCCAAGCUUCUUUCUCACUCAAUAAAUUAAAAUUUUCAAAGCAUAUAUCUUUAGAAUUAAAGAAAUUUGAAAGGCAGCAGAAGUUUAGUUCAAGUGUUGCUGGCUUUGGAAAAGUUAAAUACAGAAAGCGUUUUCUGUAGAAGUUUGAAUCCGGUCCAUAGUUCAACCAUGUUGCAACUGUAUACUACUUUGGGAACAAACAGAAACCAACACGACUGCACCCACCCUAAUUCGAAACCCACAUAACCUCAAACCCUCACAAAUCUGAAACUCUAUUAAAUCAGAACCAACAUCCAAUUUUAUCUGGAGAUUUAGACAAAGUACUCAGAAAUAAACAUGCAAUUAGACCUUAAACCCUAAAUAACAAAAACCCAUCGAAAAUCAGAAAUCCUUACCUUGAUUUUGGGACUUGAUUCGCGUCGGCUUCGAGAGUCGCAUGGCGACCCGUCGUUUCGCAUGGUGGUUGGAUUUGGGUUCAAGAUUUGGUGUUCACGAGAAAGAGAGAGGGAGAGAUGAGCGAGAGGGAAGAAAUAAAUAGUUGGUGGUCUACGGGAAGAAAGACUUGGGGAAAGAAAGAGUUGGCGUCCAAACUCCAAACUCGGAAAUUGAAAAAAAACCUCCUAUUUUUUACUAUUGAACCGCCAACAUUAUCACAACUGACGCUACCUAGGUAUACAAUUUGGCGUUGCACAAAGUUGUUUUGCGCGACGAUCACAUUAAGGCUUUGUGCAAGGUUUUUUUUUUUUUUAAAUUAUUAUAAAAAUUAUUAAAAAUGUGACUUUCUUUCUUUCAAAUUCAAUUUUUUUUUACAUAAACUCCACAAUAAAUUUUGUUGCAUAUAUAUCAUUCAAUUUCUUAAGUGUUAUAAGUACAAAAUAAAUAAAUUAAAAUCUACUUUGUAAAUAUAUAUAUAUAUAUGUAUGUAUGUAUAUACCAUUGAACUUGAUGGGAAAUGCAUUGUACGAAACUAAUUUCAAAUAUUUAACCGUCAAACAUGUUUAUAUAUGCUUCGAGAUCGCAUACACCAAAAAUCACAAAAAACAAACAUUCAGAUAUCAAGUAACGGGACAAACCUUUUCAACAACUAUAAACGAAAAAUCACGAUUUAACGGUUAUUUUAACUCUGAUUUUGAUGAUUUUUUACAGCUACACUUUUUAACCCUAUAUGAAUACAAUGAACUAAUUCAAUCGUCAAUUUAAAACAUUUACACAAGUGGAUACCACAAAAUAUUAUGUUAUACUUAAUGAAAGUAUAUAUAAACUCCAUGUGUUAGUGAAUCUCUCAUUUUAAUGGGAAACGCAUUGUACGAGACUAGUUUCAACGAUCAACCGUCAAACUUGUUUGUAUAUGCUUUGAGAUCGCAUACGCCAUCGCAAAAAACAAACAUUUAGAUAUCAAAUAAUGGGACAAACCUUUUCGACAGUUAUAAAUGAAAAAUUACGAUUUAACGGUUAUUUUAACUCUAAUUUUGAUGAUUUUUUACAGCUACACUCUUUAACCUUAUAUGAAUACAAUGAACUAAUUCGAUCAUCAAUUUAAAACAUUUACACAAGUGGAUACCACAAAAGAAAAAGGCAAUGCAAGAACCCCAAAAGAAAAGCAAAAAAAAAAAAAAAAAAAACUUUGCGCGACAUAGGUACAACUGCGUUGCGCAUAGGUAGCUUUGCACGAUGCAGUUGUACCUACGUCACGCAAAGUUUUUUUUUUUACCAUUGAACUUGAUGGGAAAUGCAUUGUACGAAAUUAGUUUCAACGAUCAAGCCGUCAAACUUGUUUUAUAUACUUCGAGAUCGCAUAUGCAAAAAAUCGUAAAAAACAAACAUUUAGAGAUCAAGUAAUGAGACAAAACUUUUCGACGGUUAUAAACAAAAAAUCACAAUUUAAUGGUUAUUUUAACUUCAAUUUUGAUGAUUUUUUACAGCUACACUCCUUGACCCUAUAUGAAUACAACGAACUGAUUCAAUCAUCAAUUUAAAAUAUUUAUACAAGUGGAUACCACAAAAUCUUAUAUUAUAUUUUAUGAAAGCCAUCAAAGGAGACCACCUCCAUCAGCCAUCCAAGGAGGCGUUGCACUGUUAUUACCCGUCUUUAAUAAUCUCGUUCAACCUAGCCUGCAGGGGAAGUAUGUGAAAAAGAGAAUCACAUGAUCACAUAUGUUAAAGAAGAAGCAUUCUCAUUUAUGGGCUCCGCCACACCAAAAACUAAAACAAAUCAACCUGUAAAAUGACAAACCUUUGCUUCGUCCAUCUCAACACUUGCACCUCAACAUAGAGGAGUCCAUCCCACAUACAGGAGUCCUUGCUAACAAGGGAAACCUUAAGAAAGGGAAUAAAUUCAGUCAUGCACCUCAACAUCCUAAAGCAGUCACAAUCAUGUAAAAAAAUACUAUAGACCAGGAUUUGUGUUAGCUGCCCUCCGAGUGAAAGUAGGCCCUUAGCAAAAGCAGCUGCAGACAUCUGUAAACAGAUAUCUUGUAAGCAAUGUAACUUAUAAAUGAUGAAAAUUCCAGGGGCUAAUGAUCAUAACAGUAAGGCAAUUUACUUCAUUUAAAUAGAGGUCAAAUAAGACAAGAAGAAAAAGGGAGCAACAUACAAAAAAUAUAUAAACCCAUGAGCACUAAUGAGACUAUAACUGCAGACGGCCCUCAUCAGAGUUGUAGAUUUUAAGAUCAUGACGGUAGGUCAAAUAUGCCGGUACCUUCACCUGCAGUUGUGUACAAAUUCAUUAUGACAAGAAAAUAAUUCUGAAACAAAGUCGCACUGUGUGAGCAACCUUGUAGCUCAAUCUGGGUCUGUUGAAAUGCAUGAAUUAAAAUCAGACAUCACACCUUACAUCCUUUAAGAUCAGACUCAGUUAUAUCCACCACUUCAAACUUCUAGCCUUUCUUGUGUGAGAAUCUAUCAUACCUGUGGUUAAUUGUUAGACGCAGACUCUCGAGAGAAAAUGCAUACAAGAAUUUACAAGUAUUGAUACAAACUUACAUUUUAAAUAUGUCCAUUGCAAACAAAGAAGCCUCGUCCCCACCAGUUCCUAAUGAAAUCUUUUGUCAUAUAAAAAAUAAAAAGAUAAAAGACUCGCAAUGGAAUAAAAAUUUGUUGGGCAGGUGCUUAAUACCUGCUCUGACCUCUUUCCUCGUGGAUGGCUUGAUCCUUAGGAAGCAGGGACUUGAGCAACAAAUUGUGCAGCCCUCUUUCCUCGUGGAUGGCUUGAUCCAAUUCGGUAGUUACCAUAUCAAGCAUGUCUUUUCUUGAGAACAUUCAUCGAUCAGAGUCCUCAAAGCAUUAAUCUCCUACAGAGCAGAGAAGCAAACAAAUGAUUUAGUUCGGUCUGCACAAGGAUGAAGGUUUAUGUUGAAGGUUUUGUUCUAUGUUAGUACCUUGGUUGUGGCUCUUAGACGACUUAUAAGGUCCAUGGAAGUGCUGAGUUUCCGUAGCUCCUUGAUCGCCCUUGCAUACUCUUCUGCCGAGGCAUCAGGCUGUCUUCAAGCAAAAGGUCCAACACCAUUUCAAUUCCAAAAUUUGUUUUUUGUUCUUAGUCAAACACUACAUUUAACUAUAAUUCAGCAAGCACAGAAUCAACGACAUAGGUAAACCUGGUUAAUGAGACUGAAGAAAACCACUCCUCUGCUCGAUAAGUGAUAACCUUUGCUCCAUGAUCUUGAUAAGUUUUGGAGAUAAAUCAGGCUCCAAUUCUAAAUCAGCCAUUUCACUUUCUGUUGAGAAUUGCAAGACAAAAUGAAUCGAUAAGCAAUAAACUCAUAUUAAAAUUAUACUACAUGAAUCUAUAAAGCACAAAGGUAAAUUCAAUUCCUGAUGAAAAUAAAAGAAAAAGAAAGAGAAAUUAUAACUAAAUACAUUGAAUUACAAAAAGCAGAAAUUUCAAAUAAAAUAGAUACCUCCUCAAGCACUGCUUUAACUUGACGAAGCUUUUCAGCCUCACUAUCACUUUCUCGACCUGGUCUAGACAAUGUAAAGCUUUUCAGCAUGUGCAAUCAUAUGAGAACCAGCUAAACAAAGAUAAUUAGGGUGUUUCCUGUUAUGACUUUAAACAUGAAUUUCAAAGAAUGGGAAAAGGGGUAGAAGGUGAGUUUCAUACGAUUACAUCACCAAUUAUUUGUUAUGACUUUAAUGCACGAAUAAUAAUGUAAAUCCAAAAAUCAGAAGCAAAAUUAGCAAAUGUAUUGAAUGCCAAAAAAAAAAAAACAAAUCAGAGAAAUACCUAAUCAAAGAAUGGAGAUGAUCACAUGAUUUGUUGGGAAUAUUAGAGUUGGGUAGAAGAGAAGCGGUAUUAAACCCUCAGCCUCCUGCUUUUUCCUUUACAAGUUUAUAUUAAUCCUCAUCCGAACUACAAUAAUAACUCUCGCUAUCAUCACUACUAUCAUUUCCGGAUUCCCAUUCAUCAUCAUCUUCGUUUGCCUCUUCCGGUGCAUUGUAUUGAGGCAGAUCACCAAGGUCAAUUGAUAUUCAAAUUCGGGAACUCCAGGUACGUCAAACCGUUCUUGGGCAAUAUUAGUAACCCAGAAUGUUUCUUCACCAAUUUCUAUCGAAGAUGGUAACUGUUGGUCAGCGACGUUGUCAUCAUGAUCUAGUUCUGGAAUAUCAUAUAGCCCUCUUCGAUCAAUCUUCUGAACAACUUUCCAACCAUUACCGGCUUUAGGGUAGUCUAGAUAGAAUAUUGGUUUCGCCGUAGUUGCCAAAAUGUAUAGGUCUUCAUCGUACCAAUGUCUCGUAGUGUUUACUGAUAGUAAACCAUGGUCUCACUUAACACUUGUUCGGUUAUGUGGGUUUGUAUCAAACCAAAGACACUUAAACAGUAUCACUUGACACCUAUCUUUGUAAAACAAUUGUACCACACUAGUUAGUUUGCCAUAAAAAUCAAUGUCUUCACCGUCGCCCGCACCCAGGACAUGGAGAUACUAUUUUGAGUAGACAACUUUUCAUCACGUGUUGCCCCCAAGAACUUGAUCCCAUUGACAUGACAACCUGAGAACAAUUCAACGUGAAGCGGUCUUCUUGCCAAGUUAUAUAAUUCUUCAUCGUAAGAGGGUGAAUUCAAUUCCUUCAAUUUGUUCAUCUAAUAUAACAUAUACAAAAAGUUAACAUGUUAGUGUAACCAAAUUUAAAAACAGGCAUGAACAAGUUGGAAAAUAUGCUCAAUUCAAACCUAAUACAACUUACAUGUGCGUGAAACCACGAAGGAAACAAGUCACGGUGCUUCUUGGCAUAGAAAUGGGAAGGAUGUUCCCACUUUAUCAACUGUUCAUGCUCUUCAAGGUAUGGCAAAGCCUCAUCACAAUUGUUGAGUAUGAACCAAUGUGCUACCUCCAUGUUCUUUUUUGUAAACGAUUCGCCUUUCACAAGGUUGCGCAAUUUGGGCAAAAACAGAUAGUUUCUUUUUCUUGCGUUAAGGACGAUUGAAAGUUGUCUCAACAUCUUGAAGAUACAUUGCACAAAAAGUAAGUGACUCGUAUGUGAGCCAUGCCUCCACAACUGAUCAUUCGGGCCUUGCCUUGUUUCGAACACACUUUUUCAACUCACCAAGAUAUCUGCACAAAUAAAAGGUAUGCUACAAAUUAUUCAAAGCGUUCGUUAAUCAUGAAUUUGUUAUAUAUAGAGACGCUUAAUUAAGUACCUUACUAUUGUAAACAUUCAUCAACAGUUCACUGGUCCGGCAAGCAAUGCCUCAUCUGGCAAGUGAAUCAUACUUGUAAAGAAAGUUGGGGGAAAUAUCUGUUCGAACUUGCAUAAGACGUUCACAAUGUUAUCCUGCAAUUGUUUAACAUCCGACUUCCACAAACACCUUGCAGUCAACUGCGAAAAAAAUCUCGAUAACAACACAAUUGGUUUCACCACAUCAAGAGGCAAUAAGUAUCAAAUACCAACCAGAAGAAGGCGUUGAAGUAUCACAUGACAGUCAUGACUCUUCAUGUUUGAAAAUUUACACCCCUUCACGUUCACAUGACAGUCAUGACUCUCCAUAUGGAAACUUUACAGAAGAAAUAAAGUUGAAAAACUCUUUCUUCCCAUUCGGCUUAACUGUAAAAAAGGGAUGGCAUUUCUUCAAUGUACCACCGACUCUCUUCAUCCAUAAGGAUGACCUAAUGCCCAUUCGUUCCAAAUCGAGGCAAGCUUCGAUCGUGUCCUUCGUUUUUCCUUCAAUGUCUAGAAUUGUCCCGACCAAAGUAUCAAACACAUUUUUCUCAAUAUGCAUAACGUCGAGGCUGUGUCUGAAUUUUAACUUUGACCAGUAUGAGAGCUCAAAUAACAUACUCUUAUGCGUCCAGUUCAGAUGUGUAGUUGGUUUGGGCUUACUGACCCUUUGUCGAAAUGACCAAAUUCCAUAAGGUUUAACUUAUCCAAAAUCUCAUCUCCAGACCAUUCUCUUGGUCUUGGGCGAGUCUCUUUUGUGCUGUAGAAGGCUUUAUUGUUCUGACGCCACUCGUUGUCCCAAGGGAGCCAUCUACGAUGACCAAGAUAACAAACUUUUCUCGCAUGCCAAGACGAUGUUACAUUCUCCUUGCAUAUUGGACAUGCCAAAUAACCCUUAGUCAUCCACCCAGAAAUCAUUGCAUACGCGGGAAAAUCGUUUACUGUCCACAUCACAUCACCGCCGCUCACAUGGUGAACAUCUGCCUAGUAUACUUAUCAUAUGUACGAACACCAUUUUCCCAUAAAUCUUUUAGCUCAUCAACCAACAGCCCCAAAUAAACAUCAAUGGACUUUCCUGGAUCUCGGUAAUUAAUAGAGUCAACAUCAUGUAUUCUUUUUUCAUGCACUUCCAAGGCGGCAAAUUAUAAAGAAACAUGACGACCGGCCAAGUGUUGUGGAUUUGGUUUAAACCCCCGAACGGAUUAAAUCUGUCGGUGGCAAGUCCCAAUCUGACGUUGUACGGGUCAGCUGCAAAAUCAAGGUACAUCUGAUCGAAUUCUUUCCACUCUUCAUCUGCAAGAUGCCUCAUAACAUCGUCAUUUACCCAUUCCUUAUGCCAUCUCAUGUCGGUUGUGGUAUGCAUCGACAUGUACAAUCGCUGCAACCUAGACUUCAAUGGAAGAUAAUGCAUUAUUUUUUGUGGAAUCUUGGUCUUUCUAUUCUGUGAUGUCAUUUUAAACCUCGGCUCAUUGCAGACAGGGCAUUUAUCCAACUGUUUGUUCUCCUUAUAGAACAAACUACAAUUAUUUACACAUGCGUGAAUUUUUUCAUACCCGAAUCUGAGACCCUUCAACACUUUUUGGGCACUUUUAUGAUCUUCAGGUAAACAAUUCUCCUUUGGAAGCAUCCUCUUGAUAACUCCCAAAAAGUAAUCAAAACACUUUUUUGACAAACGAAACUUGAUCUAGCCAUGCAUCAACUCCACAAUUGCUGUGAGCACUAAAAAGUUCUUGUAACCCGGAUAUAAUUCAUGCUUGGCAUUUUUCAACAGUUUUUCAUAGUUUUUGAAUGCCUCACUGUCCAUGGUUGGACGACCAUCAUCUCCCUCUUCCUGAUUGGUGUUGCUCAAGGCGUAUGAAUAAACGUCAUUUAGAAUAUUCAUAACUUGUUCACUAGGAUCCACAUUAGAUUCAACAAUCUCCACUUGUGUCACAUAUGAAGACGAAGCUUGGUCUAAUCGUUCUCCAUGAUGAUACCAAGUACAGGUCUCCAUCAUCCCAUUUCUUACUAAAUGAAAUCGAACAUUUUCGAAUGUCUCCCACAUUAAGUUGUUACACCUCCUACACGGACAUCGAAUAUGAGUUGAACCUAGGUUGUGUCUAGUUGCAAAUUCAAUGAACUCAUCUAUUCCAUCCAGGUACUCAACAACACAUCUAUAUGAUUAUGUAUCCAUUGUAUGUCCAUCUUGCCUACAAUCCCAAUAAAAGUAUAAGAAUUACAACUUGUCACCUUAUUCCUCCGGUAAGGGCCCUAUCUCAUUCAGGAAUACACAGUUAUGUGCCGUAAUUUACGAUUCCAAUGGAUUAAAUUUCGACGUGGGCUAAUUUCGAUAGCAUCUCCUUACAGUUCUUCAAGUGCACGUCAUAGAUACAUAAUAUCCACUGUGUACUCGAAGAACAUCAAGAAAUGUUACCAAAAUUUUCACAAUCGAAACCUAAUCCGUGAACCACAAACUACAACACAUAACUAUACAUUCCCAAACUGUCCAAAAAAUGGGACAAUUCAAGAAUUAAUUAGACCGCAGUCAUGCUUUCACAUCCAUGCACGAAAUCCAACUAAUUCUCAAAUGGGAAACUGAGCUUUUCUUGAAGAAAAAGUGUACGAAGUUAAGUAGUAUUAACUUCGUACAACACAAAACAAUUUUGUAGGUGAUGUACAAAAAUAUGUGCAUACAAAUAAACUAAAUCACAAUAAUUACUAAAACUAAAUAAAAUAGAUAAAAUUAAUUUAGCGAAGAAAAUAAAGAUUUUAAAAGACUUUAAAAUCCUAGUGUAGUCAAUUAAAAGAUUUUAAAGGAUUUUAGAAUCCAUUCAAAUCUAGGUGUAGUCAAUUAAAGGAUUUUAGAAUCCUUUAAAAUUUAGGUGUAGUCAAUUAAAAGAUUUUAAAGGAUUUUAAAAUCCAUCAAAAUCUACGUGUAUUAAAAAAAUUAAGAUUUUAGAGGAUUUCAAUAAAUUGUGGAUUUUGUGGGAUUUGAGAGCCAAAAGUAUAUAUAACCAAGACUAAAAAGAAUCCAACCUCACUCCUAGGAUUUCAAAUCCUUCCACCACAAUCCAUUCAAAUUCUUUAAAAAUCCAUAUGAAUUUUGUAGGAGUUUUUAAUCCUCUUAAAUCCUAUCAAAUCUAUCACUAUUAAAAUCCUUUAAAAUCUUAGUUUGACUACACCCCUAAAUUUUUCUUAGACUUCAUUUUCAUUGUAAUAUAAAGUGAUUUAUGCACCCUUUAUUUCACUUUACGCAUCUACACAAGAGAAUCUGAAAAGGACUAUUGCAACUAGAACUAUAAAGACCCAAAGAGGUCAGGUUUCAGUCACAAAAGAGUAACUGUGUCUAGAAAUUGGCAUCCAAUAAUCCACCAACUCAAACUUGGUAUUGUCAGUAGGAACUUUUGGCAUCUACAAGCAACUGGGUCUUGCAGCCAAAUAGUCCAAAUAGUUCAUUCAUUUUAUAAUCCUUCUAAAGUUACAAACUGAAAGUGCUUAUUCAUCAUUAUAAUCAACCAGAUAAACAUUCAGCUAAUUAAAAAAAAUAACGCAUUGUAGUUGGUUUGAUAAGUUGUGUCCUAAAAUUAGAAAAGUUCCCCAAGUGGUUUGACUGAGAGAGUGUGAGUCAGUUACCUGUAUAAUGUAAUUGGCAUGCCUAAAAGAGGAAGAUAUUGCUUUGGCAUGCUGGCCUAGUACCACAAACAUAACGAGAAAACAUGAUCAUCUUAUGGGACUGGAAUGACAACCAAAUCCAUAGAUGAAGGUGAUGGGAAUUUCUCUUAGACUUCAUUUUCAUUGUAAUGUAAAGAUGCAACAAAUAGCAAGCAUUCUCUCAUCAAAUUCAACUGAUUCUAUACCGUUAUACAAUAAACAUUCAAAACAAAUGAUUGAAACUUCAUAUAUAAGCCAUCAAAAGUAUUUAAUUCACGUUUCACAAAAAAAAAAAAAUCAAUUCUCAACAGCUAAAUUAGAUCUGCUUACUCCAAAUCAAAGACCAUCAAAUAGCAAGGGAGGGAUUGCAUGAUGAAAAGAGAUGAAACAUUUAUAUGUUGAAUUUAUGAGCAAGGAGGGAUUAGAGAAGGUUUUGAAGAGAGAUGGGGGAGGGAGGUAGCUGCUGCAACUGGGUUUGCAGUUUUUGCCUCCCAAACUAAUUAAGUGGAGCAGAAAAAGUCGUUGACUUUACAUGACGCUAGUCUUCGUUGCGCAAAACAGCUUUGCACGACGCAAGUGCACCUACGUCGCGCAAAGCUAUUUUGCUUGACGCAAGUGCACAUGCGUCGUGCAAAGUUGGCAAAAAAGCGGUAAAACAUUCUUUGUUUGGUGCCAAGAACUUGCGCUACACACAAAAUGUCACGCAAAUGGUAUUUGCGCAACGACACUUUGCACGACGCAUUGUGUUUUGGGUUGCAUAAACAUACUUUGCGCGACGAAAUUUGCUCCGUUGCACAAGGUUCCAUCGGCCAAACAUGUUUUUCUACUAGUGCCAAUUGUGACCCUGAAGCUUUCUAUCAAUUGAUAACCAAUAUGGCAAAUGAACCCAAGACUUCUCAUGGACUCAUCUUCAAUGCUUUUGAAGAUCUUGAAGGACAAGCACUUGGCACACUUCACCAAGAAUAUUACCCCAAUAUUCCAAUUUUCUCACUAGGUCCAUUUCACAAGUGCGGCCCUACAACCUCUUCUUCUUCAACUAGUUUGUUAGCACAAGACCAAAGUUGCAUUUCAUGGCUAAACACUCAAGCGCCAAAAUCUGUUGCUUAUGUUAGCUUUGGGAGCAUUGCCAAGAUAGAUCAAGUUCAAUUUUUAGAGGUUGCUUGGGGGUUGGCUAAUAGUGGCCAACCUUGUGGGUGGUUCGACCCGGAUUAGUUACAAAGUCAGACUGGCUUGAAGUGUUGCCUAACAAGUUUCUAAAAGCAUUGAACGAAAGAGCCCAUGUCAUGAAAUAGGCUCCACAAAAAGAAGUUUUGGCCCACCCAGUAGUCGGAGCCUUUUGGACUCACUGUGGUUGGAAUUCUACAUUGGAGAGGUGAAGGCGUACCUAUGAUUUGUACACCAUGUUUCAAUGAUCAAAUGUGCAAGAUUUGUGAGCGAUGUUUGGAAGGUAGGGUUGCAGUUGGAGCAUGGGAUUGAGAGAGAUGAGGUUGAAGGAACAAUUAGAAUGAUGGUUGAGAAAGAGGGGAAGAGAUCAAAGAGAGAGCCUUAAAGUUGAUGGAAAAGGCAAAUCUUUCCCUCAAAGAAGGUGGCUCUUCGUACCAAUCUUUAGAUGGCUUGGUUAAUCAUAUUUUAUCCUUAUAAAUCAUUUGUUUUUGAAAAUGGUAAUCCAUCAUCUUUAUCAUAUCCUUCAGAAUUCUUCCAUUUUUUUUUCUCUUGCCCGCUUACAAAUGGUUGAUUAUCUUUUUCUUUAUACAAAGCACCAUUGAUGAAAUAAGAAUCAAAUACAGAACCUCGAGUAAAAGAUUUAUGCAUACUAAUAAACAUCCUCAAGAGUAAUGUACAUACUAAUAAACAGUAAACCACUGGGCUUAGCAAUCCAAUCCGCCACCUUUGCAAACGAACUCUUGGAAUUUUUUUUAGUAUAAAUCUUCAUUCUACAUUGUCUCAUAUUGGUCACUACCAAAAUGUUUCCUCACUUUAUAAGACUUUGUCCCUAUUAGAAAGUGAUUGAAGUGUUGGACCUUGAAGAGUAACAUUAGGCUCAAACAUUGGUUUCAGUGGCGGAGCCAAAAUUUUUUGUUAAAGAGAGGGUAUUUCGAACUCAUAGCAUGAGCAAUCGAAGUGACCUUCACAAAACUGAAAGAGCCGUUAAAUUUAAUAAAGAGAAUCAAAAGAAGUGUAUAAUACAAGUAAGUGGGAGGUAGAGAGCAAGGUACCCACUAAAAAAAUUGAAAUUAUAGGAAGAAAAUAGACAGAAAAAAAGUACGACAAAGAGGAAGGCUACAAAUAAUAGUUGAUUAGGUUGCUUUAGAAAUAAAGUUGAUUUUAAAACCUCAUCCCUGAGUUUAACUAAUCCACAAAGCCAAAGCAAACAAAAUUGUUAGAAAAAUAUAAGAUACGAUGUCGUUCAACUCAACUUCUUCACGAUGACAAUUCAUCUUCUUUCUUAUGUCUCAUGGUUCUACAACUGCAAGCUUAAGGCCGUUAGAAAUUUCUUAAACAAUGGUCAGGAUGGGCCCGUGACCACUCUGGUCCCUUAGUGGCUCUGCCCAUAAUUGGGGUUUGAGCUUUGAGGUGUGCUAAUUAAUUGAUAAUUAAUAUAUAAUUAAUUAUCAACAGAUGAAGUCUGAAGUGAUGAAAGAACGCCAGAGAGCAAAACACUCAUCUGAGAAGAUGUCUCCCAAUAGACGAAUCUCAUUCUCAUACUUGUUACGAACAUGCAUAAACCUAUUAUAUAUACAUUCAUCUUUCAUAGUUGGAUUUAGAUCUUGAUCUCUUAUUAUUUUUAAUUAAAUAAAUGUUUAAAUCUAAGGAAAACUAAUGAAAAAGGCUUGAAAACUUUGAGUUUUAACGAUAAGGACAAAAUAAAGGGUAAAGUGAAUAGUACCAGGUUUGACUUUUUAGUGUAAAAAUGUGGUUUUUCGUUAAAGUGAACAAUACUGUAGGCUUUUCGUUAAAACUCCCUUAAAUCUAUGAUCUAAAUCUCCAAUUAUGUCAUAAAAUAAUGAAUGUCUAUUAUUUUUAAGUAAUCUAAAAUAUAGCAGUACAAAUCAUAAUCGUGAGACGUAGUUGUUAGUAUUAAUAUUGGAUAAUCAAACGUGCUAACAACAUAAUGGUUUUUUAAUCAAAGUGGUACCAGAUAUUGGCAUAACUCCUCAUUUUGAUCUCUGAAAUUUAAAAUUCAUAGAACUGGUUCUUGAGUUUGUCUACCGUCAAUCAUUUUGGUCAUUCUAUGAAAAAUCUCCGUUAAAUAAGGUAAAAUGACAAAAGUAUCCUCAAAUUUUGUCAAAUCACUAAGGUCCGCUACUUGGACAUUUUGUGAAUCAACGAUUCGAUCGUUAGAUCGUCACCAAACCUUAAUACAUUAUAGUACGUAAUAUUUGAGGGCCAUAGGAACUUAUGGAUUGGGAAUUCGACAUAUAGAUCUUUCCGAAUUAAAUUUGUAAGUUCGUAAAAUAAAACGUCAGCCGCCACUUAAUUUUAGCAAUUGGCUGAGAUCCGACAUUUGGAUCAUUCUGAAACUUUAGGAUGUUGUUCUAGAAGCUUAUUGAAACUCUUGGGAAGUUAUGGAUUGGAAAUCUAAGAUGCGGAUCUUCUGGAUCGAGUUACGUAGGGCUGUGGAUCCUAUAGUCGGCCUUUGAUCGACGUAUGACUUUUGGUCAAUGGGUUUCAAAUCAUUUUAGAACGUCAUUGGGGAUUUGUUUUAUGUAAGUUACGUGUUCUAUCGAUAAGAAUUCUGAGACGUGAUUUGAUAAUUGUUCUAGGCAACAAUCGUUCGUGAUGCCUUGAUAUUCGUGCUAGGGAGUUGUAGAGCAGACUCUAGGUGAGUGGGUCUUUUCCUUUGUAUAGUGUAUAUAUAUAUGAUUGAUAGUUUCCACAAAUGCUUUUAAAUUGAUUUAUGCAUUUUACGUCAUGUCUUAUAUAUAUUUUUUUAAAUACUAUGAUAUGGUUGAGUUUUAGAUUGCAUCAUGGCAUAUCCAUAUGCAUAUUACCUGCAUAUAAUUGUUGUGAAUGCUUUGAAAUGCUAAGGUGAACGCGGGACGCGCAUGUAAGUUAUGUGAUGGAUUGAAAUGGUUGAAUCAUUUUGGUAUGCACACAUUUAUUUAGAGCUCAUCAAGGCUGCACCCCGGUAUUAGUGCUCCCGCCCGGGGUAGGGUCAGUCUUCACAUGAUUGUUCACCUCCCGCACCGCACGCUCACCUUGGAUCUAAGUAUGGUGCCAGCCUGUCGUACAGACCACAAUUGGGGGUUCCGACUCGUAGAUGACCCGUGAUUUAUCGCACAGCUUUCACAUGAUCGUAGCACUUAAGCGUACACAUUUAUACCCAGCCUGUCGUACAGGUCCACUAGGUAACUCCGACUCGUGUGUUAGCCUAGGUUGAUGAGCUACAGGUCCAGUCGUACAGGUCACAUUAGGUGACUCCGACUGGCAUGCUAGUUUAUACUGAUUUCACAUCUAGCUUACAUUUAUUAUUGUUGAGAUAUUAUGACAUGGCAUACUUCAAUUUUCGCUGCUCUGGUGCAUUGGUUUUCGUACCGAUGUAGUAUUAUUUUCUGAAAACUAUACAGGUUUUAUGGUAAGGGGUUAUAACGUUUUCAAAGGUUUUUAUUAAAACUUUAUUUUCAGGCCCACUUACCCUUGUAUUUCGCCCCUCCAGGUUUUAGUAGCUGAGCUUUUGUAUCGACGAGGAUUCUUGGCAAAUAUUGGUAUAGGCGAUUACCUUCAAUGGUAUAAUUCUCUAUCCACUUUACUAUACUUUACUUAUGCUCUGUCAUCACGUGUGAAAUGAGUUCAUUCCCGCUCACAACGCACUCUUAAAGUUAGGCACUUUUAGGUUUAAAUUUAUUCACAUUUUCCACAUCACUACACUUUAUGACUUCGUCACCUUCCAUAUGUCGACCAGCACAACUCGAUCCGGAGUCCUAGUGGACAUCUCGGAUCGGGAUGUGUCAUAAUGUAUCUACUGUUUUAUUUUAAUGGUGAUAAUUUUUCUUGGUUUAAGUUUUACGAAAUAAUUUAGGCAAUGUUUAACUUUACCAAAAUAAUGUAACUACUAUUUUAAUUUACCUACAAAAUAAAUGCUAUUUGAUUCCAAAUUAAUUUACCUGCAUUUUACAUAUAAAUAUAGAUAAAUUAUUUUUAACACGCAAAUAUAAUAACAAAUCAGAAAUGUCUAUUGUAUGUAAUAAAAUAAUUUACCUACAACAUAAAAGAAUAUUAAUUGGUUUUUUUUUUUUGUAUAUAUAUUUGUGUUACUAAUAUUUGUGAUACAAGAAAGGUAGAAUUUCCAUAUGGGGUUAAUUGCUAAACAUAAUUAGGGUUUUGUGGCAUAAGUUGUAAAUAUUUUGUAAUAAUUGGUUAUAUAUUUCUCUACAUAGUAGUCUAUUUGAAAUUUGGGUUUUAUUUGAAUGUUUAACAUUAGGUGAGUUUUUGUUUGAAAAAUAGGAUUUCAAGAGCUUUUCUCUAAAGAACCCAAAAAAUUACUGGCAUACUGUUCCUUCGGUUGCUUGUACUUGCAAGCAAAUGCUUUCCAAUAGCCUUACCCCAACUCUCCAUCAGCAGAAACUCCUCUGAAUAUUUUCUGAUGUCUUGUCCGAGACGUAAACUGCGAAGGGUUUUCAAGUGUACCAAUGCAAAGAUCCAUAACUUAGUAAUUAGAGUUUUUCCAUUUACCAUAAUAACAAAAUGGUCAUUUGUAGAAAUAUGGUCAAUAGACCUAAACUGAUAAGAAAAACACAUUGGAUUGAUUCUGGUUUUGGUGCGGUGGGGGAGAGGGGUAUUUAUCGUGAAAAUACGGGAGCAUUUUCGUAAUUGUGUGGCGGUGUUUUAUGGUUCCGGUUGUUUCAAGAGGAGGACGGAGGAGGAGGGAAGUGUUCGGUAGUCUUUGGUUCGACGAGGGGAUUUCCAGAGAGAAAAGAAUAGACCAUCUUGGAAUAUGGCACGUGGCGGAAGAUCAACGGGGGCGCAUAUAUUACUGAUGGGACUGUGAAGGAAUACGAGGGUACUGCCAAUAGACAAAAGGAAAAAUUUAAAAUACAUCUAAUUUUAUAGGUUUAUUUUGAAAUAUGUUUAAUUUUUAGUAAUUUUUAUUUUUAAAAUAGAUCUAAUUUUUAAUUAUUUUGAACCGAAAUGUCUAGACAAAAUGAAGGGCCCUACAGAAAAAUAAGCGCAAAGCCCAAUUGGUAAAUAUAAACAAUGAUUUUCCUUGUGUAUCUUUGUUAGCAACCACAGAAAAAAAAAAGGAACGACAAAAGGAGCUGGUGGUUGACAUGUGGGGUGAGUAAAAACAUCAACUUCAACAGAGCCAUCAAUAAGAUAAGGUUCCAGGAUUGCGUCAUGCGUGAGCAAAUUUCCCAUAUUAUAUAUUUUUCUAACGCACGUUAUAUGAUAUUAUAUAAAUUAAAGUAGUUUUUUCCCCUUGUUUUCUUCUACUUGUAUAAUAAUGUGUGUCUGUACAUUAAAAAUCUCUUUUUCUCGAGCCCCGCCGCCUCAUCAGUCAGCAUUCACAAUAAGUUCACAGUCACAAGCUAAGCAAACGUAAACAUUGUCGACUGGAAAAUGGAACAAAGCAAAGGCAGGAGACUGGUCCUCUUCCCAUUUCCCUUCCAAGGGCACAUAAACCCUAUGCUGGAACUAGCCGAUAUUCUGCAUUCCAAAGGCUUCUCCAUAGCCAUCAUCUACACCAACUUCAACUCCCUCAAUCCUUCAACCCUAAAUCCACACUUCACCUACCAUUCAAUCCCUGUUGACUUGACAGAAAACGAGGACUCCAUGAAGGAUUUAAUCGCUUUUGUUUCUAUUCUAAAUGCUAAAUGUGUUGAGCCUUUCAGAGAAUGCUUGGCUGGGUUGUUAUCCGAUGACGUUAAUUCGGAGGGCACCAUUGCAUGCUUGAUCACCGACC